Molecule: long non-coding RNA, 91837 nt
Filed under: Vitis vinifera (wine grape)
Lineage: Eukaryota; Viridiplantae; Streptophyta; Magnoliopsida; Vitales; Vitaceae
Description: long non-coding RNA (VVIN_LNC006927)
Source: RNAcentral
AAAACAUCAAUGAAACACUAAAAGUUUGUAUAUAGAAGCCCUUCUAAAGAUAAGAAUUGGUAAGAGAGCUCACCCAUGGUCUAGUAAAACAACAUCUGUUAGAUAAGUAACCACCAUUCUAUUGUCCAGCUAAUGCAUUUAGAUCUAAGAUAACAUAUGGAAAAAUAGUCGAAAAUAGCUAAAGACAGUCCAAAAACUCAUUUGACUAAUAAUUUUUUAAAAACAGAAACAUAAAACCAGGAUGAAGAAUCCACCCCUCUCCUUGACACCACUUCAAUACCAAAUAAAAUGUUACAAUGACCAUUUAUGGUCUUAAGAGACAGUGGAUGUUGUUUGGGCUCAAGACAUAAGACAAGCCAAAAAUCAAGAAGAAAACAACAUCAAAAUUGGCACAGAAACAAGUACAUCAACUAUCUAAUAAAGAGAUUUAUGCAUGUAACAAAUGCAAAUGAAAUAUGAUACAAGAUUUUCAUGGAUUAAACAAAAAUAGAUGGCAAAAUAGAAGGAUAAGGUCACAGACAGGACAAUAUUAAAAGAAAUUAUUAUUUUUCCGACCUGAAAAUCGAGGCAUUCAGAACAGUACAAGUUUGUAAGUAGUCCAUGGAAACCAGGGAACAUAUGCAGAUGUUGUAUUCUAUUGCAUAAGGCAAACACUCAAUACUUACAAGCAUAAUCAUGCCCAGAAAGCCAUGAAUCCCUUUUUGUUUUGCUUUUUUACCUAUUCCCAUCUCUUAUGGCCAGAAGUGCCCAGGAUGAUAUAACCUCACCAAAUAAGUUAGAAACCAGCCCAUUCAGCAGGUUGAGUAGCCAGCUUGCCCUCAAUCUUCUUUGAGUCAACAAACAGCUGGGCAUUAUUGCCUCCAAUGGAGGGUCUGGAAAUAUUAGAGCCGGCAGCAGGGGUGGCUGUAAAACUCUCUGUUCCAAAACCCCAAGUUUCAGGGCCAGAAGUUCCUUCUGUGGCUGGUUUGUUGUGAUGGCCAUUUCGGGUCCUAACAGACUUGCUAUUGUUGUCUGGGCACCUGCCUCAGAGAAAGCCUGCCAAAGAUCAGAGUCUGGGCCAGGGGAAACGGAUUUUCUUUGCUGGAGUUCCCAGUCUGUUGCUUCAAUCUUUUCUCUGUGCUGUUAUGAGAAGAAAACCUAUCAGACACAUGAAUGGGUACAAAAAGGUAAACUUCAGGUUUUGGUUCUAUUGAAAAGCACAGGAAACUUCACAAGAGGCAAAUUAUACCCCAGAAAUUGACUUACCCAAAUGUCUACUUUCUCAUUUAUAGGUUUCCUCCUAAUCAAAUCCCCACAUCUAGGACAGGAAAAGGAAGAAACUGGGAGUCAACAUUUUUUCAACCAAAAGCACUAACUUACCAAAAAACAUAGUUUUCCAUUCAACCUCGGGAGCUGUAUGUGCAGGUGUACUGUACUUUCUGAUAUUGUCUUCUUCAAUGCCCAUUUCUUCAGGCUUCUUAAAGUGCUUAUGAUUGGUGGAGGUGCUUCCAAAAUUACACAACUUCCAUAAUCCAUUAGGGCCCAAUAGAAGAUUCUCAGCAUUUAUAUAAGAACUUUAGGGUUUAUACCAAUGAUCAUGUUACAGUAUAAAUCAUAGUGAACUGGUGGAAUUUGAUCAUUUAGCCAACCUCAUCAAAAAACUGUUUCACAGUUGAGGGGAUUGUUAACCUUCCCAUGGGCCAAGCAGCAAUUUCUGAAACUGAUCCUGAAAUCAAAAAUCCCACACAAGUAGAUAUUUAACAGAAGAGGAUCCGAAUCUCUUCAAUUGAUUAAUGUAUAAAUGAAAUAAUAAAAAAUUUUAGAGAUAAUUAUAGGGAGAUGAACCUUAUACCUCUGAGUUUCUUAGUCUUCUUGAACAGAGCAAUGAGCAUCAAGUGUUGAGCACCCAGGAAUCUCCCUUCCUCUACAGGGAAAAUCUGAACAAUCUAUCUUUCUUCAUAUUCCACUUCCUUGCAAAAGUCAAAACAUGAAGAAAAUAUCAUCAAAAUUGAGACAAAAAUAAGUGCAUCAACUGUCUCAAGAAGAGAUUUAUGCCUAUUGCUUACCUUUUGCAGAAGUCCACUUGGUUAGAGCACAUUUUACAUGGACGCCCAAUCACUGCAAGCUGCUGAACCAAAGGAGGUUCAAACAUCUAAAAAAUUUGACUAACUCAAGUAUCAUAAAAAUGCUUCACAUGAAUUCCAAAUGAUCUCAUAUCUAAAAAACAUUGGCAUAAAAUUAUUGUUGUUUACCUUACAUGUUUCUUCCAUGGUCAUAAUUGAAACUUUGUUUAUCAUAACAAAUCUUCUAUGCUCAUCCUGAUUACUUACAAUGAACACUGAAAUGAAAAGAAAAAAAAAACACAAAAAAUGACGAUUAGUUUGGUUUGAUAAAUUUAGCACACACAAUUCCCUUUUUCUUGUAUGAAAAAGGAAAGAGUAAAAAAAAAAAUGAAUUUAAUAAUUUUUUAAAACUAGCAAUUAUAAAACUAGUUUGGUUCUCAGAAAAUUUAUGGGAAAGCAGGGAAAAAAAAGUGUAAACUUUUUCUCUUGUUUGAUUGUUUAUGGGAAAAUUGAGGGAAAAACAAAUAUUUAUGAGGAAUCUAUUUAACACUUUUGAGGAACAAAAAAUGUUUUAGAUGUUGUCAAAUCGAUAAUUUAAAUGUAUUUAAUUCCAAUUAAAUAAGUUUAAUCAAACACAUGAAAUGAAAUUGUGAAUAAAAUUAUUUAAAAGCAUUGAAAUUCAUGUCAUUAAAGUUGUCCAUAAAAUUUGGUAUAUUAAAGCAAGAAAAAAACAAAGCAAUUUGAAUGACUUGCUAAUAAAGCAGCUAACUAGAAUAUGCCCUAGAGUUGUUCUAUGUAUAUAAGAAAUAAACAGAGAACACAAUAAAUAAAUAAAAAACCAGAAAAUAAAAUACAAACAAACGAAAAUAAACAGCGUUGUUCAAUGGUUAUAAAUGGUUAUUUUUGCAAACCACCAAAUCAAAACAGAGCAUGAAAACGUGUUCAAUAUUUGUUUCAGGCUUGAAGCAUCAAGAAAAAGAAAAUCUUAAAUCAAAUAAAUAGGACUAGCGAAUGAAUUGGAACUUGAAAGAAAAGUUCAAGUGCAAAAGAAUUACCUGACUCUAUAUUGGCGGAGUGGCACUUUGAUUAAUAUAGCACACCAUUGAUCAUUAUUUUUGGAAUGUGAGCUAUAUAACGCCAUUCUUCCCCUUUCUCAAAUUGACACCGUUUUUCCAGUAGAGGACACCCGUAGAUCCUCAGAAAAGAGAGGGAGUCUGAAAGUCUCUCUUUUGUCAAGUAUUUGAGCUUACGACAGAUCAUGAUCUCCAAUGUUUUAAGAGAGGUGAGGUGUUGAAGACCCACUUUUUUCAAGGAUUGGAGCAUUGGGCACUCAUGGAUCCACAAACUUUCAAGAGAGGUGAGGUGUUGAAGACCCGCUUCUGUCAAUGAUUGGAGCCUCGAGCAUUGACAAAUUACUAAUCGUUUUAGAGAGAUAAGGUGUUGAAGAACCGAUCCUGUCGAGAACUGGAGCUUUGGGCAGAAGUAGAUCCUUAAUUCUAAAAGAGAGGUGAGUUGUUGAAGACCCCCGCUGUCAAGAGACUUGAGAUUUGGAAGAUUCCAGAUUUGAAGAGAAGUCAGAGAAGAGGGCAGCAAACACUCUUUGGGAAAUAAUUCAAUGUCUUCACAUCCACCUUUGAUUAUGAAAUGAGUAAGAGAGGUCAGCCUUUGCAAACCCCACUCCACCUGGGGCGUGAGUUGGUUGCACUUCUUAAUUUCAAGUUCACGUAGGUUGGAAGGCAAACCCUCUCUCUGAAACAACAAUUCUGGACAAUCAUAUAAAUUCAAGUACUGUACAGAUGACUGUCUGUGUGCCAAUGACCUGAGCUUGGAGCACCUAUGAAUCGAACAAGACUUCAAGUUGAGAGCGCGUAAUUCGAUAGAUUCAAGAUCAGAGCAACCUCUUAGACGCAGGGAACAUAAAGAUGUGGGAUCACCCUCUGAAACCAAAAUCGAGAGCUUCUCAAGCCCAUUAAGACCAUUGAUUUCGAAAUCAGUCAACUUGGGGAAGAUGCCUAAUGAGAAGGAUAACGACAGAGAAUCAUCGAUAACACCACGUUCGAUGAUUAGACGUUCAAGGACUGGGAGAUGGCAUCUGAACAACUCAGGUACGAGAAACGCUAAUUUCGAGCAGUUAUAGAUUAACAGUGAUUUCAGUGUAGUGGGUAAACCAACUUUGUGCAGGGAUCUAGAAAAAAUACAAUCACAGAUUUUCAGAUCAUGAAUGUUGGUUUGCGAGAUUUCCUCCUCUAGCAGAGACUCCACAUAAUCACAUUUUCUAAUUGACAGCUGGUGUGGUGCCAUUGGAAGUUGACUCCACUGAGACACAUCUAAAAUUUCAAUUUCUGAAGUUUGAAGAGGUGUGAAGUCACAACCUGGCAUUUGCAACCGCAGUUUACCAAAAUCCACCAUCCUCAACUGACGAAUUGCAGGAACUGUGAGUGAAGCCAUAAGCAGCUGCGGACAUCCAUCAAUUUGAAGUUCCACCAAUGAAAGAAGCUGUUCUGGUAAUUUCCCAGUGAGUUUGGGACACUUUCGUAUAAAAAGCUUUUGGAGACGAGGGAAUUCUCCACAACAUAACCAUUUCUCCCAGUUCUUCAUAUCCUCAAAUGAUAGUGUUUCUAGGAAUUGAAAGGAAGCAUUCUCAUAUAACUCAUCACCCACACACUCUACUCCAUUCAUCCUUGAGAUUUGCAGAUAUUUAAGCUGGGUUAGCUGUCCAAGUGGUGGCAAUGUUGAGCAAUUGCCACAACCCCGAAGCUCAAGGGACACGAGAUUCAACACUGAAGGAUCUCCAAGCCAAUUUGGAAAUCCUUCACCAGGAUAGUUUGUGAUGGAGAGUUGUUUUAAAUUUGGAUGAGGUUGUAACUUGUUGAGUAUAUCAUGCGUUGUUGCACCACUUUGUGUAACACCACUGGUACCCCAACCAAAGAUUAACUCAUAAAGAUAACUUUUAUCCUUCAUAUUAGCCCUUAAUGCAUCAUUAACACUCACCACAUUCUCCAUGUUUGAAAUACAAAGUUUUCCUCGAAUCUCUGACAGCUCCCCCAAUUCUCCAAUUCUUAAUCCAUCGUUUUGGCCCACAAUAAAUUGAGUCAACCUUUGUAAACUUUUUAAUCGACCAAUUCCAUGACUUGACAUUUCUCUCAAUGAACCACAUCCAUCAAUAUCAAGAUAGCGCAAAUUAAUCAAUUUUCCCAUCUUUGAAGGCAAUUCAUCAAGUUUUGAACAAUUUCUCAGCAUCAUCGUUUGUAAAUUGCAUAAACAACAUGCUGAUUUAGGUAAUUUUUUAAUCCUCGUGGAAGACAAAUCCAAGUAACGCAAAUGUUUUAAAUUACCUAUCGAUUUAGGCAAAUCAGUUAUUGUAUAUGCACAUAAUGAUAACACGCGUAAACACCACAUUUUUGGUAAUAUAUCUUGCAAAACUCUUUUACUCAACUUAUACAAAGGAAGAUCAACCCAUGGCUUCACUCUUAAGAAUGUCCGAAGAGAUUUAGCUUUAGGGACAGCCUCAAAAUUCUUAAAUGCAACAAGCCUGGUAUCAUCACUAUUAAAGUACAAAAAGUGGCGAGCCUUCUCAGAUACUUCUGGUGGUAACUUAUCAUCAUCUUCCACUCGAGCACAAAAAUCUCCAGACACGUAUUGAGCCAAUUCAUGUAUUAGAUCAUGCAUUACAAAGCAUGAUCCUUCUAUUCCAAUAGAUUUUUGAAAGAAAGACUUGGCAAGAAGCUCAUCAAAAUAUGACUCACCGAUCUCUUCCAUUCUCCUUCCUUUGUUUUGUUGUGCAUGUAAAAGACCUUCUGCCAUCCAUAAUAAAAUCAGCUCCUCUUUGUUGAAUUGGUGGUCCUGGGGAAAAAUAGAACAAUAAGCAAAACAAUGCUUCAGAGGUAAAGAAAGAUGAUGGUAGCUUAAUAUCAAAGACGGAAGAAUUUCGGAGCCACGCUGCGGAUGCCAUAUUUCACUUCUCAACACAUCGUCCCAUUCCCUUUUUUCGUCCUUAGAAUACAAGAGACAGCCGAGUGCUUUCACAGCCAAAGGCAAUCCUUGGCACUUGUCCACAAUCUGUCUGCCUAUGCGUUGAAGCUCAAGGUAUGCGUUGGGGUCUCUAUCUUCAAAUGCAUGCUUUUUAAACAGGGACCAACUAUCUUCAGAGCUUAAUUCCCCAAGAUGAUGAGUAGGGACUGCUCGCAUGGUUGUUGCAACAGAUUGAUCACGACUGGUCACGACAAUCUUGCUUCCCUCUGCUGCGAGGAGUGGAGUUCGUAGAAUAUUCCAAACUUCACGAUCACUAAGCUCCAUAUAACCUUCAUCACGAGGCUUCAAAUUCCAGACGUCAUCAAGAACAAGCAGAAAUUUCUUGUUACGAAGUUGCUCUGUGAGUUGAAGCUGAAGCAAAUUUAGGUUGUCAGCGGAAGUAGGUGGAGAACCAAUUUCCUCAAGAAUUGUUUUGGUGAGUUUGAUAAGGAAAAACUCAGUGGAAACACAGACCCAUGCUUGCAAGUCGAAGUGUUUCUUCACUUCCUCAUUUUUAUAGAGACGCCGAGCAAGCGUGGUCUUGCCGCUGCCGCCCAUGCCCACUAUGGACAUCACCCCCAUUUUGUCGCCUGUUGUAUUGUCAGAACGCAACCACUCCACCAUCUCCUUCUGAAUUCCAUCCCUGCCGACAAAAAUGGAGUCAUGCUCCAAAGAAGUGGUUAUUGGUGAUCUUGGUCUUGGUGACCGUUUCUCGCCCCCACCUUCUGCCAGCCCCAACCCAACUUUUUCUAGUGCGAUUUUUUCCAGUUGAACAAUCAUGCCCCUGACCCUGGACUCCAUGCUUUUGAUAGCAAAUGGGGCCUUCACAGAAGCAGAGAACUUCUUCCAUUUCCACGCCUUAAGAGUUCCGUCGGUAACGAUCUCGUCCAGCAGGUCUUCCGCACCAUACACAGCAUCCUUGACAGGGACGAGCCACUCUUUGACAUUUGGGUUCGAAAAUUGCUUCACCUCCGCAUCAUCGAGCACAUUGUGAACAACCACGAGUUUCCUCUUCAACUCGUUGAGGAGUUCAUCGCUAAGGCUCCGUCGCCGAAUGAAGUUUAUGAGCUCUGGAGAAGCCAACCUUUCGAAUAGAACUUGAAGCGAAGUUGAGAGGAGGGCGUCCGCCAUAUCUGUGUCGACUGUUGCUUUGCAAUAGGAAUUCAGAGGAUUGGUUUCUGUUACCGCGAUACCACCAAACUGCAAAAGACUGGGUUUGGAUUACCACACUGCAGAAUGCUUGAAGGAAUCAUUAUUGGUGGUGGACCCAGCUGCCAGAUAUUGGUGGUGGACCCAGCUACACUGCAGAAUGCUUGAAGUUAUUGGUGGUGACCCAGCUGCCAAUAUUUGUCAAACACCAUAGUGGUGAGAAAAAGAACAGGAAAAGCGAGUGGGAGGUAGAUGCGCUUUCCCCAAGGAAAGCAGAAUCAACAACAGCAUUCGGUAUUUUUCUUUUUCAUCUACGCAUUUCUUCUUUCUUUCUUCUAGUAUUAUUAUUAGUAGACAUAUACACACAAAUAUUUGUUUAUAACAUUUUCAUUCUUAAUAUUAUAAAAUUUAUUAUUAAUAAUAUUUAUACUAAUAUUAUUUUUUAAUAAUUAUAUUAGUAUCAGGAUUUUAUAAUUAGUAUCCUUACUUUUAUUGCUUAUAAUAAUAAUUAUUAUUAUUAUAUUAUGUUAUUAUUAAAAUUUAUUAGUAUUUUCACAUAAACAAUGAUAUAUGCAUAAGACAUAUUAAAAUUUUGAAUAUUAUGGUUAUUAUUAUUUAAUAAUAAUAUUAUUAUUUGAUUCAAAAAAAGUUUAUAAUAUAAUAAUAACAAAAAUAAUUUUUUUAAUAAAAUAAAUUAUAAAAAUAUAAUAAUUUUAUUAUUUAUAAAAUACAUUUAUUUUAAUGCAAUUAAAAAAAUUAAAAUAAUUUUAAAAAAUUUAAAAAUUUUCAAAAAAAAGUUAAAUGGGACGGGAUUAGGAUGGGAUCGAUCCAUCCCAAUGUCGUCCCGUUGUCAUCCCUAACUCAUCUUGUGAUAAUUAAGGCCAUUUUUUAUCAUUGUUUUUUUAAAAUGGUCUUUUAUCCUUAAUAUAUAUAUAUAUAAUAAUUAGAAAUAAAACAUAAUUUUUGUUUUUAAAAAUAAAAAAUAAGGCAUUUUUAGAUCAUAUCCUUUUAGUUACUUUUAUUUGUUUUUAAAAAGUAAUUAUAUAAAUAUAAAAAAUAAAAUAAUUUAAAUAAAAUUUAUUUUUAAAAUAUAGAAAAUUAGUUAAUAACACUUUAUCUUCUCAAGCUCUUGUUUUAUAAAAUAUCAUAAAAUAAUUUUCAAAAACUUUUUUUUUUCACAAUUUUGACAAACAAAACGUGUUGCAAUAAUGCACUUAAAUUCAAUGAACCUAAAAGCCAAAUGUGCAGUGUUGACUUUUCAACAGAGAGUUCACACAUGCCCAUUUUUUUAAUUAAAGCACUAUUGAUAUAAAAUAUAUAUUUAAAUAAAAAUUAGACUUUUAAAAAAAUUAAAAUAUAUUUUUAAAAUUAAAAUAUAUUUUUAAAAUGUUAAAAAAAUAUUUACAAUAUUUCCUUAAAAAAAACAUCUUCCAAAAACAUUUCUUUAAAAAAUACUUCCACCGAUAACAAUUUAGACACACUUGUGAUUUAAUAGUUAAAUAUUCUUUCCAACAGGAAUUCAACUAUCAGUUUGUAUUACCACGAUACCACCAAACUGCAAAAGACUAAUUUUGGAUUACCAAAAUGCAGAAGAGCUGAAGGAAUCAUUGAUGGUGGACGACCCAGAUGUCCACAUUAUUUGUCAGACACCAUAAUUGAGUGAUGAGGAAAUGAAAGAAAAGAAAAUAAAAAACAAAAAAGGUGAUGCCAAACAUGGUCUUAUAAGGUGGGUGGAGCGAAAGCAACAAAGGAAACUAGCAGGAUUUUUCAUUGCUAUUCCAUACCUUAAAGGACAAAUUUUGAAUUACCAAAAUACAAAAGACUUGAAGGAAUCAUUGAUGGUGGUGGACCAGAUGUCCACAUUAUUUGCCAAACACCAUAAUUGAGUGAUGACAAAACAAAAGAAAAAGCAAAAAAGGUGAUGCCAACAUGGUCUUGUAAGGUGGGUGGAGCAAAAGCAACAAAACAAACUAGUAGGAUUUUUUUAUUGCUAUUCCAUAUCUCAAAUGACUAAUUUUGAAUUACCAAAAUAUAGAAGACAUGAAGGAAUCAUUGAUGGUGGUGGACCAAGAUGUUCACAUUAUUUGCCAAACACCAUAAUUGAGUGAUGAGAAAAUGAAAAACAAAAAAGGUGAUGACAAACAUGGUCUUGUAAGGUGGGUGGAGCGAAAGCAACAAAGUAAACUAGCAAGACUUUUCGUUGCUAUUCCAUACUUCAAAGGAUUGAUUUUGAAUCAUCAAAAUACAGAAUACUUGAUGGAAUCAUUGAUGGUGGUGGACCCCGAUGUCCAUAUUAUUUGCCAAACACCAUAAUUGAGUGAUGAGAAAAUGAAAAAAAAAAAAAAGUUAAGAAAAAACAAAGAAGUGAUGCCAAACAUGGUGUCGUGAGGUGGGUGGAGCAAAAACAACAAAACAAACUAGUAGGAUUUUUUGUUGUUAUUCCAUACUGAGAAAAUAAAGGGCUAUUCUAAAUAGAUAAAAACACCCAAGAGAGGAGGUGAAUAGAAGUUAAAAAAUUUCUUUUUAAACACAAUAAAAUUAAGCAUAAGAAGUACAAAUAUAAAGAAGUAAGGUUAUAGAAAGUAAACUCAAAUUUAUAGUGGUUCGACACUUCCUUACUUACAUCCACUCUCCUCAAGCUCCUAAUCGAGUGAGGGUUCCACUUAUACUUGAAGUUUCAACCAAACUUCUAAUCACUUUUUACACUUGGAUUCCAUCUCCAAUGGACUCUUACACAAUCUUUUCAAGUCUUUACUCACUUGAAGGUUUUAACACUCAAUUAACAAGUUUGAAUCUCUCAACCUAGCUCAACAAUGACUCAAAUACAACUCAAGGCUAGGAUGAAUCACUAAGGUGCACUAAAGAAUAUGCAAAUGAAAAUUUAAUGCACUAAUAAAAUAAUGAGAGCUUUUAUGGCAAUAAUAAGUAGGUAAACAAAUAAAUGCAAGUGUUCUCUUACUCAUAAAUGAGGUAGAGCUCUCAAUUUAUAGGUUUCUAACCUCAGGAGCUAAAAAGCCAAAAAACAGUCUCAACUGGUUGAACUGGGGGUUGACUGGUUCAUUAGCCGUUGGAACAUUAAAUGCUUGGCAGGUGACCGUUACCCUCGACCAAACCUUAACUGAGAAGGCAAAUCCAUCAACCAGGAAAGAAAGGCUACUAGAAGAGAGAGAAUGUUUUUCACAUCUCUCAACCGGACCUUGACAUAGAAAGAGUAAUCGGUAGACCGAUACCUUAGCUGAUUGAGCCGAUUGGCCAGUGCCUCGACUAGUUCACCAUUUUUAGUCUGAAAACCUAUCUUUUUCUGGUCUUUUUGCUUCUAGCACUUAGGUAAGGACUUUAGAUAAAAUAAUAUGUCAAUUUUGAAAUGUUUUGCCUAAGGUUCAUUUGAUAGAACUCGGAUUUUGAUGGAAAUGUAACUUUAAUGCAUAAACCGAGUUUUAAAGAUGUAUGAAAUGAUAUGAAUACCCUAAGUACACUCAUGCAUUCAUCUUACGUAUGUUUCCUAUGAUUAAAAGGUCGUUCAAAAGUCUUGAUCUUGCAUUCAUUAGGUCCUUUAAUGAAUUUCCAAAUUAACACCUGAAAUUCUUUAUAAUUCAAAUCAAUUAGUAACUUAACCAUGAUUUGUUAUAAUCAAAACAUGAUUAGGAGAAUCAUUGGGCUAACACAUACCUCAAAGGACUAAUUUUGAAUUACCAAAAUAUAGAAGACUUGAAGGAAUCACUAAUCUUUUUAUAAUUUAGAAAAAUAAGUAAAACGAGUUUGAAGAAAUGUAUAAAAAUAAUUUAUUAAAUUUAAAUUUAUUUCUUAUUUUCCUUCAUUUUUUCUUUUUUUCUACUUUUUCUUUCUAUUUUCUUUCCUUCUCGUUUUCCCUCAAAUUUUCCAAGAGCCAAAUAUAGCUUAAAGGUUUAGAAUCUUAUGCACAAGACUUUCAAUUUUUUUUACAAUAUUAUUUUAUUAGUUAAGAAUUAAAAUUUAAUGUACCAUAUCUAACACUAACAAAAAAAUUUAUAACAACCAAUCUUAUCUUUUAAGAAUAUAUUGUUUAAAUGAGAUUAAAAAUUAAAAAUAAAUUUUAAUUCAUUUAACAACUAAAUUAAAAUGAAAUUUAUAUAUAUAUAUCAUAAAUUUAUACAAUUUUGAAUCAUUUUAUAUGGAGGAUUGAGAAUGGAGAGAUUGAAGAAUUGUUUGGUGACGAGGAGAUUGAUCGAAGAUUUUAUAGUCUUAAGGUUCUAUGGGAUGAAAUUUUUUGUAAAGAGUUUAAAUUUUUGUAAAAAAUAAAAUUAGUUUUAUGUUAUUUGAUUUCAUGGAAAUACAAAGUUUUAAUUCAAAGAUUAUGUUUUAAAAAUAUUAUUUUUAAAAUAUAUUUAGUAAAGAUUUAUAAAAAUUUAAAAUUAAAAUUAGUUAAUCUAUCAACUAAAUUAAAAUAAGAUUUAUAUAUUAUUUUUAUAGAUUUACAUGUGUAAAAUCUUUAAAAUGCCUCAACUUAAAAUAUCCUUACAAAAUUUCAUUAAUCUACUAGCAAUCUGCAUAUUGUCUCUACAUAGAGUCAAUUUGCAUUAGGAUGAAUACCAUCAUAAUAAUAAUUACGCUCCACAUAUGAUGUAUCUUAACAUCCACUUGGAGGUUAAAAAAUAAUUAAAGUAAGGGAAACUAAUAUAUUUAAAAUUUAAAAAUCAUUAUGAAGAUUUGGACAAUAAUUCAAGUAGGCAUCUUUGAAAUUUGGCUUCCAAAUCCCUUUGUCAAUAUACACCACCCUAUGACAAUUAAAUAAAUUAAAAGAAGGAAAAAAAAUGUUAAAGGAAUGACAAAACAUAGGGAACAAUUAUAUUUAAGGAGUGGAUGGAGUUGAUAAUGACUAAAGGGUACAAAUCUUGCAUAAUUGAACUAAAAAGGUAGAAAAGGUUUGUAGAUUGUUGUGGAAGAUAUAAACCCACUUUGUGAGUCAAAAAUGCUCAAAAUACCCUUAAGGGUGUUUUUUAAAAAAGGACAAUUAAGUACUCAUGAUAAUUAAUAUAUUAAGAUUUCAAGAAAAAUUAAUAAUAAAUAAAAUCUUUUUCUAAAUCUAUUUAACAAUCAUAUAGUUUUUAUUUUAUUUUAUUUUUUCAAGUGGCAACUAUUAUCUUAAUUUAUUUUUCAUUUUAAGGUUCAAUUAUUAUUAUUCUUUAUUUUGAAAUUUAAUUAAAUGAAACUGUAUAAGACAUGUUUAUAUUAAUUAGCUAAAAAGGAUAGAUUUUUUAGCAAUAUGAUUAAAAUAAAUAAAAACAAGGAAUUUGAUUUUCUUUAUAAAAUAGAUUAGGAAAAGUAUAUUUCGAUACAUUCGUAUGAAAAAAAAAUUCAUAAAAUAGGAACUCAAGUUUAUAAAAUACAAAUUUUAAGCAUUCAUCUAAAAAUAAUUAUCAUUUCAUGCAUUUUUUUUGUCAAAUAUAUUAUAUUUGAUAAUUUAGGUAUUAUAUUUUAAUAAUAUAAGUAGUACCUUUGACCCCCAUAAAACUUGAAUUAUUUUAAAUAGUUUCUAUUAUAUAAUUAUUUAACCAUUUGAUAUAAAUAUUAAAUAAUAAAAAAUAUAUCAUUUUUUAAAGAAUUUUAAUUAUAUUUGACUUUCUUUUGUAUUUUCUAUGGUGUAAUUCACAUAUGAGAAAAUCAUUUUCUUUAACAUUUUUUUUUCUUUCCUUAAUAAUUUUCGAGAACCAAACAAGGCUUGUAGGUUUGAAUUAUAGGGUAUAGAUGCCAAAAAUACCAGAAUGAGUUUGGGUUUUCAUGCUAAAUGUCUUUAUUAUUAUUUGGUAGCACUUUUCCAAAAUUGUUCCAUUCCCAAAACCACUUAAUUUGCUUAAAUAUUUUUACCUCACGAUAUCAUAACAUUAUAAUGGAAUAGAUUUUGUUGGUGUUCAAAUCAUGUCAACUCAAUUUCCAAACCAUUCGGAUUGUCAUUUGGUGAAAAAUAGAAAGAAAUUUUACUUUAUUGAAAAGCAUUUCAUUUUGAUUUGAAUAUGCUGCAAUGAAAUAGUUACUAAACCAUGGGGUAGCAGAAGAAGUAAUCGAGAAAAUGAAGAAGGAUGUUCAAGAAUUCUUUAUGCUGCCAUUGGAGAAGUUUUCAAGAUUUCUCCUGAGUAGAAAACUUAAUGGUAAGAGUACAAUAAGUCAUAUGAAAUUGGAGAACUGAAAGAGCAUAAGAACCAUGUUUUAUUAAAAGACCUGUGAAAGUUUAAUCAGUCAUGGAACUACUAAGAGGGGAUGAAUUAACAGUUUUCUUAAAUUUUGUCCAAAGUUAUGAAUUUUUAUUUUUUAUAAUUUUUUUUUACUUAAAUUGAAACUUAUUAAUCAAGGUAAGAUUUCAGCCACAUCGAGAAACAAUUUACGUGAAAAGGGACUGAUAAAAUCUUGAGUUUACAGAUGUAAAAACCAUAAGGCCAAAGACUGUAGAACUCCAACCCACUGAAUCAAGAAUAGAAACACAAAUUUAUCUACCAACCUACACUAAUCUCAUAUCUACAAUGCAACACCAUCGUACUCUUAAGUGACUUGAAAGGAUGUGAAUAUUUCUCACAAACUUCAUAAUGAAAUUCAAAUUAGCUCUGAGAGUUUUGGGUUAGGCACAAAGAGUAAUAAUGCAUAGCUUUUGUGUGUGAGUUUUUAAGUGAACUUAAGACUCAAUUUAAAGCAUGUAUUUUACUAAAAAUAAAAAAAUAAAUUUAAGAAACUUCAAGAAUUUUGGAAAGAUAAAUUUUAAAAAAAAUUCAAAGAGAGUCAGAAAAUGUUUCCUUUUUAAAUUCUCAAUUUAAUUUAUUUUCAAAUUUAUUAAGAGUUUAAGAAAUAUUUUCUUUUUAAAUUAUCAAUUUAAAACUCUCUUUUAAAUUAAUUUUAUUAUUAAUUUUCAUGCAAGUCUACUCUAUACAUUUUACAUCGUUAUUCUCAAUUAACUCAACAAUAUUAGAGUGUAACAUCCCCAAUUGAUUUUGCACCAACCUUAAGUCUUCAAAGACAAUGAUUGAGGCAUUUCUUCUCCUAUUUUCUCCGAUGUAGAAAAAAAACUUGAAUAAGGUUAAAGCUGGUCUAUAGCAAAAAGUCUUAAUUUGAGUUAGCCUCUUUUUUUUUUUCCAAAUGAUAUGCAGGUCCAUCUAGCCUUCAACUCAAAUUUUUUAUUCAAAAAUCACAUGUGGAUAUGUGAACAAGUAAAAGUUGAGUUUUACCUAACAAAUCAUUUUGAAAAUUAGGAAAUUUAAAAGGUAUUAGUUUGUUAAACUCACCACCCCUGUCUAUUCUACAAAACAAGAAGAUUAGCAAAGAAAAAGUAUUCAUAUUUGUACUACAAAAUAAAAAGAUUAGCAAAGAGAGAAAUUGUACCCAUGAGUGCAGAGUUUUGGGUUAAAACAACCCUUUUGAUGGGAAAAAUAUUAAAUUUAACCACUUUGUCAAACUAAUGUGUAAAAUGAUCCUUUUAUUAUCACAUAGGAGUCAUAUCACUAAUAUAUAUAUAUAUAUAUAUAUAUAUAUUUAAUUUAAGUUGAAGCCUCAAUUGCCAAUUAAGGCUUCAAUUAUCAAUUAUGACUUUAUUUUUAACCCGAAACCUUACUUGCCAAUUGAGGUUUCAACUAAAAAAAGAAACCUCAAUCGUCAACUAAGACUUAAUUUUUUAAUUGAAGCCUCAAUUGACAAUUGCGGUUUUAUUUUAAAACUGAAAUCUCAAUUGUCAAUUGAGGCUUUACUUUUGUGGAAGGAUUAUGUGACACUCACGUUACUAGAAAAAAGCCAUACUGAAUAUAAGUUUCAAAAGUGGCUUAAAAGGUAUAAAUUUUAUGAUCAAAGAUGCCAUUUUGACCCAAAAUCCCAUGGGUGCAUGAGACUCUAGUUAAUCAUAGAUUUCAUAGAUAAAAAUCAGAGUUAGGAUGAUUCAACCCCUAAGCGUCAAGAAUUCUUUAACAUAAUGUUAGAACAUUUUCCAAUUUAAAUUCGAGAGUUGACUUUAUUUGAAUGUGCUUUUGAUUUUUUUUUUUAAAUAAGCUUCAGUGUUUUUUUUAAAAAGAAAUAAAAAUAAAUAAAAAUAGGAGCUUCUAUAUAGAAAGUAAAAAUUUUAUCCAACAAAUAUAAGGCUCACCUUAUAUCCUUAUAAAAUAAAAAAUUUUAAAUUUUUUAAUACCUCAAAAUUUUUAAUCAAUAUUUAAAUAUCAUUAUAUUUUCAAUAUGAUUCCUUUAAAAGUUAAAAUUACUUAUAUUUUUUAUUUUCAAAAAAAAAAUAUAUAUAUAUAAGUAAUUUUAUGUUUUUUAAUUAUUAAGAUGGAUGAAAUAAUCCCAAAUUUGCAAAAAUAACUUCUUCUAUGUUUGAAUUUGAAAAAUAACUCAUUUCCAACAUAAAUACUCUUCAAUAUUUGGAUUAUUUUAAUAUAAAUUUUAGAAGAAAGUGUUAUUUUGACAGGAAAACAUGAAAGACAUUUUUGUUAAAAAUUGAUCUUUUUUUAAGGCUAAAAUAUAUAUAGGUUUAUAUUUACAAAUUUGAGACUAUUUCGUCCUCUUAAUCAAAUAACUUAAAAAAGAAAAGAGUUAAUUCCACAAGUGGGUUUAAAAUACUCACAAAAUUGCAAUAUAUAUAUAUAUAUAUAUAUAUAUAUAUAUAUAUAUAUAUAUAUAUAUAUAUAUAUAUAUGAAAUUACAAAUUUACCCUCGUGUGUUGAGCACAUGACACUUCCAUUCAUUAAAGCUAACAUUGUUAAAUAACAAAUGUACAUUGCAACUAUUUAAGAAGUAUGAAGGGCACAUUGCUUGAUUUUAGUACAUGGUGAGAAACUUGUUGAACAAGUUAUGUGUAAAGUUUUAUGGUUCAUGUAUGAUAGAAAAUACAGAUCUACUACAACACUGGAUUUGCAAUUUGGGUUAAUAUUUAAAGAAAAGACCAUAGGACAAAAAGAAUUAAACUUUUGGUGGAAAACAAUAAAGAAAGGACUACAUGGAAAAAGGGAAGAGAUCAUUAUAAAGGAAGAUUAUUGAAUAGAAAUAAUUCCAAGAACCUAAGGCAAGACAUAGAGUAUCACUACUACUAUCACAAAAAGGGGUAUAUCAUAAAAUUUAUGAAAUUUUGAAAAAGACCUAAAAAAUGAAGAAAAAAAAAAACAAAUCAAAGAAGCCUACAAGUGUAACUAGUGUUCUUAAAGUUGCGAAAUGAAGGUAAUAAAUCAAAAGUAGAUUUGUUAAUAGUUUUUAAAAUGCUUGAAUUAGGAAUUGUCUACUUGUACCAUACAAGCCCUUGUAGAGACUGGUUUGACAUGUAAAUUGUUUGUAAAAUCAUUUUAAUGGGCAAUAAUGCACCAAGUUGCUCCACGAGAAGGGGAGGGGUUUGUGAAACCAUCACUUGUCAUGACAUACAUCGUCGGGUAAUCACGGAUGAGGGCAUCCACGGGAGGCCAAUGUCUACCCUCGCUCCACACCCCUCUAGUACAAGGCUCUAGGAGGGAGAGAGGCAACAAGUGUGUGACACCAAGGUAAAUAUGCUUGACCUUAUGGCUUUGGGAGCAACUUGCAUUGAAAGACUUGAUGAUUCACAAGAUUCUACAAUUCAUACAAAGUAUUGCAUUUUGCGACGUUCUUCAUCAAUAAGAGAGCCUAGAUAUCCAUUGUCAAGAAUUCUUUAUGUAUGAAAACAAAGGCGCCUAACCGACAUGCCCAAGAUCAAGGCAACUGGAGCGUGUUGCUUCGCCCAAGUUACUUAGCGCGUUUUGUGCCAAAGUUUGUUGUUCGCUCAAGAGGGCUUUUGUGAAUCUUUGUAAUAAAGGGAUAAUACAGAGUGGGCCGUAAUUUAGCAUCUUACACGCUUAGUUUCUUCCAUUGGUGGCAUAUAUUAUUUUGUCUGUCAUUGGUGAUUAUUUAAUAAAACUAUGAGAGUAUUUCAUGAAAUAUAAAUAAGAGGUUUUUAGGAUAUUUAAUCGAUGGUAAACAAAAGUUGAAAACUAAGUAGGGAGGAAGAUAAAAUAUUUUAGAUUUGAUAGUGGACUUGAGCAUUAGAACAAGAAGUUCACAAAGUAUUGCGAGAAUUCUUAUAUUACUUAACAUCACAUGUAAAGAAAUUACAAAGCAAAAUGGAGUGGUUGAAAAGAUGAAUAGAACACCAUUGGAAUGACUAGGUGGCUAAGAUUAACCAUUGGGUUACUUAAGAAUUUAAGGGCUAAAGCUAUCAACAUAACUUAUCAUGUAAUUACUUAGUUGUCAAGUUUUACAAUUAUUUUCAAUAUUCCAAAAGAAGUGUCAAGUAAAUCAAUUGACUUUUCAUCUAUUGAAAUAUUUGAUUGUUGCACUUAUAUUCAUAUAUAGGUGAAAAAAAAAUUCAAUCCAAAAUAAAAAAGGUAUAUAUUCCUUGGGUUUGAAAAAAGGAUUGAUUAAAGACUAUAGACUUUGGGAUCCAACAAUUAAAGAAAAAAAAGUGGUGAGCAGAGAUGAAUUCAAUGAAAAACAUAUGUUAAAGAAAGAUCAAGGACAAAUGAAAUUGGUAUUGAAAAAAAAUUCAACUACAUGACCAAUCAUCGAGAUGAAAUUUGAGAAAAAUGUCAUUAAAUAUGAAAUCCCUCCUAAUUGAUGUCCCUAUUAGAACUUUAUAUGGGCAUCUUUCUCUAUUGCUCUAAAGAAUCAUCGAAUUGGGUAAGGACAUCAAUUUUAAGAUUUUAAUUUUUUUUCAUUAUUUAUUGGAAUAGGAGAUCUUUAAAUUUUUUUGGGGCUCAAUUAGGAAGGAUGAUAGUUAUCAAUGUGUUGGUGCUAUGUCAAAUGAGAAUCCAAUGCACAUGUUGACUAAAGUUGUUCUUAAGGAUAAGUUCAAGCAUUGGUUGAAUGUCAUUAAUUUUUCAUUUUGUAGAACAUGGAAGGUCAAUUUUAUCGAAGAGCCAGGUCAAUCAACUUCUAUUAGGACUUCCAUUGAUUCUUGAUUUGACUAGAGGGACUCCUAGCAGUAAAUUUGUAUGAAGGGGCCCUACGGAGAUGCAAGAGCUGCCAAUCGGAUCGACCAAUAAAUGAUAGGCCCAUGCAGAGAUGUCCCUGAAAUAGGGGAUUGGUUGAUUGGAAAGCUUAGGCAGAGUAUAAAGGAGAACAAUUUAGCAUUUUGGGAAAAGCACAUAUGAAGAUGUUUACAAGUUUGGAAAUUUGAGUUAAAGAAGAGAUGGUCUAAAAAUGUUUCAAAUUUCAAUUUUAUGUUUUUCUAAGUUUGAUAUAUCCUAUUUGGAUAUUUGGGAAGUCUUCUCUUGUUACAUAAGGUAGUCCUAUGAUGAGAUUUGUUAUGAAAAUAGGUUCUUCCUCGUGUGAAAUAUUCCUAUGAAAUUAAGAAGGAAUAUAGGAAGAGUUUUUAUUGAAAUUAUGAAUCUUUUUUUUAUGUAAUUAGAACUAAAAUAUGAGAGUUUUAGAAUUGUAAUUACACCUUUGAAUAUAAAUAAUUGAUAAUAGUGAAUUAAUUUACCUUCUCCCUCUAGAUGUAGGUAAAUGCUAAAUUAUGUUAAAUCUUGUAUUCUCAUAUGAUUUUUUUUUUCAUUUAUUUUUCAUUUUCUUGCCCAUUUCUAACUUGCUACUACAUAAUAACAGGUGGUAUCAGGCUUUUUGUGUUUGCACAACAAAUGGUCUCAGUUUUUCCAGCACCACAAAAAUGAUAUUUUACUUAAUUGCUCCUCAGUGGAAAAGUUGGAAAGAAAAAUUAAAUCAUCGACUACACCUUUUUUUUUUUUUCCAAAACUUUUCUUGUCUUUGUGCAAGAAAAUUAGUAUAUUUUCUCUUUAGUAUUUGUUUCUCAUUUAUAUAUAUAUAUAUAUAUAUAUUCAAAUGGAACCUUAAUCAUCUUUUAUAUGAAGUAUAAAAGAAUUAGAAAAUAUUCAAAUUUUAAAUGAUUUUUAUUAUACUUUGUCCACUUCCUAUUUCAUAUAUCAAAUUACAAUAGAAUUUAAAAUUCUUUUAUAAGUUUUUUCUCCCUUUGCUACCACAUAAACGCAAAGACAGUAUGUGAGUUAAAUACCUUAAAAGAAAAAGAAAUUAAAAUGUGAUACAAAACAAAAGUAACCUCUUUAAAUUCAAGGAAACAAAACACUAAACUUUUUCAUGUAUUUUAUUCCAUUUAUAAAUGCAACAUGACAAAAAUAGACAAAAAUAUAAAUGGAAACCCUUUGGGUCCUUUAUUUUAUAUUUUAUCAACUUCAACCAAUUCUAUUUCUAUAGCACAACCGAUAUUAUAAAGUUCAAUGAGUAUAUAAUAUAUAAAGAUACUAAUCAAUACGAAUUAUUCUUUCUUUCAAAUGGCUACUUGUAUUAAAAAUUAAAUGUAAUUCCUCCUAAACAAUAAAAUAUGUUGACACGAUUUCAAUGAAUAUACAGUACAUAAAGAUAUGACCAAUUAGUACGAAUUAUUCUUUCUUUUAAAUAGCUACUUAUACUAAAAUAUAAGUAAACAUAAUUCCUCCUAGAUAAUAAAAUAUGUUGACACAAGGAGGAAUAUAUUUACUAAUUAUAUCAUUUGCAAUAGCCUCAAUCUCGUGACGUUCUUCGAACCAACCAUAGACUUUAUUGAGAUAGGUUAACCAAGGGAGCUUCCACUCUCAUAACUCGUAUAUGAAAAUUUCAUCUUGUACAACUCAAAUAGAAACCCAUAAAUACCAGUUGAAACCAAAAUGUAAUAAAUAAAUAAAAACAUAUUUCAAUGGAUCCAAUUAGUAUUUUUCUGAUCUCGGAUAAACAAACAAAUUUUUCUUCAUUUUGUUUUUUUUUCCAUUAAUCUUUGUAAGUAAAUUAUAUUUUAAUUUAACAAAGCACUAAACUUUACUUUAAUUUUCAUGCAGGAUCAACUAGCUUAUCAUAAUAAAAUUUAUCAAUAUAGCUGAGCAGAGAUUUGAUGUAAUAAUACCAUACAAAAUUCAAGUAAAAUUAAAUUAAUCAAAUAGGACACUACGGUCAUAUUUGGAUACAUAUUCUAUUUUUUAUUUUUAAAAUUAAAAUUUUGAUAUAAAAUAUGACAACCCUUUGUAUAAAAAAUAAAAAUUUAUCCUAUAAUCUUAAAACUACUUUUCAAUAUUAAAAAAAAAUGAGGACGUGUCCUAAAAUUUUAAACAAAUUUAAAAAUAUUUUUAAAUACCAAGAUAUCCACUUUUUUCUUUUUUAAUAAAAAUUCCUAUAUUUGAUAUAAAACUCUAUUUUAAAAAAUGAAAAAUAAAAAAUGUAUCCAAACAUAAGCAAAAUUGUUAGAUUUCAUUGUGAGAUUUCUUAGAUUCUACAAUUCAUAGUGAAAUGAAGACGAGAGAUAACUGACUGAAUUAUGAAAAAAAAAAUUAACAUUGAUGAGAUUCAAAAAUGCUAGUUAAUGAAAGAGUUUCUCCGCCAGGAUGACUAAGAAAAAUGCUGAAAAAUGUGUCAUGCCCAAAGCAAUGUUACAAUGAAGAAUAGAAUGAGAGCUAACCCGAAACAAAAUCCGACAAUCGCCAUGAAAGCCUGGAUGCAGAGGAAAUGUAACUAGAGACAUGUAAGGAAUCAUUAAGCAAGUGAGAACAAUAUCAAAAUCUCAUGUACGACUUACUUACCUUUCCCUGAGAUUCAAACUUGAAUUUUACUGUAAACCAUGACAAUCCUCUAUCUACAAUAGGUGCAAGUGCAAGGGCCCUGCAUGAGAAGCACCUCUACAAAAAUCACAGAAAACCCAAAGGAAAAAAAAAAAAAAAGAGUAAAUAAAUAGAAACUAGUCUAUCAGAAACCAGGAGGCUGCAACAAAUAAUCUCCAAAUGUCAGAUUUAAUAUUUAUUUACAAAUGCCACUAAAAGGCCUUUUCAUCAGAGAAAUCUAGAAUAAAAAAGGAUAAGGAGCCAUUUGGAUUACAGAGGUCAAAGAUUGGGUUGGAUGGGAGCAAGUUUAACCUCCUCAGUGAAAAUGAAAAUGCAAGGCCCAUCAUCAACGCUAGGUUCAAAAAUUGACACCAUUUCUUGAAGACUUUCUUUUUUCAUUCUUCAAUUGUCAUUUUGAUUCAAAGAAGCAGCAGCAUGAUAGACUAAACAAUCAUCAUAAACCCAGUUGCAAGUUAUAAGGAUAAGAAAGAAAAUGAACAGAAAACAUAUAUGAGAGAACUGAUAGGCCAAAAAAAUCAUUGUUGAAGGAAUCGAGCAUAAAUCUCUGAACAAAAUUUAGCUGAAAUUCACUGAUUUUGGGUUAUUUUGUGAUAAGAGCAUUGCAAUAUCCCAAUAAACUGUUACGCUAACUAAAGAUUUAAAACAGAAUUUAGCUGCUUACCCUCCAGCUCUGACAAGUUUAGUGACCUGGCUGCCUGCCCACACCAUAGCCAUGAUUUUGACAAAUCUGCCAAUUGGAUUCCAUGUCAAGAUAUUUUGAAAAACUUGUGCAAAAAGAAACUUUUUGGAAUAAGUUUUUACCUUUCAACUGCCGCCAAAUAACCCAUCCUUCCUGGUGCUGGAGCAAUAUAAAACCUAGAAGCAGCAUAGUGAAUUCAGAGUUAUACUGGUUAUUUGAAAUCUACUCUGAACACCUAUGAUAGAGACUGCAGGAUGUGGUAAAACACUAAGGCAUAUUUCAAACUACAUUAUAAGGUAUUUGAUUAGAAAAUUAAAUAAAUAAAUAAAUAAAUAAAAUAACAUAACAUAAAAUACAAAAAAGAAAAAAAAAAUUAACAAACUGAAUUUGUCCAUAUGCAACAAUAUGCAAUUGUUAGCCAUGAAUCCCAGUUAUGUCGGUUUCCAGUAUUAAUAAUUAAGCAUGAUGUUUAUGAACUAGACCAGCAUUCUAAUAACUCUAGAUUGAAGGGCAUGGAUGUCACAUUUGUAUUCCAUCAUGUGCAACUAACAUCACAUUGAAAUAAUAUCCACUAAAGCAAGUUAAGACCCAGUAUAUCAGAUUAAAUUUUUUCUACCAUGAACAUAAGCUUGAUAAAAAUGAAGAUGGAAAUGCAAUACUUCUUUAUAUGACAUAAUGAAGGGAACCAAAUACAAGGACUCCCCAUUCCAGAUGCAGAAAGCCAAGUUACAACCUUUGCCAAAUAAAGAGAUCCACCAUAAGUUCAUUUUUAGACAUGCUAUAGUUGAAUAUGCCAUCAGUAAGUGAUCAAAAGCCAAUUCAGAUGGGAAUAACAGCCACAAUGUUGGGAAGGUCAAUAACAAAAGCAUUGACUUGAAUGUUGGCAGUGUCAUUUACACUGGCCAUAAGAACCAGAGGUAAUGCAUACAGUUGGUAAGGUGGGGAGGAGGAGAUGAGAAAUUGAAAAGUCUUGAAUUUAUUUGUUUCAUGCAAUUCCGUUUUCCAAUACUCUAUACGAUAAUAUACAUUGUACAGCACAAGAAUAGGGUUGUUUUAAAAUUUUGAACAAAUAAAAAUUUCAUAUCAAUAUCUAAUAUUUAAUAAAAAAGAAUGAAACAAGAGUAAGUACAUUCUCUUCUCCUUAACAUGGUAUUAAAGCAGUCUCCAAACUCUUAACUCCUAGUUGCAUACUUGAUUUGCACUGGAAGUUGCAGUUUGCUCAUUUUGUUAUUCAAGUAAGUUACUUCAAUCUAUCAUAGUUUAAAUGACUUGGGACGGUAGUUGUCAUGGGCACGAAUUUUCCCACAAAUUUUUCGCAUUCACACAGCGCUUAGAAGCCCUCUAAGCCAACAUACUCAAACCCACAUGAGAUUGCAAUCAAGAAAAACCUCACAAAGACACACAAGGCUAUGGAGCUCAAUCCCUAACUUGUAUUUUAUUUCUUCUCUAAAUAACAAUACCAGACAUAGCUUAACAAGACUUCCACAAUCUCUUUGGUGAGUUCAUGCUCUCUCUCAAGCUAUGUAUAUUCUCUAUGAUCUCCAGAUUGCACGAUAAUUCAAAGGGCACUCCAGUCCUCCUUUUAUAGGUGUGACACCAACCACUCCCUAUUUGAUAAGGAGCAACGAAUCCUAGUUCUACUCAAACUACAAUUAAAAUAAGAAUCUAAACUCCUAUUCAAACUCAAAUUACAAUAACAAUUUGAAUUCAACUCUGAACUUUCAAAUGUCUUCGGCCCAUUCCUCUUUCAUUUGAAACUCCUUGUAUCAGGCCACAUAUCAGCCCUUCAAUUCCCUGGUUUGUGGUGCAAUAUAUCUUCCUUAAGCUUGUCCCAAUGCCAAGACAUCUUUGUUGUGUUCUGCCUGAAGUCUACCCACUCUUGUGCCUUGAGUCAGUCCAUUCAUGCAUUUGAAUCAGCUGAUGCAUCCGAUCAGCUUGCUAUAGCGUCUCUAGGCAGCCUACUACAUGUGUCUCUAUGCAACUAGUGUGCAUGCCAAGCCCUCUCUUAGCCUACAGAUCUAGCAAUUUUCCUUGGUGCCAAUCUUUCCUUUGGCUGUAGCCCCUUGUUGUUCCUUGAGCGUGUCAGUCAUGCUCAUAUGUGUUCCCGCAUCUGGAUCACGUCCAUGCUGAGGCAACCUGCCCAAGUUUGCUCUGCCUAGCUGUUGUUAUGGCAUCAUGCCAUGCCCAAGCCCUCUUCUUGGUGCAGCAACGAGUCAUGGCAUUGCACCCAUGACUCCUCAUCUCUAUGCACAAGGCAUUGUGCCCUUGUGCCACGCCACCUCAUUGCACAAGGCAUUUCCCCCUCAUGCUACCGUUGGGAAGGGAAGACUGCAUAGCACCCCAUGUCGUUGCAACCUUGAGUUGCACACCAUCACAUGUCAUGGAGCCCAUAUAUGGUUGCUAGCAAGGCUUGCCCAUGUGCCUUGCUCAUGUUUGAGGACUUGCACCAAAGCCCCUAAGUGUGGCCAUGCCCAUGCCACCUCGUCUCCCUUGAGUCACCCCCACCCUCACCCCCCUUAAAAGAGCAUUUUAAGCCCUUUUAAUUAAUUCAAGAAAAUCUAGAAAAUUUUGCUUCCACUUGGAGUCUCCCUUUUGAAGGUUCCUAUAAAUCUUUUAUCUCUAAGCGAAUUAACCAAGUCACUUAAUUGUUUUGCAACAUUCCUUCCCUUCCCAUAGUGUAUUUCAAGAUCUCUUAAUGAACAAGACAAUUGGUGGAGGGCAUGAAGUAAGUGGAAUUUAUCACCAUAUUGGCCCACCUUUUACUCCAAUUGCUCUACGUACUUCCAUUUCUUCUAUGUAGUGGCACACCUUUCACUACGCAUCUUUAGCAUAUGGGACUUCUAGUUAUAUUGGACUCCAAGUUAAAGCACCAAGUUUGUGAGUCAAGCAAAUAGCAUCACCAUAGUGUUGUUCUAGUCCUUUUUGUUCUAUAAUCAAUAAGAGGAGUACUAGUCCUUUUCAUCUUGUUCAUUUAGACAUUUACAGUUUAUGUAGUGUUGUUCCUAAUGUUGAACUAAACUUUUUUAUUGCUAUUUUAUUAAUUAGAUCAAUGAAAAUGGUAUGAGCAUAAAGAGGCUGAAUAAUAGGUACUAAUCUCUUAAAAAAAACUAUCUUGUAGAAACAUCAUCAGGUGACUAUGCACAAGUAAAUGGUCUGACAAGGCGUGAGAAAAACAUUCAUUUUUGUGCAACAACCAAGUAUUUGCAUCUUAAUCAACCAAAGAAUAAAUGGCUGAAGACAAUAAAUGACUGAACAAAAAGAAAAUCAUAAGUUUUAGGCCAGACACUUUUUUCAUCAAUUAUAUACAACAACAAUAAAUCAAAUAGUCCUAAAUUUCAAAAGAAUAAUGCUCAGCAGCUAUGCAUACUCACAAGUCACAAAUACCUCAUCCUUGACUAAUUUACAUGAAUGAAUUAUUUACUUACCAUACCAAGAGAAACGUUGUAAGAUAGUAUGCAGUAUUCAGGAGUCCAUAGGAUAAUAUUCCAGAAAUUCCAUAUCUCUUCAGUUUCUUUAGAAGACUGAAAGGUUAAGCAAGAAUGAGCUCUCAAUGUAAGUAGACAUGCAUUUCAGCAUACAAAGGGCAAAAGGAUUGAGGUAUCACUUCUUACAGAUUGUUUGCAUGAAAUUCAGUAGUAGAAGAGAAAUUAAAAUGAUUGGGACAAGAUCACUCAUCCAAACAAUAGUUUAUUUACAGAGAAAAGGUCUAAAGCAUAAUCAUGCAGUAGACAAAAUGAAUCUUUUGUGUCAUGUUCCAAUAAUGUUAACAAACUACAUUAAAUUCAUAAGGUUACAUAGAAAAAGAAAGAAAAGACAUUGUUGCAAUAGUUUGGUUGUUACACUGCUAGCACCCAGACUACGACCAAAUCCUUGCAUUGAAAUUGAAUUUCAAACUCCCAAUGUGAAAAAGGAAGAUACAAAAAAGAAAAGAAAAACAGGAGGAAAAAAAAAAAAACAGAGGGAAAGAAAAGAAACAUGGGAUUUCCAUGUAUAAUACAUACAUAUUAUAUCUAUAGAUAAAUGCAUGUAUGUGCAUAUGUCAUAGAGGCUGGUCAGACACAUUUCAAGAAGUUUCACAACUUGCUUUGGAAUGACAAACACGUGGAUCAAUAAAUGGCUUGUCUCCAUUAUUGAGAAAUUGCAGGUAAAUUUCAUCCACUACAGGCAUGGGGUGGCUGGACAAAGUUAUGCCAUUUGGUGGGAUGUAGUGGACUUAAGACAGAAAAUUCUCAAUCAUUCUUCUGUCCCUUGUGCAGUGUUGAAGCUGACAAUAUUAUUGAGCAUACAAGGAAUGUGAUGUAAAACAUCAUUGAGGACCAUGAGCUGCGAAGGCAGGGAGAAAUUAAGUUAUGAUUAAGUUUUGGUGAGGGAUUUUCAGAUGCAGAUCAUAUGGCAAAUUAACUUCAGAGAAUUGCAUGUUUUUAUUCAUUUCCAUACACAUUGAAUAAUCAUAUUUAAAAUCCCUCAUUCACUUGUUUCGCUUCCAUUAGUGCUCCUUCCACAUGCCUAUUAGCAGCAUAGACCUCAUGAUAGUUUGGUAAAGGUAAGACAAUAAAAUUGAAAAAUACAGCUAAAGCCUAAAAUAUUGGCUCAUAAAGAGAGAAACCAUCCAAGUUCUAUCUUAAAUGACUCUACAAGUUCUAAACAGGGAGACAAGGACUUCAACCUGGUCCAUCAAUGCAUAUAAAUGGGUAAUCAUUCCAACAACCAUUACGUUAGAAGUACACUAAAAGAAAAUUAUUAAACAAUGUUGUUUCCAAAAAUUCCAUGUUAAAGAAUAGAAGAACAUACUGCUAUAAAUGAAAUUCAUUCAAAACAGUUCAAACAGUAAAGUUAAGAAUUGUGACUGCAUAUUUUUUUUUAAAAGAAACAAGAAUUGUGACUGCAUAUCACCACACUUGUUUUAUUUAUAAUCCACACAAUGUAUUCUUCCCUAGCAUGUUAUCCCAUUAAGUAACCUCCAGAUAAAAUUCCCUUUCUGACUCUGUCAAUCAGCCAAAAAAUUUGAUGUAAAAUGUAAAAUACAUGGGUACACAAAAACAACUAUAUAAACUGCCAUCCCAUCAUUAAUAAAUCAUUUGUCUAUAACAUAGACUAAUAGCACUGUAAGGCAAGUAGGAAGUACUCUUUUGAUGUGUGCAGUUCUCCUUCACCAUUUUCGCCCUUUGCACUGGAGUCUAUAAAAAUAUGUAUAAGUAGAUUUUUAGAAAUAUCAAGUUUAUCAAAUGUAAAAUAUGGUAUCACAGAAAGCUACACCAUUUUUCUAGUUAUCAUUUGAAAGAUAUUGAUACCUUCAUGGUUGGCAGAGUAGUCAUGACCAUUUGACAUGCCAGAAGCCUAACCUACAACAAAGGCAAUGUUGAAAAAGCAAUAUUCAAAAUUCAAUGAAAAAAACAGAAGACAAACAAAUGAACAAAUAGCAAAUCAUCACACUCAAUUGUUUUCCAAAAAUGAAAAACCAAAUGAAAGGAACAAGGAAUAUAUUGAGAAAAAAACCUAUGAUCAAUGGAUAUGCAGUUGCAUUCUAGCACAUAUAUAGGAUCAAACAAGUAACUAAUCUAGACAUAGCUGCAGCAAAUUUGUGUAUCUCUGAAUGCGUGUCUGCUUUUUGUGGGGGGAUAUUUAUUAUGACAUGUUCUUAGUGCAGACAAACCAUCUGCAUUUACUUGAGGAUUAGGUAAACAUACUUUCCAUUUAAAAUGAGGCCUUGAACAUCAAGCCCCGGUGAGUUUUCAAAUAAGGAAAACAUAAUAGCUUUACAAUGAGUCCCAUAGCAAGAAGGCAUGCAAUUCCAUUCAUCAGCAUACCAGAAUAUAGAAUAGUGUGGACAUGUGGACACAUGCCAGAAUUAGCAUUGGACACACUAACAUGCCAGUCAUACAUAGAAAGACUUUCCAAAGAUAUUAAAGUAAAACACUGGUAGUAAGCAAAUUAGACCCAGAAAAACAUGCAAGUAUAGGCCAAGAUCAAAUCUUAAUUUUAAUUUCCAGAAAAAAAAUAAAAAAUUAUAUCAACCAAUAGAAAUGGUAUCAUCAGCAAUUAACACCAAAACACACCAACAUAUCGGAAUGCAUAUCACGUGUACCAAUCUCCAAUCAGCAUUACACCUGUACAAGUUAGCCUGUAGCAGGUCAUAAUAGGUUCAGACUAUAAAACCUUCCAAAUCUUCCUUUGCAGGGCUUAGAAACUAUUUUCUAAGUAAUUUGCAAUUUUAAAAGCCUGUGACAAAAUUUUGGAUGAAGAGCUUAAACUAUAUACUCACAAACCCACUCCAAAAUUUCCUUAAGGUAAUACACAUUUUUUGAAGUCCUUUCCAAUGUCUUCUCUUAUUUGAGUUAGAAAAGCCAAUGUUUUUAUGAAUUGACUACUACGGCUGUUGAGGUUUGAGGUGUAUAACUAAUUUCUUAAUAUAUCAUAAUUUACAUCAGUCAUUAGAAAUUAAGGUUCCAUCCUUUUACACUAAGAAAAUCCUGAGAGCAAUUAAAAAAUACCUUCUUUAAUAUUAUUAAAUUUAAGUUUCCUUUAGGUCUUUGAGUCUAAUAGAAAUUAGUAUAAAAGGAAUUUUAAUUUUCUUACACUAAGAAAAUAAAAAUAAUAGGCAAAAUAAUUUUCAAAUUUUGGAACUUUAUAGGUAAUGCUUAUUAAAAUAAAGCAACAAAGUUUGUCAUUUGCCAAUGAAUGAACCAAUUGUGGAAAACUAUGCAAAAAAUUUUAUUAGCAUGGAAUUUUUUUUUUCUGCCAAUAUAUAGAAUUCAAUUUCAAACCUGCCCCUCCCAACCCACCACUUGCUACUUGAGGCAAGCUUAGAGGCAGAAAACUAUUUACAAUUCUACGUAUGGAUAAAAAUUAUUUCUUAGAUUUUAUGCCAAUUCCAUAUUUAUAGGUAUCAAUUUAUUAUUCUACUGUUGUCAGAAGCUUCAAUUUUGGGCGUCCUCAUGGCUAUGCCACCCUUAAAUGAGAACAACUUUGGUCUUCUGUUUUUCUUUUUGAGCUCUUCAAAUUUUUGCAAGUUACUUCUAUCCAGGUUCUAGGAAACACCCAUUUUUUUAAAUCUCCAAUAAUUUAGGGUUCUGUGGCUGAGGGAAUAGACUUAUUUUUGGUUGAAGCACAUAAAAUUCUUGGCUAUUUUUUUAUUUUUUAUUUUGCCAUCAGGUCCUUUUAGGUUGAUUUUUCUACUUAUUUUUCACCCACCAAUUAACAUUGCCCUAACUCUGUUAUCUAUCCGAACAAAUGUUUAUGAACUAGCAAAUCAUACUAAAAUUUCUUACUAGUUGACAUGUGCAUCAUCUCAGCAUGUCAUUCCAACACCAAACUACAACCAUAAUCUCACUAACAUCCUAACUGCCUCAAUGAGUAUGGAUUACAGAAAUGCAAUUAAAAUAUACUUCCCUAUUUAAUUUCAUAAUUUUUAUAAUAAUAUUUCAGCAAUAUUUCCACAUAGUAGCUUAUGUGAGAAAUCCCCAUUUCCGUAUAAAAUCGAAAAACCCUAUAGCUUGCGCAUGUAAAUAGAAAAAAAAAAAAAAAAGACAGAUUUUGCAGAAUUGGGAGAGCAGACUCACACCAGCAUGGCCAUUGAUUGAGCAGAAACGCAGAUGACGAUGAUGGUGGUGGAAUUGGGAGAAAUUGUUGAGUUUGUGGAAUGUGGGAACCCUAGGAAUGCUGGGAUUGAAACCCUGGAUUGAAACAAGAGGAUUGUGAGAGAGAAUUGGAAAUUGAAGAAUCAAACACAAAAAAUAAAUCCAAGAAAUAAAAAAGAAGCGUAAAAAUGAAAUAGAGAAGAGUGUGUAUGACGCACCUGAUGAUGUGAAAGCAGCUUCAGCUGGUGAAGGCAAACUUUCGACGGGAGAGACAUGAGCAUACCGGCCUCCGACAACAAUCCCUCCAAAAUAUUCUUUCUAUACCAUUUAUUAUUAUUAUUAUUAUUAUUAUUAUUAUUUUCAGGUUAUUUGAAGUGCAAUGUCUAGCUAUACCAUUUAUUAUUAUUAUUAUUAUUUUAUUGCUAUUAUUAUUUUCAGGUUAUUGAAGUGUAAUGUCCACCAUACCUUAUAUGCCAUCCAUGAUGAAGGCCUUAGAACUCUCCAUGGAGCCUAAAUCUCGGGAUGCUAAUCACCCUAUAAUAACCAGCAUAGAGUAUAUUCAAAGUAUCAUUAAUGACAAAUUUCGAACUUAGGACCAUAUGUCAUUUACUGAGACCACACUUCUUAAUGUUCAUCCUUAGCGACACACUCAUAUGUACCAAAUCAUCCGAUAACCUGUUUUUCCUAUUUUCUCAUUUUUACAAAAAAAAAGAAAAAAUAAGAAUAACUUCUAUUUUUAAAAUUUUAAUUUUUUUUAUAAGUAAAUUUUUGUUCUCAUUAGGACCUGUGGAACCUCCCACAAGUCCUCCCGAAUCAUUUACCACUUGAGUCAUGCCUUAAUGGCUUGUUUUUUUAAAAAAUAAUAACAACUUUUAUAUAAAAAAAAAUACUUAUAAAAAAUAUAUACAUGUCAUUAAAAGUUUAAAGAAAUUUAAAUUUGAUAAUAAUUUUUUAAAUAAUUUAAUGUGUUAAUUGUUCUUAAAAACCGUAAAUAACCUAAAAAAGAACAGUAUGUUUGUAAAUUGACCAAAUUGUUAUAUGGUUUUAAAUAGUCACCUUAACAAUGUUACAAGUGAGUUGAUUAAUUUAUGGUAGAGAAGAAUUACAAUAGAAUUCAAUUAGUUAUCGCAUUUGAAGUCUUUGAUUAUUUGUUGAAUAAUAUUUGCAGCCAAUUAGCUAGGGUUGGCUAACCCAAGCCAAACCUAGUUACCAAUAUGUCCAACCUAUGCUAAACUCGAUUCAAAGUAAGGUUGGUAGUUACUAAACUCAUUAACAACUAAAGUUUCUAUGGAUUCCCACGAGUUUUCAUGGAUUAUCAAAUAAACCACAUAUAAUGGAAUCUCCUAAUAUAUAAAAGACAUAUUUCAAAUUAUAAAUUAAACCAUAUUAUAAAAUAAAAUUUUAAAAGCUAAGUAUAUAUCAAAGUCAUAAAUUAUAUUACUAUUCACUAAUUUUAAUGGUAACAUGAAACACAAGUGUGAAUAUUUAAAAAUAUUUUAGUAAUUAAACAAAAAUGAUAGACUUAUAGUGUAAUGUAAUAAAACUAGCAAAAGUUAUAGUUAUUUCAUUAUCCCUUUUAUAAAUUUCAUAUUUUAAAUAAACUAAUAAAUAAUAUAAUAGUAAUGAAUUUGCUUAGUCUUCAUCAUGUAGAACCAAUUUGAAGAAUUUUUUUUUAACAGGACUGAUUAAUGACUUAAUUAAGGGUAGGUUACAGCUAAAAUAUUUAGUAGGACUGAUUAGUGACUUAAUUAAGGGUAAACUACAGCUAAAAUUUUCCUAGUAGUCUUCCACUAUGGCAAAUUGUGGGAACUAGUAGUGGCCUGUCCAACCUAUAGAGGAAACAAAUAGGUGAGUGAGUUAUUGAAUAUGUGGCUGAGAGUGACCAACCAUUGAGGCUCACAUGAAGUUGUAGUGGCUGAAAGGAAGGGAUAAGAGACCAAAAACAUGCUCAGAGAGAUUCUUGUUAGGAUCAAAUUGGGGGCAUAGAUAUAUCUCUUUGGUAAGAGUUCCCAUAAUUUAGGUAUUAAUGAAAUAGGUAUAAAAUAAUUAUAUAUCUUGAUAUGAUCAUGUUGUUAAUGAUGAUCUAAUGAGUUGAAAUAUUAUGUUUUCAACUGUGUAUAUCUAAUAAAUACAUCAAGUGCUUAAACUUUAAUAUAGAAAUGGUCCACAAUGGCUUGUAUGACUCAUCGUCUUAUAAACAUAUUAUUUAGAUUAGGCUAAAGUGGUCAAAGUAAGAAGAAAAAUUGAUACUUGAUUUGAAGUAUGAAGAAUUCUUCUUAGACUUUGUGUGUAGUGUUGUUAGCUUAUUGUUGUGUUAAAGUCUAUUUUGAUGUAUUUUGGAAAGAAUGACCAACUAGAACCACAAUAAGAUGUUGCAAAACUUAUUUAAACAAGGGCUUGUGAGCAAGAUUUUUUUUUUUCCCUUUCAUGUACAAAUAGUAUGAUGAAUGAAAAUUUGAUUCUCGAUUGUAAUUAGUGUUUUCUUUAAGUUUUAAAUCAUGCAAUGAAUACUUAAAAUUAGCUUACGAUGUCAAAGAAUGUAAGUAAACAAGGUUUUACAUGUUGGAUAUAUAAUAAAUUCAAAACCUUUACCUUCCACAUUGAAUGAUUACAUUUUUUCUUUAAGUGCCCUUUAAUCAUUCUCAUUUUGUUUAAUCAUUUUCUAUAAUGUCUCGAGCAUAGUAGAUUUCUAUAAAUUUACAUGAGCAUUCCUUAACUCUUCUUGAGUGAUCCUAAACUUAGCAUUGAAACAAUCAUAAUUUAGGCGAAGAUGCUUAUACGUCUUCAUAAUCAUCCUUGGUUGCUAGCCAUUUUUCCUUAAUUACUUUAGGAUGUUUAGUGAAGAUGAUUACAAAUAUUAACUAGUUCACUCAAACAUUUUUGUAUGAGUGUAGAACAAUUUUGCAUUCUUUCCACAUCACUUAUGCAUCUUCGUUCCAAGAAAUAAGAUAUAGAACUCUUAUGUUUUGCCUACACCACUUGGUUCUCCAACCCAUUGUGCUUAUGCAUCCUUUUUAUAUCACAUAUGCGACUUGCUUCUCAUUAAGAUAUUUCACUUACAUGUUCUUGUAUAUGCAUAAUUUAGGAAAAAAUAUUUAAAAAUAGAAAAAUAGAUUUUAAUACAUAUAUUUGGAACAAUUAAACUCAAACUAUGCAAGUGACCUUGUCUACUAUGUAGGUGACUUUGUUUACUACAUAGGCAAAGUAUAUGACAGUGAUAGUCAAGGAAGCUAUGUGGUUGCAUGGUUUAGUGGAGAAUUUAAGAGUAAAGCAAGAUCACAUUGUGAUUUAUUAUGAUAAUGGGAGUGCCCUAAAUUUAUUUAAGAAUAAAAUUCAUCACUCAUUGGUAAGGCAUAUUGAUGUCUAAUUUCAUUUUAUUUAAGAGAUUCUAGAAGAAAGUCAUACCUUAUUUUAGAAAAUUACUGAUGUUAAUGAGGUAGGUCAUAUUUAAAUGUGAUCCAUGUUGAAAGGAUCAAUGUACCUUUAGGUGUGUAGUAGCAAAAUCUUUAAAGAUUGUUUGGUUAGCUUCAUUUAAAUUACUUAGUUAAAUAUUACAUAGUCAAUUAUAUGUUUGACUUUUUGAACUAGAACAUUUAGAUUUUGGUUGUUGUAGUUGUUAUAAUUACUAUUUAGGUUUUUAAAAAGGUAUAAAUUUAUAAUUUUAGUUGGUUUUAUUAGUUUCAUUUAAAAUUCCCAAGAAACUUCAGUGAAGGAAAACAGAGCAAGAGAGUUUUUGAGAAUUGCUUAUAAUUCUUGUAUAUUAUUUUGAUAUCUUUAGUGCAUUCAUCUUAUCAUUACCAUAGAUGAAGGCAUAUUGUCAAACCAUAUAAAUUGUUUAUCUCUUUGUCUAUAUUGAGCUGCCAAGAUCAGUUCCUUGUAAUCCAAUGGCUUAUUUUGAUUCCACGAUGCUACAAUGUAUUGAAUUAAGCAUAGGGAUUAACAAUUCCAAUCAUAAACAAUAAGAGAUCCUCCCCAACAGCAUAAAAAACUUGAGAGACCCGAGGCUCGCAUCUCAGAAUAUGCUCUUGAACUAACACUAAAGAUGCCUAGAUUCACCACCACCCUUUCCACCCCAAUGUUGUUAGAAGUAGAAUCUAAUCAAAUGAAGAGUUCCUGAUAGUUGCGAGUUCUUAUGAUUUUUUUCCAUCAUUUUCUGACUUUUUUUUCAUCCAUUACGUACGUCCUUCUGAGUGGAGUUCUCCUUUCAUGGUAUCAGAAAAUCAUACUCAAUGAAUUCGUUAUAACCAGACCAUAACCAGAACCUCCAUGGCGUGUUUUUCCUGUGUUUUUUCUGAAAAUAUAGCUACAUUUAUACAUAUUUUUAAGAAUAUUAAAGGCAUUAUCAAAGGAAGAAACCGAGAAAACUGAUUGUAUAGAAAUCUAUAAUUGUGCUUACUUUCAGUCCUAGUCACAAAGUUUCAACCAGAUAAAUCAUGUCGAGAGAUGCCCAGCAAGUGGUGGUGGUCCAGGAUGCAUCCAGAGAUGUUAGUUCAAGAGCAAUCCUUAGGAUUCUCCAUGACUUAACACUUAAGCCUGGAGAUGACCUUACACUCCUCGGAGUUCUUCACCAGGUUAAUAAUCCUUGUACGCUUUCUUUCAUGGGAGGUAGGAAAAUACGUAAAAAUUCAUGCCUUUUUUUUCUUUUGAGUACAGAAGAAAAAUCCAAGAAGAAAGAAAUAUUAAACAUAGCACCAGGAAAAUGAUAUAUACCAAAAGGGAAAUUGUGCAGGUUUAUAGAUUGAUGAAUGAUGUGUCAGAUUUCCCAAUACAACUAUUUUAUUCUAAGGUAUACUUUGAUAAUAGAGACAACUAUUUUAUGAUCAAAUGAAAAAAUGAGGUAUAACAAUUAACCCAAGACAAAUCCUUAAGUGAUACUUUAGUUUUUUAUGAAAUAAAUGUUCUUUUUAUAUUAGUAUAAAAGAUUAUUUUUUCUUAGUUUCAUUUAGGGAAAAUUUUGAUUUUUUAAAGUUUUAAAGUUGGUUAAUGUAAAAUUUGUUUUUUAUCUUUUAGAUUUUCUUUUCCAUAUUUACAAAAAUAGAUAAUUAAAUAAACUUAGAUAAAAAUAGAAUUUUCAUGUUCACUUGUUUGCCUUAUGAAUUUAUUUUACUAUUAAAAUAGGUGCUUCUUAUUAUUUAAUUUUAAAAGUGAAGAUGCAUGUUUUAAUAAAUUCUAAGAGAGGACAAUGUUUAAAAUAAAAAAUUGAAAUAUCGUGGAAAUUAAUAUUUUAUUUUAAAUACAGACAAUUUCCAUGUAAUUUUGUUUGUAUAUUAUCACUACAAAUCAACGAUGACUCCAAAUAGCCAUUGGCCUUAAGAGAUGUCAAGCUCACAACAAAAAUAAUGUUCUAAGUUCUCUAAAAAUAUUUUAAUUAAACACAAAGGUAGUCCAUCAUCUAAUCAACAUUUGCAUAUACAAAACCAUUUUAGCAAAAGUUACAUCAUCCGUUAGUAUAAGCAAACAUGAAUAAGUAUUUCCUAAUUAAGAAAAAUAUUAAUUCAAAUAUUUUAAAUUGGCCAACAAAUUAGGAUAUUGAAAUAAUGGUCUCUAUAUCAAAUGAGUUAUAAGAAAAGGUAACAUUAUCUUUCAUCUAAAUUUCUAUGCUUUCACAAUCUUCAAAAUUAAUAAAACAAUAAGUUAUCUUUCAUUUGAUGCCAUUGGCUAUAUUGUAUUUUCUCGUGACAAAGUGAUGAUUAUCUUUUUUUUUUUUUUAUGCACUUGAUUGAUUUGGUUUCCACCAAUGUGACUUUAGUGAUUUAUCCUUCGCCGGUUGUUAGGAUAAUGGUAGUGGUUAAUAUGAUGUCGUCAAUAGAAUAACUACCUACUCUAGGUAGUAUGUUGGAUAUGAUGUUAUAAACCUACUUAUAGAUUAAUAUAGUUCAACAAAUACUAAUUUGAGAGAGAGAGAGAUAGGUCUAUGGUGAGUUGUAGUGAAAGGGAAGGAUUAAGGCUAGGGUUUGUGUGGGUAUGAAAAAGAUAAAAACAUUUUUAUUUUCAUAUCCAUUUUUGGAUUUUAAAAAAUAAAAAUAAAUAGGUGGAUAUAGAAAGAGUUCAAGUGGUUCGUUUGCAAUUUCCCUUCAUAAAACAUCACAGUUGUCAAUGAGAUCUAUGCACUAAGUAAUUUUAACAACCUUUGUUUGUGAAUUGCUUGUUACUGCAUUAAGUUUUGGUAUUCUCCUCCAUGUAGGUGAAACAUAUCAUGUUUAUGUAGAAUCAUUAAUAUAGUGUUUAACAGCUUCCAUGAAAAAGAAAGCGUGAGAGCUUGGGGAUAUACUUCCCAACUUAGAGGACAUCUCAAUAGCAAUGAAUAGAUUUUCAUAUAAAUGGUUAAAUAGUAUAUAAAAUAAUCGAAGAUGUCUUGUUUUAGUUUACCUCCUAGGUAGAUAGCCUAGUUACUUCAAGUAGUUUUGGCAACACCAUUUACUAUCAUCUUCAACGAGUAUAUAUCCUUCAAGGCAAGGCCUCACUUUCUUAGCUCAACAAAAAGUUUAUUAUGAUAAGUUAUCUUGAUAACUAAUGACUAAUCUUGGUGUAUAUAUAUAUAGUUAAGAGGGAUGUGAAUCAAUGAGAAAUAGUUUCCACUUUGUGCUAAUGAUAGGUUUGAGUCAAGGUUCAAAUUUUCAUCCAUGGAAGUAUGAAUGUUGAUCAAUAUGAAAUUCUGGUCCAUCUUGUGAUAACAAAUAGUUUAUCAUAUGUAACUCAAAAUUAUUCUUUCUAUACAUUCAUCUUGUGCACCCACCUUUCUGUUUCUUUAUUGUACGUAUCACUUUCUCUUAUUCCAUAAGGAGAAGCCACUAGACUUGAGAAAUCAAUUAGAGAAUGAUACAAUUCCAACAAGAUCGAGUAUGAAACAUUUCUUAUCAAUCUUUUCAUAGUGACUCAUAGCUUGUAGUAAAUUAAUGGGCUAUUUGUUUUUUAACUUGAGUUUUGAAGCAAGUUGUUUUAAGAUUUAAGAUAAAAGUAAAAAAGAAAUUUACUUUUUCUAUUAACACAAAAUUAUCUUAGAAAAUAUGAUACGUUAAAAAAUAACCAUUUUAAAAAUGACAAAUCUUAUAGAAAAAAAUAAUAUAAAAAAAUAACACUUAACACUAUUAAAUAGUAUUUAGUUUUGAGUUAUAUUAAGGUAUAUAUAUAUAUAGACACACACCACCUAAGGUGAUGUUUUACUUGUUUGUUUGUUUUUUCUAAAAUCUAAAUAGAUUUGAAUUUGGAUUGAAUUUAAAUAGAGCAAAAUGUCAUAAGUGUUUAGACUCUUUGUGCUUUAUUGUAUUUGAAAUAUGUUAAGUGUUAAAUUGUUUAUUUUUACUUAUGUCAAAAUACUAUAAGUAUUAAAUUUAUUUAUUUCACUUGUUAAAAAUGUCUACAAAAUUAAUUAUAGUAUUUGUUAUUAUUUUAGUUUUAAAAAUUUACAAUUUUUAAAAUAUAUAGUAAUUUAAAUAUUUCCAAAAUAUCAAAAUUAUUACGAUAAUAAACAUUUUAUAAUAAUUAAUAUUGUAAUUAUUUAAGCAUAAUUGGAUAAUAACAAGGAUUUCCUAUUAUGCUUGGUUACUAAAAAAAUAUUUUAAAAAAUUUCUAAUUUGACACUUAUUUCUAUAUGGUGUGUCUUCAUAUUUAAAUUUAAAUAUUUUCCAAAAUAUCAAAAUUUAUUACUAUAAUAAAAAUUUUACAAUAACUAAUAUUGUAAUUAGUUAAGAAUAAUUAUAUAAUAAUGAGACUUUCUAAUUAUGCUUGAUUACUAAGAAAAUAUUAAACAAAACUUCUAAGUUAACAAUUAUUUCUAUCUGGUGUAUCUUUGGAUUUAUGGAUUUGUAAUUGAAAAAUGUGUUUUAUUAUUGAGAUUAAUUCAUUAAUUUUUAUAUUUUAGAUUUUCAACAUUAAAUCCUAACAUUUUAUUUUUCAAAAUUAAUUAUUAUUGCUUAUUCUAAUAAUGUGGACCCCGCAUUUCGGCUCAUGCACUUCCACUCGAUGGCGAGCUCGAUUUUUAUUUGAAAAACGAUUUUAUUUAUUAGAAAAUGACUUGGAGUCACCACUUAUUUUUGUUUUAUUUUUAAAGGGUAAACAAAAUACGAAAGAAAACCCUAAGUGUGACUCCUUAUUUUGGAAAAGAUAAUCCACGAAAAACCGGAUCGGGCUCGGGGGUCAGGUUACUUAUCGGGAAGGUAUGGUAAAGACCGUAGCACCCCUCUAAGUCCCUAAAGUCGGGUCUCUACUAAUAAAAUGAAGCUAACGUGGCAAUUGAUGAGGGAAUCAAUGAAUACUUAGUGUAAUCAUGCACAAGUGAGAAUUAAAACAUACAUAUAGAAAGACCAGAAUGGGAGUAGAUGCGUACCUGGGUGAUGAGCCACAAUGCGCUAUCAAGAAAUGGGAUUAGUGCAUAGUAAUGAACAUAAAAUGUGUCAAUCUUAUCACCAAACAAGAGAAAGAACCACCAAUAGCACGCAUGACAUUUCGUUCAAAUUCAUUUUUAUUUUAAAGAAAAUUUAUUUGAUGUUGGGCCCCCACCAUAGCCCAUCUACUUUUGAGUGAAUCGAUUUCGUAAAUUCCAUCAUCAAGAAUUACGAAAAAUAAAUUCACACUUAUUUUGAAACAUUUUGAAAAUCAUGGAAAAUUCAAAAGUGGCUCGCCGGAAAGGAAAUGGUGGCCAAAUUUCAUUGAAAAUGGGAUUUUUAGGUCCUAAAAAUAAACUAAGGAUGAAAACUUAAAAAAAAUGUCAAAAUUAUUUGAAGAAUUUAAAAUUUGAGAAACCAUUUGAAAACUGGAAUAUGAUGGAUUAUUUUAAAAUCAAGGAUGAUGAAAUGAAAAGAGGUGGUACGUGGUCACCAAGACUACAUGUCAAAAGUGACCAUGCAACUCAUGCAAGAGUAGGUCUACGGGUAAGAGUACUGGAAUUGGGUAUAAGAUAACCAAUAGGAAUGGGGUAAAUUAAGAGACCCCAGCGGCAAGCAACUUCAUGAGGCCUUCCUUUGUUGAUGUGUACCAGAACCAACCUUCUUUUUGCCUUUUACAAACUUCUGUAAAGAUCCACCUCUACAAUUCUGAGCUUUUAUGCAUGAUUCAAAGAUAGCAUGAUGUUGUGCUUGGAUGUUCUCUUGGCUAUUACUGCCUUUUCUCCUUGUUGACCGAGAAUUAGUACCAUCAGGCAUCAAGUUAUGCAUUUCUUCCCUCAUCCAAACAAACAAGUUUUCUCUUGCAACUUUAAGAUCCUCUAAUAAGGACUCCAUGAAGAUUUUAAAAUCAUCCAAUGUUGCAGGAUCACAUGCAUUGCUCUUACUCUUCUUCUUAUUAACUUUCUUGAAAGAAUCCCUCUUCGUCUCUUUACUAUAUAAAUUAUUCCUCUUGCUUGAUCCAAUCUGCAUUUUGUUAGCUUUCCCAAUUUUGAAUUGAUCCCCUGAACUACGAUCAGACUUACCUUCUUGUUGAGAUCUAGGAGUACCACUGGUUUCAUCAUUUUCAGGCGAAAUAAGAGAGGAAACCAGUUUGUGCUUCUUGAGAACUGGCUCACCACUGGAACUCGAUUUGGAAUUAUCACUUGAAGAAUCAACGUCACUGUCUCUCCUCCUGAACUCCCACCUCUGCUGAAAUUUCAGGUCUUCACUCAUGUUAGUACUUGGGGAUAUAAUCACAACUGUAUAACUAUGUGCUCAAUCCUCGGGAGAGUCCGACCAUAAACGACUAGACCCACUUAUCAUCAAAGUUUCAACUGCUUGUUUGGAGAAUGAAAUCAGUUUGAUGGAAGGAUUUCCACUGCAACUGCACCUUGAACUCGUUUGAAAGAUUGUACCAGUGAUUCUAGCAGCACCCCUCCUCACAAAUCAAAUUUUGUGAAGAGACACCAUGAUUAAACCGCUCCAUCAUUCUCUUUCAUACACCCAGCACAAGAGCAUCCUCUGUGGAUGAAGCCCAACCAUUGCUCUGCAUCCACUUGGAACAAUCUUCUUAGCCCCAGAUGGGAGCUUGAUCCUGCUGGUGCCAUUAUCAGGGUUGUGGCUGACGACAAUAGCUCACUUGCCGGAUGCCCUGGCGAAGACACCUCGAUCACCAACGUGAUCUUCAACGUUACAGACCUCGGCACCUUCGGGAGUAGAGCGCAGGGGCAGAACGUUAUCGGCAAUGAGGGUGGCUUUCUUACUGCAGCAAACGAACUGGCCCGUGUAUAUGCUCUCAGCCACCACGAUAGGUUCAUCAUGACUGCAACUCCUACUAAACCAUAUCCCUGUCUCAGCAUCAAUAACCAGCUAGGUACUGCAUGUAUCACCAACACCACUAUCGAGGUCCAGGCUAUCACAAGUUCUGUUGCUAGGCAGAGCAGCAGGAAGUUGGUUAUCAAAGACAUGGUAAAUUUUAUCACCACCUAGGCGCACGCCAUCGAGAUGCUCUUUGUAUGUCUGAUCGAAGACACAAGAAAUUUCCAUGAUCAUGUAUAACUUUCUUCCAUUCUUCUUCAGUUGCACCAGUACCAAAUCCAUAUCAGCCAAGGACCCUUCACGCACAAGUAGCCACAGAUCUGUCAGAGAUGCACUUGAUACAAUUUUGCGAGCAACUGUAUGAUGAUUCUGCUUUUGGCCUGGAGGUGGAACUAAACCUUCCACUAAUCUAUAUUUUUCUCAAUAAUAUAUAUCCUCUAACCUUGACAAAAUAAUAACUUAAAUCCCAGUGUUGACUCCUUGCUUCUCGCCACUUAAGCUAACAAUGAUUAUGCCUUGUCACCAGAUGACUUCAAGAGCUAGGUUGUCCAAAAUCCUGUUAAGAAAUUAGUCCACACCAACUGAUAACAAGCUGAUGUGGCCCUCGAAGACAUUGAUUGAACCUAGUCCAUGUUGUAGUCACUUUUUGAAUUUCAUGAUCAAGAAAAUGAAGAGGAAGCCAUUUAGAUGCAUGGUUGAAAAUGGUCAACUGUUAUGCCCCCAUCAUCAUCACCUCUAGUAUUAUGAACACAAACCAGUUGCAACCGCCAUUCACAGACUCCCAUCACAGUUCAUGGGCCUGAAAUGAAUCUCCAACUAAUGGUGUAAGCAACAAGCUGAAUGUUGUUAAAAAUAUGAGAAAUGGGUGGAGAGUUGUGCGUUAAGAAGCAGAGAAUGGAAUAAGGGAAUAUACCCCUUCCCUCAAAGGCACAGAGAUGGAAUCAAGUAAUUGAAGCCGAAGGAAAGCCUUUCGGGUAGCCAAGAAAGCUUGAUUUACAUAUUCUGCAUUACUUUCAGCAACAUUGGCAAUCACAUCCCUGUCUGAGAGGCCAACUGGUUGUCCUUUGUGGUGAGUUCAGUGUCAUUUUAAACUUCUCCAUUGUAUCAAGGGAUAGCCAGCACAAGAAAGAAAUGAUACAAUGAAGCAGACAUGAGGCAUCUUUAGAAAUCCUCUGUGGAUGACAUUUUAAAGGCUCUGUGAUAUUCUGAAGCAUUGCUACUCAACUAUGACCUCCAUCCCUGAUAUAAAACACUAAACCAACCUCAAUCUACUUAACAUGCAUCUCGGGUACUCCAUAGAGAUUAAGCAUCUGUAAUCAUAGCUUCCGCUCCUUGAAUUUGCGUUCUCAGAUGGAGAUGCACCAAUCAAAGCAAACCACAGACAAACACCAAAAACAGAGACGUAUAGAGAAGAAAAUUGAUAAAACAAAACAGGGAUAGGUGAAAUGAGAGUUUGUUAAGCAAAACCUGGUCCCAUAAAUUAUCAACAGGCUUACCAGUUAGUGGGAGGGGAAAUGGGUUUAAGGAGAAAUGAUAGGAGAGAUACAUUCAGACAUCACGCAAUAAAACUGGACAAGAUUCAUACUAUUUCUCUCAACUAAAACCCAUAAACAAUAGAUGGAUAUAUAGUCAUAGCAAAUCCAGUGGAUGCUCAGAGAUCAACAAAAGUAGCCAUAUGAUAUCCACACACAAAUAGCUAAAUAACACCCACUAAUGAACAAAAGAGAAUGAAUAGCAAGAGAAAAAAAUAGAGAUGGAUAAGAAACAUACCUGGAAAUACCCCUCUCCAGUAAAAUCAGCUGAACUGCUAGUCCAUUGCUCUCUCCCCCUUCCUCUGGUUCCCCUCAAGUUAAAACAAUACCCUUCUCAAAUAUCUCCGACCAAAAAACCUUCUCCAAAAACUUCCCUUUCUCCUCUGCCAACCCCCCUCCAAAAAGCAUCUCCCUCUUCUCUACAACUGGCAGAUACGCUCCUCCCAUAACAGAAACGUUCUUCUCUAAACGUCCCUUUGGGAUCUCUUAUCAAACCUCUAAUGACUCUCAAGACUAGGUCACCGAUAUGUAGUGGUAUGGGCUUGACCCGCUUUUUGAAAGCGCGGGCCAUCUUCCUCUAUUAUGCACGAACAUGGUCUGUUGCUCUCAAUCUCAUCUCAUAUAGGAGAUUGAGCUGAUCAAAUCGAGCCUGAGCCCAAUCCGCCUCGGGAAUCUGCUACUUUAGUGCUACUCUCAAUGAACUCAUCUCGAUCUCAACUGGUAGCACUGUCUCCAUACCGUAUACCAAUGAAUAAGGUGUGGCUCCUGUAGAGGUGCGAAAAGAAGUCCGAUAUGCCCACAAUGCGAAAGGGAGCUUCUCUGACCAAUCCCGAGAAGUCUCAACCAUCCUCCGCAAUAUCCUCUUAAUAUUCUUAUUCGCAGCCUCUACUGCCUCAUUCGUCUACGACCUAUACGCAAACGACCUAUGAUGUCGGAUGUCGUAUCUCUGUACUAAGGUAUCAACCUCUGCUCUGAAAUGUACCCCUCUAUCUGAAAUCAACUCAUGAGGGACUCCAUAGCGACAGAUAAUGUGUGAUCUGAUGAAACUAGCAACUCCAGCUGAUGUCAAUCUCUCAUAUGAGGCGGCCUCCACCCACUUGGUGAAGUAAUCGAUGGCGACCAGGAUGAACUCAUGACCACUGGAAGAUUUCGGUGAAAUCUUUUCGAUGAUGUUAAUACCCCAUAUAGAAAAUGGCCAUGGUGAAGUCAAUGCGUGCAACUCAGAGGACGGCACGUGAAUGAGAUCUCCAUGUAUUUGACUCUUGGGACAUCUCUGAACAAACUGACAACAAUCUGUCUCCAUGGUCAACCAAAAAUAGCCAAUCCUCAUGAUUUUACGGGCCAACAUAUGCCCUCCCAUAUGUGGUCCGCAGACUCCCGCAUGAACCUCUCACAUCACUCUAUCGACAGAAGCGUAGUCCAAGCAUAAUAACAGCAUCCCAUCAGGUGAUCGUCUGUAUAGUGUCUUGCCACAAAUCACGAAUCAUGCAGCCAACUGUCUCAAUGUUCUCUUAUCCUUGGCCGUGGCGGCCUUAAGAUAUAUGCCAAGUCUCAAAAAGUGAUAUAUGUCAUGAUACCAUGGCAAACCAUCGUCUAUCUCCGUAUCAUCGAUCAGAAAACAAUAUGUAGGAGCAAAUCUGGACUUAAUCAGUAAAUGACGAAUAGUGGCAUCAGCAGGAAUGUCAAUCAUGGAAGUUAGAGUAGCUAAGGCAUCAGAAAACUAGUUAUGCGCUCUAAGCAGAUGUGUGUAUCUCAAAUCAUCAAAUCUCCCAACCAGUAGCUCCAAAUAUGGCGGUAAGGCCUAAGUUUCACAUCUCUAGUCUUCCACUCGCCCUGAAUCUGUCUCAAAACCAGAUUGAAGUCGCCAAACACCUCUAUCUAUCUAAUCCCGAGCUCAAGGGCCGUCUCUAAUCCCAAGAUACAGACCUCAUACUCAACAAUGUUGUUUGUGGCCGGAUGUCGAUCCAAGAAUGCCAAACAAAUAGAUCGGGGAAUGUGAUCACCAUGAGGGGAUAUCAACAAGACGCCUAUCCCGUAUCCAGAAUGGUUGGCUGCACCAUCAAAGUACAUGUGUCAACCUGAUAAACUAGUCACAACAGCGACAUCCUCGCCUGGGAAGUCAUCAUCAAUGGCUCUACCAUUGGAAACUAGUAAUGAGGCUAAGUGAUCUACAACAAUGCUCCCUCUUAUGGACUUCUGAGUGACAUAAUGGAUGUCAAACUCGGUCAGAAGUACCAGCCAUCUCAUGAGACGACCGAUCAAAGCGGGUCUGUCAAAAAAAUAUCUCAGAAGAUCUAGAUGGGAUAUCAAGUGCACUGAAUACUCGGUCAUGUAAUGUCUUAGUCGGUGAGUGGCCCAAACCAAUGCCAAACAGUAGCGCUCAAUCAUGACAUUCCUUGCCUCAUAGUCUAGCAUCCUCUUACUCAAAUAAUAAAUGGCUUAGUCAUUGCCUGAAUCAUCAAGCUGAGCUAACAUGCACCACAAUGCUACAUCUGAAAUUGACAGAUAUAGGAGUAAGGGACAACCUGGUGUAGGAGGCGCCAAGACUGGAGGUGACAACAAGUACUUUCUGAUCCUCUCAAAUGCACGCUGACACUGAUCAUCCCAAACAGUAGGUUGACUCUUCCUCAAGAGUCGGAAAAUGGGCUCAUAGAUGUCUGUCAAUCUGAUGAUGAAUCUACUGAUAUACUGAAGUCUACCCAAGAAGCCCCUGACCUCUCUCUCUGUCCUCGAUGCAGGCAUGUCAAGGAUGGCUCUGAUCUUAUCCGAGUCUACCUCUAUGCCUCUCUCUCUGACCAUAUACCCCAAGAGUUUCCCAGAAGUCACUCCGAAAGUGCACUUCUUGGGAUUCAGUCUCAAUUUGAACCGUCGGAUCCUCUCAAAGAACCUCUCUAGAGUUGCUAGGUGAUUUGGUCUGUCUUGGGAUUUCACUAUCAUGUUGUCUACAUAAACCUUGACAUCCCGAUGCAUCAUGUCAUGGAAGAGGGUGGUCGUCGUUCUCUAAUGGGUGGUUCCUGCAUUCUUCAAUCCGAAUGGCAUGACUCUAUAGCAAUAAGUACCCUACUCGGUAAUGAAGGACGUCUUCUCCAUGUCCUUUGGAGCCAUCAAGAUCUUAUUGUACCAAGAAAAUCCGUCCAUAAAGGACAACAUCGAAUGACCUGUCAUACUAUCAACCAACAUAUCGAUGUGUGGGAGAGGAAAAUCAUCCUUAGGACUGGCCUUGUUGAGAUCUCGGAAAUCAACACAAACUCUCACCUUGUCGUCCUUUUUGGGAACAAGGACUACAUUGGCCAGCCACUCCGGAUACUCGACCACUGACAAAAAUCCUACACUGAGUUGCUUCUGGAUCUCCUCCUUCACUUGCAAGCUCCAACGAGGGUGCAAUCAUCUCAACUUCUACUUAACCGGUCUAGCAUGGGGCAGAAGUGGCAAACGAUGUUGGACGAUAGAUGGAUCAAGGCCUGGCAUGUCCUCAUAGGACCAUGCGAAAACGUCCAAGUAUGCUCUGAGCAACUGGAUGAGGUUGUCCCUCUCAUCAUCAGAUAAAUCUGAUCUGAUCCUCAACUCCCUAGGCUGAUAUAUUGUGCCGAAAUCAACAAUCUCCAUGUCCUCUAUAGCAGGUGAAACUCUCUGAUCAAAGGGAUCCGAAUCGGAAAUAGAAGAUGAGUCAUCAUCUGAGUCGUGUUGUGCAAUCUCAUCAUCAAUAUCAAAAAUCUGUGAUGUGGGUGAAGAUGGUGCAGAUAAAACAAUAUCGUAAAAGAGAGGCAAAUUUUAAAAAAUGCUCAAAUCCAUAGAUGAAAAGUCAGAAACAUAGUCAUGAUGGGAGACAAAUCCCGAUAAAACAUCAAAUGAAAGAGGUGAGUCUACAAAGUCGAACAUUCCCUCAACUAGGCCAAUAGGGCCAUCAAGAAAAUCAUCAACAGCUAUAAUGUCCUCAGUAAUCUCCGAAGUAGGGGCAGUCUGGAUCUCCUCAGCGAUCUCAAUGAAAGACACCCCGAAGAGAUCAAAUGGUGAAGUGAGCUCAGGCUGGACUAUCUCCUCAAUCUGGCUCAAGCUCAAUGCAAGCAUCUCAUCGACGUACUCGUCACAUGGCAUAGCUCCGUCUACUAUGUCGCUAAUCUCAACAAAUGUCUUGUGAUCAUCGAUCUCAUCCAAUAAGCAAAGCGUCAUAAGGCUCGUGCGAUCUGGAGAGGCAGGAGCGAUCAACGCAGAAGUCGAAGGAUCAAGGGCUCCGUUACUCAAUUGUAACUGCUGGACGAGGCGCUGAAGCUCGGCCUCCUUGGUGGUGUUGAAUCCUCUGAUGAUCCCAUCAGAUGGUGCAUGUGACUCCGAUGCCCUCACAAAGUAAUCUGCCAGGCUCAUGGUGUAUGGGCGAACAGGAUAAUAAAAGAGCGUAUGAGUCAGUCGAGCCCUCACCCUCUCCUUGCUCAAUCGCGCCAUAUAACGAUAAUCGGCCUCAGUGGGGAUGAACCUGAGUCCGAAUGGUACGUCGUGAUCAGGGAUGGCUAUGAACUCACUAGGCCCAUGCUGACACUACCCUAACCCUAUGCCGGGAAAAUAAGGCAUACUCUGCAUCAUAUCGAGCACCACCGUGCUACUAUGCUGGUCAAAGGACAUGGCUACGAAAUCUCGGUAGAAAUCUUCUAUCUCCACGGUUUGUACCUCAUCAAAGGUGAAUCCAGUCAGAAAAAGAUCGUCAUCAGUGUGACUAAUCUCAAGCACAGGCUUGGCAAAAAUGAACAUAUCUCCCACAGACUGCACCACGACGACCUGGCCAUCGUGAAUAAACUUCACCUUUUGAUGAAGGGAAGAAUGAAUGGCCCCAGCUCUGUGGAUUCACGGUCGGCCCAGAAACAGGUUAAAGGAUGUAGGAAUCCUCAAAACCUGAAACACGGUGACAAAAGUGGCCAGAUCAAUUAGUAGUUCAAUCUCUAGUGUGCCCAUGACCUCCCUUCGAGUACUGUCAUACGCGCGAACGGUCUAAGUGGAGGGACAGAAAUCAGAUGGUGCAUAGCCGAGGGCAGUGAUGGUGGCCAGAGGACAAACGUUCAGGGUCGAGCCAUUGUCCAGAAGGACAGAUGGGACUCGACGGCCUGAACAACCAACAGAUAUAUAGAGUAGACGCGUGUGGUCUGAGCCCUCUGGUGGCAAGUCAUCAUCGGAGAAUACAAUGCAUGUGGCUCUACCGACCGUCAUCAUAUGAAUCAAUCCCUCAUGGGAGGUGGUAGUCUUAACUCUAAUCUGGCUCAGGGCUCAAAUCAGAGCAUCAUGGUGAGUGGUCAAGGAUGCCAACAAACUCCAGAUGGAAAUACGAGCCUGAGUGCUCUAUAGCUGCCUCAAAAUCUCGGCGUCCUCUACUCUGACCUCAUCGGGAACAGAUGUACCCUCAACUGGCUUAGCUGCUGCGCGAGGUGGCUAUCGCAACACUCUACCUCCUCAAAGAAUAUACUAAACAUCCAAAGUUUGAGAAUCAUCAACAUGCGGAGCUUGAACCUCCUCAACAUUCGAGAUCAAGAUGAAUGGCGUCUGGACGCUGUAAUAUGGAAAAAUCAAUGGCUCAACAGUGGUAGUCUGUACUAAUGCCACCUGGGGAACUAAUCCGAAUGAAAUGGGCAUCUGAGGCCCCAAAGUCGCUCCGUCCAUCUCAUAAAUCCCAUUUGACAUGAUAGGCUCUGGCUCAAUGUCAUCACAGCUCAACAUAUGGAUAUAGUCAUCAUGAUCAAAGAACUCCAGGAAAUGUAUGCUAUCGACCGGUGGGGGGACCACAUGUGUAGUGUGGGCAAGUAAUGGGUUUGUGGUUACACUCGGCUGACCCAAGUGCACCAAACCCUGGUCGAUCAGAUCCUGGAUGGCAUGCCUCAAAGUGGUGCAGCGAUCGGUCUCGUGUCCAGGCCCUUGAUGGUAUGCACAGUGCAAAUCCAUCCUGAAUUAAGGUGGAAUCGGCUGAGGUGGCAGCCUGGGAGUGAGAACGGUCAAUAACCCGGCCUCUGUAAGCUUCCGAAGAGCCUAGCUCAAUGGCAUGCUUAAUUGCGAGAACUACCUCUGUGUCCUCAAAGCAGAUGGAGCAAAAGUCUGCUGAGCUUUGGGUUGAGGAUAAGGCGUUGUGGGUCUCGCAGUGAAUUGAGCAGCAUAGCAUGGCUGUCCUAUGGCCGUGUAGGAAAUUGGGGGUCUCUCAAUGUCCUGGGUGGCAUAAUAAGGCAAAGCCAAAGUCUGUGGCAUGUAGACUGAUCAUAAGUCGGGUGAGGCGCUCGUGGCCUAUACUGCUGAGGUGGAUAUGAAGAAUGAGCCUCAGGAAGCUAUGGGAUCGGCUGAUGGCGCCUGGGAGGUCUCUAACUGGAAGAACUAAUGGCGCUCACGUCAACUGAUCUUUGUCCUCCAAAGGGCUUCUUCCCCUUAACAUCACUAGGGGAAGAAUCUGUCCACAAUCCUCUAGAGAUGUCGUCCUCGACAUCGUAUAAAGUCAAAACCAAUGAACCAAAAUCUGUGAAUGGUACCCUAACCACGUGUCUGGCGAUCCUGGGCUGUAAACUCCUCAAGACCAUCUAUAUCUGAUCUCUCUCUGAAGGUCUAUCAAUGAUCUCGACAAUCUUCCCACGCCAGCGGGAAAUGAAUGAAGAAACUAACUCAUCUAUUAUCUACCUCAGAGCCUCGAGCUUUCUCCUCGAUACAUCCACGACAGUGUUAAAUGAAAACUGUCGUAAGAACUCCUGGGCCAAGUCGUCCCAUGUUCGGCGUCGUGAGGACUUCAAGGAUGCAAACCAACGUUGGGCCGUCCCACUCAGAGAUAGUGGAAAUAAAGUGAUCAUCUGAGACUCAUCCAAUCCAUGAGCCCUCAUCACUGUGCUAUAGAGUCUGAGGUGGAUGCGUGGACAACUAAUGAUCGUAUAUCUCUUGAUGUCUGGCAUCCUAAACUUAGCCGGCAAACUGGCUAUCGGCAUACCCUCGAAAUCAUCCCAAACAAUUGAUCUAUCUGACACUCUCAUCUGCCUCAUACGCUGUUUAAGACAGUCCAUACGUGCAUGAGCAUCAUCAACGACAGUGGUCUGGACAACAGCGGGUGGAACAAUCUCAGAAUGUCCAUGUAAUAUAUAGGGUGAGGCCUGAGGCACUGAAGGAACGGGUGGUGGUGGUGGAUGUGGAUGUGAGUCAUACGACGUCUCAUCCUGAACUGUUGGUGGUCUACUUUGCUGACCACUGAUCUCCUGCCUGAGGCUAGCCAAAGCCUCCUGGAUAGAAGCCAUGGUAGCCGUAAACUGAUCCAUUGUAACAACCUGCUGAUCCAUACUCGGUCUCUCUGAAUACCGGACUAAUCUCCCCUCUACUCUGACCCAAGAAGGCGUAUCCAGACUGUGAACGAAGAUCCGAUCCUGAUCGAUUCUUCUCCUACUCCUCUCCUCAAGUCUCUCAAAACCAGCAUCCAAAAGCACCUCCUUCGACCUCUCCUAUCUUCACUCCCCUCAAAAGCACCAGAAGUCUCUCAAAAAUCUCUUUUGCCCCUUGCCAAAAAGCCCCCUCCUCUCCAAAAUAUCUCCCCACAAAACGCCCCCUACGCUUGCCAGAAUAUCCUCUCUCUCAUCCGAUCCUCCUAACAGACUGCGGCCUCUCUAGAAUGUUCUUUCCACGUGUUCAACUCUCAUUUGCUCCUCGAUUCCACUACCUAAUUCUCUGUCCACCAACCACGAGGUGAUACGUGGCUCCUUGAGAGCCUUCCACCUGGCAAAAUGAGUUGCAGAAAAUGCAUGAAAGUGAGGCCCCAAAAUGAGGGUCUACAAAUAGGUUUUUAGAUGAGUGUGAAUUGUGUUUUGGAAUUCUAACUAAAAAAAAUUCAUUAGAAUUGAUGAUAGUUUAUUUUAGUCUUGUUCUACUAUAAGAGGUUGAAUUAUAAAAAUUUGUAGUACAUACAUUUCUAAUAAAAAUGUUUAUGAUUUAAGUAUUGUUAAUUUUAUUAUUAAAUGAGGAAUCUACAAAAAUUUAUGAAAUUUAAUUUUGUUGAGAAUUUGAUGAAUUAUGAAGCAGAAACAGUAGCUAAAUGUGGUAGAAUUUUGAUUCAAGUUUUGGAAUUUAUGAAUUUAUUUAGAUUAAUUUGUUACCCAAAUUAAGUUACUUUUAUGUUGUUGGGCUUCUUUUAAUAAAAAAAAAAAAUCAUUAAAAUUUAUAUCUAAAUUUUAUCAAGAAUCAAGAGGAAAAAUGGACAAAAACAAAGCAUAUUUCAAUCAUUUCAUUUUUUUUUCUUGAUGACAACUUUGUUAAUUUAUAAUAUAUUCAUUUUUCUUCCAAAUUACACAAAAUUGAAAUAGUUUAAUUCUUUCUUCAGAUAAAAGUUAUCUAAAGUCAUAAAAAAAAAUGAAAUUGAUUUUAUUUUAUGUGAGGAAUUAGGUCUAAAUAUCAUAACACAGUUAGAGAUCAAAAAAAUAUAAAGAGAAAAAAAAUGACUUUUUCUAUUAAUAUAAAAGUUAAAAUUAAUUCAUUUUUUCCUUAAGUAUAUAUAUAUAUAUAUAUAUAUAUAUAUAUAUAUAUAUAUAUAUAUAUAUAUAUUUUAAAAAAAAAAGUAAUAAGCUGAAAAAUAAAUAGUUCUAAAAUGUAUUCAGUCUUGAAGCAACUUACUUUAACAUUUGAGUAAAAAAACUAAAUAAAAAAUAAAAAUAGAAAAAAUCAAGCCCUAAAGCAUUGGAUGAGCCAAUGAUCGGAUACUUGAUUUUAACUAAGCAGUUACUUGUCAAUAAUUGUGUUCAUGUUCAUCUCUGCCAAGUACCUUAAAAUGAAAAGGAACAAGUUCAUAUAAAAUCCAAUUUGUCUUUCUCACCCAACACAAUUGCAACCAUCCACCACCAAUUCAAUAUCUCGAAAAACCUUCAAUGUCUCUAAUAGAACCAAAAUCAUGUUAUAUUUGGGAACAUUAAAAUCUUGAUGUAAUGCAACAUUUCAAAAGAAUUUUUCACUUUGAUCUAUGCUCAUAUCAACAUUUCUCUUUGAUAUAGGCAUUUUUCAAAAGAAUUCACCUAUCUUUUCUUGCUAAAGCCUUAAAUUUCUCUCUUCUCUCCAUAACAAACCUUGAGCAUGCAACUUACUAAAUAGACAUUACAUAGGAUUCAAAAUUAAUUUUCAACAAUUCUCAAGUAUAGUGCCUAUUGCAUAAGCAAAUAUACUUUUAAAGAUAUUGUUGAUAGCCUUCUCUAUGCUAAUAGCACUUUUAAUGCUUGGGUUGAUCUUUAUGAUUGAUUCCACCAAAGCAAUGCCCCACGAAUCUUCCAAAUCGAGAAGCACAUAGUUGUUCUUGAGCAAAGAUCUAUGGAUGUCAACACAUACUACACUAAGCUCAAGGUCCUCUAGGAUGAGCUCAAAAAUUAUCAACCCAUUCUUGUCUAUCACUAUGGAGGCACAAAGUCUUGGUUAGACACCAACAAUAGGAGUACAUCAUGCAAUUUCUUAUGGGUUUGAUUGAGUCAAAUGCUUAAACUUGAACACAGAUCUUAAUGAUGUCUUUGCACUAGUUGUCCAAGAAGAAUGCCAAUGUACUAUUAAUCAAGGCUCUUUUUUUCCUAUCGAUUCUCUUAUGCCCAACAUUUCAAAUUCCUCUGCUUUUGUUACAACAACAAAUUUUUCUCGAAAUUCAACUUUAAAACCCAAGUGUGAGUGACCCUAAUAUUCCCACUGUGGCUUGCAAGAACAUAUUGUAAAUAAAUGCUAUCAUCCUGGCUAUAAGUCAAAAUCAAAGAAACCUGAAGUAAAAAAUUCAAGCCACCUAGGCCAAUGCAACUAUUAAUGAGACUAUUAACUCUGGUUCACCCCUUGGAUCUCUUACUUUAGCUCAGUGUCAUCAAUUGUUUGCAUUCUUGAGCUCUCAACUUCAUAACAACUUUCUUGUUAUGCUAGAAUCUCAAUAGCUAGAACCCUUUGUUUCCCAGUUCAAUGGUAUACUAUCUUUUUCUUCUGUCUCAUAAUUUUCCAAUUUCUUUUUCCACCUGGAUUUUGGACAUAGAAGUCGCACAUCAUGUUUGUUGUUCAUUAAGCACAUUUACACAAUCUACUCCAGCACAAAAUUCUUUUGUAACUUUGCCUAAUGGUCAAUCUGUUGUUAUUAAUCGUAUUGGUUAUGUGUUUUUGUCUCCUGAUCUCAUCCUUAAUAAUGUCAUGUUUGUUUCUAAUUUCCAUUUCAAUCUCCUCUUUAUCUGUUCGCUCACUCAAAGUUAUAAAUCUUCUAUUAAUUUUAUGGUUGAUUCUUGUACUAUUCAAGGCCAUACACGGACCAAAAUGAUUGGGAUGAGUAGAAGACAUGGUAGCCUAUACUUCUUAAAUAUAGUCAAUUUUCAUUCCACUACACCACAAAUUUUCAGUCCUUGUAAUAAUGUUUCGUUGUCUCAAAAUGAAAUUUGGUUUUACCAUUUAGGUCAUCCUUCUUAUGUAACAUUACAAACAUUCAAAAAUGAAAUAGAAGUUAAACCAAAUUCUGGUGAUUCAAGUCAUUGUUUAGUUUUCCAUUUAGUCAAAAGAUGCAAAUUACAUUUUAUUUCUCACAAUUAUUUGUCUGUUUUGCCUUUUCAACUCAUACAUUGUGAUGUUUAAGGUCUCCUUCACACAUUUACCAUUGAAGGUUAUAGAUAUUUUUUUUACUAUUGUUAAUGAUUGUACUCAUUUUAUUUGGGUGUAUCUUUUGCGUGCUGAGCCUGAUGUUACUGAAGUUAUUCCUAUUUUUUUUUCUCAUUGAUUCAAACUCAAUUUGGAACACAAAUAAAAUUUGUUCACUCAGAUAAUCCUCCUGAAUUGGCAUUUUUUGACUUCUUUCAUGCAAAAUGAGUCAUCUCAUUUCAUUCUUGUGUUGAUUAGCCUCAACAAAAUUCAAUAGCAGAAAGAAAGCAUCAACAUAUCUUAAAUGUUGUAUGGUCUUUAUGUUUCCAAUCACAUAUUCCAUUGGUUUAUUGGGGGGAUUGCAUUCUUAUUAUUGUACACUUAAGAAAUAAAACUGCAUUCCCACUUUUGUCCAAUAAAACAACCUUUGAACUUCUUUGGAAAAAGAAGCUUGCAUAUUCACAUCUUUGUAAUUUUGGUUGCCUAUGUUAUGCAUCUACUUUAGAUCGUCAUAGGACAAAUUUCUCACCUCAUGUCAUUCCUUUUGUCUUUCUUAGGUACCCAUCUGGUUAUAAAGAAUACAAAUUAUUGAAUCUAGUCACUAAUUCUGUGUUUAUCUCCCAUAAUGUGGUAUUUCAUGAGUCUAUAUUUUCUUUCAAAACUAUUCAAACUUAUUCUCCUCUUCCAAAUAUUUUCUCUGAUACUGUUUUACUAUUUCCUUCUUUUUCUUCCAUUCUUGAAUCUACAUCUUUGCCAAUAUCAACAAUUCCUACUGUUUUCAUACCUUCUACGUCUCAUUGUCAUCCUAAUCGUGUUCGUAGGCCUCCUUUUUAUCUAGCAUAUUACUACUGCUAUUCUUGUUCCCACAGCACAUCUUCUACCUCACAUCCUCUCACACAUGUCCUUGAUUACACAAAAUUGUCAAAUUCAUAAAAAUAAAAAAAUGAAUAAAAGUUUGUGUUAUUUCCUAUAAUUUUGAACCCACCACAUACUUCAAGGCUGCUACUAUUCUAGAUUGGCAAGAUGCAAUGUCUGCUGAGUUAGGAGCUCUUGAACAAAAUGACACUUGGUCUUUAACUACUUUGCCACAAGGAAAACAUGCUAUUAGGUGCAAAUGGGUGUACAAAAAUAAGUAUAGAGUUGAUGGAACUAUUGAACAAUACAAAGCUCACCUUGUAGCUAAAGGCUGCACACAACAAGAGGGCAUAGACUAUCUAGGUACCUUCUCUCAUGUUUUCAAAUUGGUUACUGUUAAGGUUUUGCUUGCUUUGGCUACCAUUAAUGGUUGGAGCCUUCCUUAGAUGGAUGUCAAUAAUGUGUUCUUACAUGGUGAUCUUUUUAAGGAAGUUUAUAUGACUCUCCUAGUUAUCACCUGAAGGAAAAUCAUUAUCCUCACACUCUGUUUACAAAAUUCAAAAGUCUUUAUAUGGCUUGAAACAAGCAUACGACAAUGGUUUUCCAAACUCUCCAAUUUCUUACUUGUUGAAGGUUUUUAAACAUUCUAAUGCAAAUCACUCUCUUUUUGUCAAAGUUGUCAGUACUCACUUCAUUGCUCUGUUAGUUUAUAUGGAUGACAUUGUCAUUGUUAGUAAUAGUGAUGAGCGAGUUGAGAAAUUAAAAGUUCUAUUUAGGAAAGCUUAAAUACUUCUAAGGCCUUGAGGUGGUGAGGUCUAAUAAGGAAAUUUCCCUUAGUUAGCACCAUUAUGCCUUACAAUUACUAUCAGAUAUAGGCUAUGUUGGUUGUAAAUCAAGGAAAACACUUAUAAAUCCAAAUGUGAAGCUCACACAAGACAAAGGUGAUCUAUUAAAAGAUCUUUUAUUUUACAGAAGAAUGAUAGGCAAAUUGCUUUAUCUAACCGUAGCAAAUCCAGAUUUAUCAUUUUCAGUACAUAAAUUCAAUCAAUUUCUUGCAAAGCCCAGAGUUCUUCAUAUGUGGGCAAUACAACAUGUGCUUCAGUACUUGAAAGCAUGGUUUGAAAUAUUGGUAAACACGGAUAUAUCGAUACUUGGAUUUUAUGAAUAUGUUGGAAAUAUUGGUAAAAUAUCGGUAAAUAUUGGUAAAAUAUCGGUGGAUAUUUUGGCAAAAAUAUUGGUGAAACAAAAAUUAUUCAAAAUUCAUGGAAAUGUUUGGAAAACUCUAAAAAAAAUGAUAAAAUAAGCAAGAAUACAUAUGUUAAAGUUAUUGUAAGUGGAAUUGACAUAAAUAUGGUCAAUGAGAAAAAUAUGGAGGGAUAUAUCAAACUUAAUAAUUUAUUAUUUAUCUUAUCAAAUUAAUUUUAAUUUAUAAAAUAUUAGAACUUCAUUAUUUUUUUUAUUUUAGUAAUGUUUUGAAUACAUUUAUAUUUUUAAUAUUUGUAAAAUAAAAACAUUCAAAAUUAAAUAAAAUUAAAAGGAUAAACAUAAAAAAAGUGAACUGAUAGCAAUUUUUAAAAAUAAGAUUAAUGAGAUAAAUGAUGAUACAUUUAAUAUUAAAACUAUAAUUUAUUUAAUUCAAAUACAUUCAACAAUGUAAAAUAAAUUAUGAUGCAUAUAUAAUUUUUUUGAUAUUUAUAUUUUUUUUAUAUAAUUGUCAUAUAAAUGAUAUAAAAAAUAAAAUAAAAUAAAAGACUUGUUAAGAAAAUUAUAAUGAUGGUUUUAUACUUUUAUUAAAUAAUUAAAUAAAAUUUUAAAUAAAAUAAUUAGAAUUAAUUUAUUUAUUCUUUUAAUGAUGAAUUUUACCAUAUUUAUUGUGAACAUAUAUUUACAAAUGUGGACUUGGCCCAAUAGUAGUCAGGCUUCACCCAAGCCUUUUGGCCUAGGUUUGAAUCCCCUUGGAUGCAAUAGAAAAAAAUUUGAAGGAAUUUACCCGAAUAUCGACAUCUUUUCGAUGAAGUUGAUUGACUUUCGGUGUACAAUAUCAUGUCGACUCUCCCUGAUAUUUUGACGAUCAACUUUUAGUGUGGAAUAUUGUGUUAGCUCUCCCUGAUAAGCAAAAUAUCGACAAUAUUUCAUCAAAAUUUUGCAACAUUUUAGUGUGGAAUAUCAUGUCGACUCUCCCCAAUAUUUCAACAAUCGACUUUCAGUGUGGAAUAUCGUGUUAGCUCUCCCUGAUAAGCAAAAUAUCGACAAUAUUUCGCCAAAAUUUUGCAACAUUUCAAACCAUGCUUGAAAGUUAUGCAGGACAAGGUUUUUUUUUUUUUUUUUUCAUUAAUAGAGUUGAAAAGGUUUGUUGAUUCAAAUUGGGCAACUUGUGUGGUCUGUUAAUGAGUUUUGCUUUUUUUUAUUUAUUUAUUGUUGAUUCCUUAAUUUCCCAGAAAUAAAAAAGGCAGCAUACAGUUUCAAGAUCUUUUGUUGAAGUUGAGGACAAAUUUAUGGCAAAUGCAACAUGUGAAUUGAUGUGGUUACUUUCUUUAUUUAGAGAUUUGCAUGUAUCUCGUCCUAAGCCUGCCUUGCUAUUUUGCAACAAUCAAGCAACUCUUUAUAUUGUAGCUAAUCCAAUUUUUCACAAGCACACUAAGCACAUUAAGAUCGAUUAUCACUUGGUUAGAAAGAAACUGCAAAAUGGAAGCUUGAAGACACUACAUAUUUCAUCUAAACAUCAAGUGAGAGACUUGUUGACCAAACCUUUUUCUUCACCUCAAUUUCUUUUUCUUCUUAGUAAAAUCGAAAUUCACAAUAUUCAUUCUCCAUUUUGAGGGGGAGUAUUAGAAUAUUUGGGUAUCUUGCAGUAUGGUUACAAGUUAAGUAAAGAAUUGUUAGUUUGUUAAAUAAUUGUUAGCUUUUUUUUUUUUUUUUUUUUUGCAACUAGAUGUGUCUAUUCAAUAACUUCAUAUGGUUAUAGUUAAUUAAAGAAUCCUUUACGUAUUAACUGUUAAAAUAAUUUGUUUCCAACUUUCCUAUUAAAUUUUCUUCUGCUCAAGAUUUCAAAAAUUAUAGUUCAAGAAAGCUCUUUCGAUUUCUAUGUUGCACUGUAUCUUCUUAUAUGUUAGUACAAAUCAUACUCCUCUUUUUACCUCUUCAAUGAAUCCUUUUAGGAGUAAGACCACCAAGUGAGCACCCUUAUAUUGAUCCACAAGCUUUUUAUUACAUAUUUUUUGUUUGUGCACACCACCUCAAAUUUAAGUGGCCCAUAAAUUUUAUACUUUGGAUACCUUACCAUCCAAUCAUAAGCAUAAACUAAAUUUGAAAGGAUAAGAUUAGUUUAUUUUAGAGAAAUUGAGCUCCAAGUCCCCUAGCCAAACAUGAAGUUUUGAAGCAUGAAAUUUUUGUGAUGGGACAUAAUUGCAAUCCUUAUUAAAUUGAUCAAUUGUGUUAUGCCAAGAAUGCAAAUUAUGCAUGGCAAAGUGGUUAGAAAGUGUACAAAUGCACCAUCUUUUUACUUGUUUGUUUACUCAAAUUUCUCGGUCAAUUUUUUUUUUUCAUUCUUAUCCCUCUUGAUUGAGGCAAACAUGUUUUGGCUAGUGCUCUCAAAUUCCUUAAAUAUAUUCUUUUCAAUAUUGUAAACAUUUGGCUUGGUCAUUGUUAUAGUUAUCAAUUGUGUCAACUUUUACUUUCUCUCAUCCCCAAUUACAUAUGCACUUUGUAGCUUUAAUUUUUUUUUAGUGAUUAAUCUUAGUUUUUAUCUAAUUGUUUGCCUUAUAGUCUUUGACAUAACUAUAAGUGUAACAUGUACCUCUCACAAACCAAAAGACAUCACUUGUCUUCUUUAAUUUAAACAUUUUUGCAUCUGUGUAAGAUCUGAAACUAGAAUUUCACAACAUCGCGUAGUCAUUUUCUCUAGUUGUUUCUCAAAGCUCUCUUCAAGAUUUAGUUCAUGUUCAAUUACCAACUUUGAGUUUUCACUUUUUUUUUUUCCCAUGAGUCAUGAGGAAAUGAAUUUCAACUGUGUUUCAUCUAUCCAUCUCUCUUAAAUUGUUUUAUUCGAUAGUUACCAAUUGUAGAAUUGUUUUUAUAUAUUCUUUUCAUAGAUAUUGUUAAUAAAUUAUGCUAAAUGAGUAGCUUCCUGAUGUGGUGAGAGCUAAUUUUGUUAUUGCUAGGAUAAUAUCUUUUUAACUUUCUUAACUUUUUCCGAAUUAUAAACCACUCAUGCUUUGACCAAUCUCCAUGUGUUUUUCAUUUGUUUGGAUUUAUGGGCUUUUGAUUCUAUUUGGUGAAUAGAUAAUAAGGAAUUAAGGAUCUGAGAUUGACAUUACUUUAAGGAUGUUUGAAGAUGACAUAGUGAAGCAUAGAAUAUUUUUUUGGGUUGUAUCUCCUCAUUUCCCAUACUUAUGGUGGACAUUGAUGAGUUGGAUUAUUUGAAUGAAAUGAGCUUUGGAAAAAUACUAGUAAUUACAUGAAUUGUUGCAAUAUAUUUGAGUGAAAAUAUUAUGUUAGUGUCUCUCCAUGUCACUAAUUCAAACCUGUUACUUUCCAUUGUAAGUGGUAGAAAUAUAUUUUUUAUUUUCUAGAAAACAUUACUCUAACUUGUGAAAAAGGUUCUUAUGCCUCCAUAUUAAAUGUUAUAUGAUGGAAAAAAAACUUGAAUCUCUCUGUUUCCUCAGUCUGGAUCAGGUUAGGAAUAUGCAUAACUAUCCUAGGCUUUUUCUAAAUUCUAUGCACAACAAAAAAAUUAAUUUUUUUUAUACUUUAUAAGGAUCUAGAAAGUGCUAACGAAAACUAUACCUCAAAUUCGGAUGCUCCCGAGUCUUCCGCUCGAUGACUCAAACCUUGAUCUUGGCACACUUCUAAUGGGGAGGAAAUGAGGGUGGAGGCUAUAGUUUUCUCUCUCUCUGGAUGGUGGACGAUAAAAGCUAUGGAACCCCUAACCUCUAGGGGGUAUUUAUAGGGUUCCUAAGUGGGCUUAAGUGACUUGAGCCCAUACAGGCUUGGGUCACUUAAUCUAACCCAAAAUGAGUUCUAACUGAUUAAUUAACCCAAUAAGGCUUACUAAUUAAUCAAUUAGCCCAAUCAAGAGACCUUGUUCACUUACCCCUAUACAACCUUGCGUAAUUAUCAAAAUGCCCUUAUGCACAGAAGUGAACUUAGAGUCAAUUCAACCCUCAUAACCCAUGCCAACAAGGUAUAUGAGUUCAAAGUGGGGACCAUUGGGACCCAUAGAAAUACUGACUCCCUCAAAAUCAAAUUCUAAAGUUGAUUCAAUAUCACACUAUAGAGAAUCAACUAAACUCCAAUAUCUUAUGUAAAUAACAACGAGACACUAAGUGAUCGGGUCUGUGACUUGCUAUCCAUUGUGUUCAGUCUCCCCAUGAACUAAUGUCCGUAGUUUAAUAAGGUGAAAGCUAUUAGUCUUUCAAGACUACCUCUACCUUCUAUUUUGUGUUCAAUUGACAUAUCUUAGCUCUCAAAGAGCCUAUGUCAAGUUCCAUUUAAUGAACUACAUGACCAUAGUUUCCAUGAACACACCUCCUUAAGAUCACCCAAGGGGACACACUAUCUCAAUCCUAAGAGAUAUCAUAGUGCCUCUAUUGAAAAUACCUAUUACUACCAGCUUCUAUCAACAAUGACCCAAUCCAUACGGAAUAUAUGAUCAGCUUACGAUUUCACCUGUAGGUCAAAGUCAUUGCCAACUUUAGCACAAGCUUAAUAUUCUCUCAAGGUUGAGAGACAACACAAUGAAACAGCUUGGUGAGGUCAUGACUCAAUAAUAGCCUUAAGUCAUGACUCACCAUAAGUCUUGUCCAAUGUGUAACCAUACAUACUAGUGCACUCACCAUGGGAAACCCAUCCUGAUAACCAAGACCAGUGAUCCCUCCAAUUAGGAGGUGGUGCACUACAACCUUUAAUGGGUUGCCUAGACCCAUGAACCAAUUGUAAACAAGUCAUCUAUUUGCAAGGAACCCAUGACUUAGAUCUUCUGUGCAACUCCUAAUGCACCUAAGUCACGUACAAUACAAAAAAUGCAGACAAGAAUGCUCAUAAAGUAUAAUAUAUGGAAUAAGAAUAGAUAAAAGUGAAACUGGAACAUCAUUAAAUAAAUAAUGAAUUCCAAAUUUAUUACAUCAUGUCAUGAUUUUAAGUGCUUUAUCCUAACAUUAUAUAUUUGAGAUAAACAUGAUAUAAUGAGAUUUAUGUUUCUUUGUUAUAAUAUUUCAAUAAGUAAUUGUGUUUUAAUUUUAAUAAACUAUGCAUGCAUGAAACAAUUCAAGUAUCAUUAGCAUCAUUGGUAUCAUUGUGAGACAAAAGUUUCUCUUAUUACAUACUAAAGAGAUUUAAGUUAUCAAAAAGUGAAAACGGUUUUAUCUAGGCUAGUUUCAAGUUGACAACUUUUAAAUUGUUUAUCAUGUGAUAAAGAACUUUUCCCUACAAAUGAUACUUGAAUUGUAUAAUUAGACAGUGUAGGAAAACAUAAUAUCUAUGAAGUUAACUGUUUAUUCUUAAUUCAAUUUUUAGAAAUUUUGGUAGUCUUUCCUCUUAUUCUCUGGGUGCAUAUUUGGAUAAAGUUGCAUAGUAUGCCUUGUCCAUUUUACAUACUUAGAGAACUAUAAGGAAAUUCUACUAAAACUUCUUUAAAAUGAAAUUGACCACAUUGGUCAUUGACACAUAGAGAUUAUGUAUUUCUAUAUGGGAUAGGAACUACUACCGAAUUUAGGAUGUUGGAGAUGUUAGAAUGCAUAAAACAUGCAUCAAAAUUUGACAUACUCAAAUGAUUUUCUUUAUUUAGUAAAUUAGUAUAGAUAAUGUUUGAUGCAAAGGUCAUGGACAAACCCAAUAUAAUAAUAUUAAUAUGCACUAGUUUUAUUGAGGUUAUACAUCCCUUUUAAUGCAAGUAUUCAUGGUCAACAACAUUUAUAACUUAUUAGUCACUACUACAAAUAAGAUAUACCAUGACCUUGUUUUUUCCUUGGCACUUUUAAAAAUGUUAAUAAUUAGCGUGAUAUUUCAAAAGUGUAGAUCUAUGUUCAUAGAUCAAAAUGGUUAGAACAAUGCUUACUUUUUUUCUUUUAAAUUUGGCAUCUUAAAGAAAUGUUGAACUACACUUUCUUGAUUAUUAUUUGAACAAAAAAAAAAGGUUGUUAAACGAAUAGCAUAGAAAAUGUUGCUAUUUUCUUCAAUUUGAAGUUUGAUCACUAUUGAAAGUUUGUUCUUAAAAAAUGGAUCAUUUGUGGAUUUCAAAGGAUAGAGGACUAAAGGAGUAUGGGGAUGGGGUAGAACAUUUUUAUCACAUUUGCAAUAUAAAAUUCUGCAUAUAAAAACUCCAUUAAAUGUCCAUGCUUGUAGAGUGGUAAUAUGAUAUUUCAUACUCCUCAAAGAUUUCCUCAAAGAUUUCCUCAAAAUAUUAGAGAGCAUAUGUUUUUCUAUAGAAUUAAUCAGAAUUACCAUAUAUGUUAUUGGCAUGGGGAAGCAACUCCAAGUGAACCACCAACUAGAAGGGUAGAACAUUAUAAUAUGGUUCAAUUUAAUGAUGUAGAUAGUACAAUAGAAAUGGUUGAAGUUGUACAAGUUGAAUGUCAAAAUGACCUAAAAUUGCUUGAAAGAUUACUUCAAAUUGUUGAAAAACCUUUUAUAUCCUAGUUGUAGAAAAUUCACACAAUUGUUUGCAUUGGUUAAAUUAUACAACUUGAAAACACACUAUGAGUGGUCUGAUAAAAGCUUUUCAGAGCUUUUAAAAAUGCUUAGAUAUAUGUUGCCUCUAAAUAAUGAGUUACCCUUGUCUAUGUAUGAGACAAAAAUGGCAUUGAAUACAUUAGGAAUGGAAUAAGAAAAAAUACACGCAUGCCCCAUGAUUGUAUACUUUACAGGAAUAAGUUGAAAGAUGCAUUUCAUGUCCUAUCUAUGGAACUUCAAGGUGAAAGGUAGAUAAUAUAGGAACUAAAAAAAUGACAGGAACUCCUGGGAAAGUAAUGUGGUAUUUUCCUCCAAUUCCAAGAUUUAGAAGAAGGUUUCAAUCAUAAAAAAUCGUAAAAGACCUCAUAUGGCAUACCUAAGGAAGAGAUUUAGAUGACAAAAUGUGUUAUCCAGCUGACUCUCUAUCAUAGCUAAUUGAUCAUAAAUGGCCCAACUUUGUUUCAAAACCUAGAAACUUGAGACUUCCCAUUUUAGCAGAUGGUAUAAAAUCCUCACAAUUCAUUGAUUAGCAAAUAUAGUUGUUUGUCCUAAAGAGCUCGAAGCAGCAACUAUGGACAAUGUUUUUUUUAUCAUAAAGAGUAAGUUAUGGGCAACACUAUGGCUGUAAAUAGAGGUAAAACCUUUAACUUGUUUUUAGUUUGAUUUUUCUUUUCUUUCAUAAUGGAAAUAGAAAAUCAUCUAAACAAAUAGGACCUUAAUAAUUUUUUUUUUCUACAAUUUAUUUUUGAAUAAAAUAAUUUAAAAGAUUCCAUUCUUAUAUUUGUUAGACUUUUUUUUAAUGAAGAAAAAAAUAGUCUCCCUUUUAGCAUAUAUAUUAUAUAUGAUUAACAAUGGGUAUAAUAAAAUUUAUUUAAUAAAUAAUUGAUGUGACAUUCUAAAUUGAAAGUCAUAAAUUAGCUCAUUAGUUUGAUGUUGGCCCUAAAACUACAAGACUUGAUUACAUACUUAGAUUUUAUUCUUGAAAUUUAAGAGAUAAUUGAUGUGACAUCUUGAAUUGAAAGUCAUAAAUUAGCUUAUUAGUUUUAUGUUGGCACUAAAACUACAAAACCCAAUUACAUAAAUUUUGUUCUUGAGAAAUGUCAUUAUGGUUCAUAGUAAGGCUUAGUUUGGUGUGUUAGACCAUGCAUGCAUGAUAUCUCUUCACAUUCUCUUGUUUUUUGACAAACAUGCUACCAUACUUAAGGUGUUUGUCAAGGCUCAUCUUGGACUACUCAAAACUUUGGGGUCCUUUCUUUGAGUUCACAAGCUUCUUUCCCCUAGUGUCAACCCCAACUCCCAAAAUCCACUCCUUAGUAGUGCACUGACGAAAUCUACAAAUGCACUAUAAAGUGAGAAUGGCAUCAUGAAAAUGUAUUAAUGCAUCGUAGAUGUGGGAACUUAAAAAUAUAUAUAUAUAUAUAUAUAUAUAUCUAGAGUUUAGACUUGUUUCUAUUAAUUAGAAAUUACUAAGCAAUGAAUCUUGCUAGUGUGGAAAGUACCAAUAGAUUGACCAAGGAAGGUAUAUGUAAAAAAGAUUGACAUUGUCAAUUGGAAAAAUUCCUUUACAAACGUCAACCCUAUCUUCCUAACCAUCAUGGAUGUUGAGAAGUAGAUAUCGAUGACUAUGAUGAGGAUCACAAAGGAUUAUCAUACCAAGGAGUUAGACAUUUGUUGGGUUAUCAACAAUUUUAAUGAGGGUGGUAUUAACUAUUUGGUUGUUGAUAGUGUAUUGCGUAGUUCCACCAAGCCAAUCUGCUCCUGCAUUGAGAUCAAUCUCGAUGAAAAGGUAGCAUAUAUUUUUCAUUUCCUAAUUCUAUCAAUUGCUUCAUGGUGCCUUUGUCUAAUAAGCUUAACAGGUUCUUCUACAUUUUCACCAUUUAAUUCUCUAACGUUCAUCAUGAUAGGGUUGAAAUUUCAUCAUCAAAUCAAAACAUAUCCUCCUAUAAGAGGCCUUUGAAUUCUGAAAUAAUCAAUUCACUUUAUUCUCAUAUUGGCAAAGACAAGCUUACACUAUUGGAAAGACUACCCCUAACCUUUGCCCUCCCAAAUAGCAAAGAUGAGAGAGAACCUUUCACAAAAUCACAAGAAUUAUUCAAGUUUGGAAUUCAUAGGCAUUGUUAUUGAAUUUCAUUUGUAUAAAAUUGGUGUGUUGUGUUUAUUUUGUUGGUAUUAAAAUUGAAUUUUUUUUAAUUGCAAAUUGAUGAUUUUUUUUCUCUCUCACAUUUAUACCCAUUAGAGUUUCUUAUUAGGGUUUGUGUUUGAAAUUUGGAGAAAGUAUGGUGCAAUUGUUCAUCGGUGUGGUGUACCAUUUUGUUUGUUGUAUCUAAUAUUUGGGUAUUUGAUUUAAUUUUAUUGUUGUUGAAAUUGAAAGUUGAAAUCCAAGUUAAUUGUUUAACUAGCUAUUUGUAGUUGACUUGUUUUGCACCAAUCUUGAUUACCCAUUUCAUGGGAAUAAUCGAUUCCAAUUUUCCUUCAUGGUUACUAAAAAUAUAUUGUAGGUGAAGGACUAUUAUGGAGUAUAUUAAUUCACAAGAAAAAUGUUCCUUUAGUUAGUAAAAACUUCAUUCAUGUGGUCAUUUAUGAGCAUCAUAAUAAUCCAUAUUAAAAAUAUUUAAAAACAUUAAUGCACUAAAACAUUGAUUUCAUCAACAAAAAUACACUCAUUCUUUUGACUUAUAGCAUUCAAAGAUGUUUAAAAAUAUAUAUGUACAAUAAAACAUCAUCGAAUUUAUUAACAAUUAAACUUUUAACCCCAAAACAAUCCGUUACUUUAGUAGAUAAGACACUAUUGGAAUAACAUUAUUUUUAGCUCAAGUUAGAAGUUAAAAUGAUAAGGUUAAAAGAACAAAACCAACAAAAAAAAAAAGUUAUUUUUUGUCAAACUUGACACUAGUACAAUUUAAAUAAUGUAGCUCAAUGCCCUAUUGAAUUGAGUCAUAUAACUAGACUCCCUAAUUAUAUAUUAUGAUACACACACAACCUUUGGUCUAGUAUACAUGAUUAAAUUAAAUGCCAACCUAGUUUGCAAAGCUAAACUGGAAUCCCAAAUCUAGUUCAUUAUAAAUACUCUUCAACCAACUUGCUACAACAUUCAAAUAAGACAAUGACAAUGAUAGAAAACCAAAAAAAUACCUAAUAUAUCAUUGAAAACUCCUUCCUAAAGGAGGUAAAAAAAAUCAUGAAGUAACUUUCUUCUAUUAAUAAAAAUGGGAAUACAAUGAUCUAUAUAGUGUUUUAACUCGAAACUGAUGGUAUUACAAAUAUUAAAGAAGAAAUUUAAAACACACACACACACACACACAACAAGCAUGUUGUCAAGCUUAUAAGAGUUGGAGAAAUUUCUCCAUAUAAAUCUUCAAAACAUGAUGGAGAGUAACCUUGACAUUUAAGUCAAUAAUAUACAAGGAAAGACAACCCAAAAAGAUACAACUUUGAGAACAAACUCUCCUUUUUGCUUUUUUACAUAACCUUUUUUUUUUUUUUUUCCUUUUUGAAAACUUCUCUCCUUUCCUCUAAUUGUUACACCAUACAACAAUCCUAAAAAAACAGAGUUUAAAGGCUUGUUUGAUAACUGUUUUUAAAAAUAAUUUUGAAAAAUAGUUUUUGAAAAUUAUUCUCUAAUGUUUAAUUUGUAGAACAAAAGUUUGUUUGGAAACCCAAAAUAUUUUUAACAUGUUUUUAAUGUUGUUAAAUAUGUUUUAAAAAUAAUUUUUAUGUUUAGUAUUUUAUUUUUAAUCAUUUUAUAUGUUUAUAUAAUUAUUUUUUAAGGCAAACCUUAAAAAAUAAGUGAAAAUAACAUAAAACACUUAAAAGAUAUUAUCUGAAAACACCUUAUUUUAUUGUAACAGAAAAUAAAAAGCGGUUUUUGGUUGUCAAACAUGUUUUCUUAAUUUUUUAUUUUGAAGAAUAGAAAUUUGUUCUUGAAAAUAUCUAGUUAUCACAUUAGUUAUUGCCCAUUUUAUGAUUUUAAUUAUUGCUUAAAAACUAGUUUUUCAGCUAAAAAAGAAGGUCCACUACUUAUGGGUCAAACCUUCAACUUUCAAACCCGAACACAAAGUUAUAGUCAAGACUAAUAUUCACAUAUUAGUAUUAAUAUAGUUCAUUAAAUAUGAAUUUCUAUUGAAGCCAAAAUCGAGUUUUUAGGGGAAGUAACAUUCACUUUCAAUUAAGCAAUUUUUAACUCAUAAGUUAGUACUUGUAACAAAAUUUCUUAAUAGAGACUUUAAUUGAGUUUUAAGAAGAAUUUUUUGUUUGUUAAAAACCAAUUCAAACAAAAUCUAAAACUAAUAUUAUUAUCUAAAAGACAUAAUGAACAACAUAAACCAUAAACCAAAGUGGUAGUGACAACCAAUAUGUAGCGUCAAUGAAUAAUUGAAAAUAACCUCAUUUUCUAAUGACCUCGAACCUAGAAGCUCUAAAAUUCUUGCCUAAUUCCUUGUGAUGACUUUGGUUCAACCUUAAUGGCGAGGGCAAAAUUCUAAAUAAUUUUUGUCACAACUCAUAAAUUUAGAAGAAAAAAAUGAGAAUAAAUGGAAUCCCUAAUGAGAAAUUGUUAUUUUUCCCCUUUAUGACAAAAAUAGUAACCUACUAGUAUUAUUAAAUAACAUGGAAAUUAUUAUUUCAACUUUAAUACCAUGUAUGACAUAACUUUAACAACCUUAAUUUAUAAGAUUAUUUAAUUUAAAAGGAUAAAACAAUUACAUAUUCAUAAGAAUCGCUUCUAUUUUUUAAAAACAAUAAAUUCCAUUUUUUGGACAAAAAUACCCUCCAUUGUUUUUAUCAACAUUUCACAAUCAAACACUUAUUGGAAAAAAAAAAGUAUAAGGGUAGCUAUAUUAAAAUGAGGUUAUAAUUAUAAUACUCAAUAAGUGGAGAUUUUUUUUCCAAAUAUUGGGAUCAUCUUCUCCAUUUGACACAAAUAUUUAUAAUUUAUAUUAUAAUUACUCUUAUAGUAAGAGAGAAAGAGUAAUUUCACAUGAAAUGGACCCAUAAACAUAGAUUUAUUAUGAGGCAUGAUACUAUAAUAAUAAUAGGAAAUAAGACGAGACGUGAUACCAUAAUAAUAGAAAAUAAGAUAAGUAAUUCAAUACUUAAUGAAGGUCUGAAAUAAUUAUGUUUCUCAUUAAAUGAUAUUAAAGACGAAAAAAAACUUAUUAAUUUUUAUUUUAAGUAUUAAGAUUAUUUAAUAAAAUUAACUUAAAAUUUAUUUUAAAUUAUCAAAUUGAUAUAUUUAUUUUCAUAGAUUAUAACUAAGGUAAAUGAAAUCAAGUAAUAAUGGAUGUCAUGUAGUGAAAGAGAUCCUAGAGGCAACGGGACAAAUUGUGGUAAAAAAUGUCAAAUAAAAAUACGAACUUAAGAACAAAUUAAUUGUUUGUACUUAUUACUUAAAGUUGUUAUUUAUUUUAUAUUAUUAAAUUAUUUUACUAAAUAUGCUUAAUUUAUUUAAUGACUUAAAUUAAUUUAUUAGUCACUUUAGGCUAUUAAAUCGGGUUUACCAAUCAUAUCGAAUACAUUUGGCUAGUAGGCCAAGACUCAAGAAUAUUGCUAUCAUAUGUUUUAUGUAUUAAGGUGCCAAGAAUAAUUCACCACAAAAUAUAUGAUGAGUUGAUAAGUAUAGGAUACAAUCUAAAAUAUGCACUUGAUUUCAUCAUCUAAAUAAAUGCUCUCGGCAAAUGGAUCAUCCUAGCUGAUACCAGAGCACAAGCCGCCAUGGACAGGAGGCAACGGAGAAACCCUUCUGCUUCUUCUUCUGCCUUUUCAUCUCCAGCUUCAUCCUCAUCGCGUUUCCGCUCAGAGAAAUUCUCCUCGAAUCCCCCAAAAACUAGUAACUCCCUGGAGGAUGCUCACCAAUUGAAAAGCAAAUGUGGGAAGCCACAAAGACCAAAGCAAGAGGAGGAAGGAGAGCAAGAUCCGAACAAUCUUCUCUCCUUAGUUGGAACUUGCCCAUUCAUGUGCCCUGGUAAAAAUGCGUGCUUAUUUUUCCAUUUUUUUAAAAUUCUAUUUUCCUGUUAUUCUGUGUUUGGUUUCCGAGAAAUUGGAGGAAAACAGUAGAAAAGAGAAGUGAAUCUGGAGUUUCUGUGUCAUUUUUGUGGCUUUUACAUAAAUUUUACAAAUAAAAUUGAUAUUUCUCCCCCUUUAUUAGAUACCAAUCUGCAGAAGAUGUAGGAAUCCCAAAAAAAAAUUCGCUUUUGCCUUUACUUCCCCCAAAUCUUUCAUAAUGGAAAAUGGACUUACCACCUCUUUUAUCACUUUUCCUUUACCAUGUCAGGUUUACAUGUAAUCAAACACUGUAUUUGGAGUAGGGCACUUAUUCUAAUGUCAAAUGGUGUUGAAAACUUGAAUUACUGGAUCUUAAGACUCCAGAAGAAAUUUGAUUGUUUAUGAUUAUUGCUCCAUGAGAAGGGAAAGGGAUUUCUUUUGUUUUUGCUCACAUAUAUGGCCAAAUUGAUUUAUCUCCUUCUCAUACGAACAAAAUAAGGACAUUUCUUGUCUUGCUGCCUUUUAUGCCACCGGUUCCACAUGCUGAUGUGACAACCCUUUUGCUAUUCUGUACAAAUGGUAGGAAAAUUCUGGUAAGACUGGUGGCCAGCCUAUCAUGUUCAGGGAAUAAAUUCAUUGUAUAUCUGGAAUUCACUCUAUAUCAGCAUAGGGUGUUGAUACUGAUUAUAAAUGACAAAUUCAAUUUAUUAUCCUUACAUUAGGGAGUGCUAAAAGGAUGCAAAUUGUUCAUGUUAUACCCAAAGACAUACAAGUGAUGCUAGAGAUUUUCACAAUGUGGAUAAUCAUAGAGUAGAGAUGAACACUAUGGAGUCUUUUGGCAUGUGUUCAUUCCAUGUACGGGAACAUGCAUUGGAAGAUUAUGUUUCCUCCUCCCUUCCCCUCCCCAAAGUUAAUACUAUGUUGUCAUGGCAAGAACUUUGGUGACAUGCUUCUGAGUGGAAUAGCCUCCUAGAAGUCCAUUUAUGUGGCAGUUGGCAAGUUCUUCCGGUCAAUGAGAACUUUGUGACUGUCUGAUUGUUGUACUAAUCAUCAUCAGAUUUUUUUUUAAGUUCAAGUUGUAAAUAGCCUUUCACAGUUGAAGGUAGCGAUGAAGAGGCCUGUUGACAUAAUUAUUUCUUCUGCUUGAAUGGAUUAAAAUCAGAUACCACACCUUCAGCCUAGAAAACUAUGGACUUUCCUAUGUACCUGCAAUUGGCUGAAUACUGGUGUGGCACUGACUAAAGGCUCUCUGAUGCUGUUAUUAAUUUCCUGAGCAAAUUAGAGAAAACAGAGAGGUCAUAAUGUGAAUCAGUUACCUCUUGAGUAGGGAUGAAGGCUUUUUAUAACUUUUUACUUUCUGGUUAGGCCUUGGAAGCACUUCUGUGAACCAUGAUUUUGUACUGUAAAAUUAGAUGGGAUGGAUAGGUCACCUUAACUCUACUUUUGGAAGUGAUUGGGGAGCGCAUGACUGUAUGAAUAUUGAUGUGUUCUCCCCAUACAGAGCCCAACUUCUUUUUGAACUAGGAAGCAUGAAGGGUGGGUGGAUGUGGGCUGAGGAAGGAAGAUUUGACUUGUGUGCCGCAGGCCUGCGGUACCAAUUUGUUCCAGAACUUGAUAAGGCCCAUAAACUGGUAGGCAAGUUUCAUUAUUUGGUCACCACUGAAUUUUGGCAGUAUGGCCACAAGGAAGGUAGGAAGGAGAGGGAGAAGAGAAAACCCCAAUUGCCAAUUGCAAGCUUCCGGUUGGCACAGUGCUCAUUGCUGACAUUUUCAUUUGAUUUUGACCUUGCAACAGAUACAGCUUAACAUGAUGGACCAGUUUUUCACAAUCUUGUGAUUCAUUACCCAACUUCUAGUAACAGUUUCUCAGCAGAUGACUCACCUAUGACAGGCUGAUGAUGUCUGCACACAACUUGAAAGGUAUUCAUGCCAAGGUGUGAAAGGUAAUAUUGUGACACCAUUUUGCCUAUUCCAGAAAAUGUAACAAAUGUAUGGCUGGUUCUUGACCUAAAAAUGCUGGCAUUGGUCACCAAGUGCUAGGGUGAUUCUUGACAAAAAAUGUUCGUAUUGUUCAGAACAAUGAUUUACAACUUCAGAUUGGCCAUCCAGUUAACGAUGAUAAUCACUUGUUUUACAAAGUUCAGUGUCAUAAAAGCAAAAUAAUUUUGUCAACAAAUAUGCGGAUAACUUUAUCAUAAUUACUACUUAUGGAAGUUAAGGAUAAGUUGGGUAAUGUGAGAAAGUUUUGGUCAGAGGAUAUGAGGAUAAAUUUGUUGCAAUUGCUAAGCUUCACCUCCUAGGACUACUAGGAGAAACGUAUGAGCAAUAGAACAAAUUUACAGUCCAUCCCCAUUAGCUGCAUGGAGAGGUUGGGCUUAUUGCUGCUAUGGUGGAGGUCACCUUCUUGUAGACUUUGAAAUCUGCGAAUGAAGAGGCAGAUUUCUUAGAGGAAUUGGUAGGACUCCAAGCCCCCCAAAUGACAGGGGGGUGGGGAGGAUGGGGGUGGUGGGGGGCCAUUUCUAAUUUCAUGUCUUCUCAAUGUGGAUUUGAGGUUUAACGAGAUUUUUGGGAAAUCAUUAAGGUUAAAAGUAAUUGAAAGAGUGUGUCUGUGGAGAGCAAGAGGGGGAAAUGUUUGGUUCCCAACUGGGGUUGCUUCAUCUGACCGUUAAUCUCACAGCAAACACCGACGGAGCGUUGUUGUUGGAGGCUUCCAGGUUCUCUGAUCAAUUCUCUUGUUCUUUGUUUUCUUUGGGGAAGCGGGAAACCUCUCUUUCUUCUAUUCCUUCUGGGCGGGAUGGGGAAGGUGUUGCCAUUGCCAGGGUUUCCGAUCAGGGCAGUGGUUUAGAAGCCGUAGGGGGAGCUGUUAUGGGCCCGUUAAGGAUGAUAUUGGCGGAUGGGAGGGAGGCCGAGGUCUCAAAUUUGGCGGGUAGGGAGUUUGGGACUUUCGAGGAGGCGUCAGAGGGGGUUUCGAAAAGGGUCUCCCAAGAGGAUGAAGAAGAGAGGGACAAAGAGGGGGAACUGUGUUGGCAUUCUAGUAGCUUGGCUAAGUUCAGCCGCUAUCUUGGAAUGCCGAUGGAGGGCUUCGAAGGGGAAAUUUUGUUUUUGCUUAAAAGAAUGAAAGAGAAGAAACUUCAAAAAGGAAAGUUGAAUGGCAGAAAAAGGAAAAAAUUGGAGUCAUCAAAAUUCGAAAUAGAAUUGAGAAAGUUGGAAUGGACAGUGAAUUAUCUUGGAGGAGGAGGAGGAGAGGGGGGGGAAGUACGAGCAGGUCUAAAUGAAGCUCCGACUGCUCACUUGGAAUGUAAGAGUGACCAAUAAUUGUGAUAAGAGGAAGGUGAUCAAAGCGUUGAUAAAGAAGAAUAGGGUGGAUCUGGUUUGCCUAUAGGAAACCAAGAUUUAGGAAAUGUCAAUGGGCAUUAUCCGUAGCUAAGGAGUGGGAAGAUUCCUUGAAUGGGGAGCUGUAGAUUCAAGGGCACAGCUGGAGGUAUAGUGGUGUUUUGGGAUAACAGGGUGUUGGAUUUGGUUGACCUUCAAAAAGGAUUGUUCUCUAUUUCUUGCACUUUUAAGAGUUGCGAGGACGGUUUCAUAUGGACGUUUACAAGGGUUUAUGGCCCAACAUUGAGGAGGAAUAGGGAGAGUUUUUGGGAGGAGUUGGGGGCCAUUAAGGGGCUUUGGAAUGGGCCGUGGUGUGUUGUAGGGGAUUUUAAUGCCAUUCUAAGUCCGGAAGAGCGCAACAGAGGAGGGAGCUUGAAUUCAAACAUGAGAAGGUUCUCAGAAGUUAUAGAAGAUCCAGAGUUAAAGGAUCUGCCUAUGGUUGGGGGUCCUUUUACUUGGAUUGGAGGGGUGAAUAACCAGUCUUUUUCAAGGCUGGAUCGUUUUUUGGUUAAUGAGGGGUGGGACAGUCAUUUUGGUGAUGCGAGGCAGUUUGUUCUACCAAGACCUGUGUCCGAUCACUUUCCGGUUCUUCUGGACGGAGGGGGCCUGAGAAGAGGCCCUUCCCCAUUUAGAUUUGAGAAUAUGUGGCUGAAACUGGAAGGUGUUAAGGACCUUUUGAAGCAUUGGUGGGAGGAAGGUAGCUUCAGUGGAUCCCCAAGUUUUAUCUUGGCCGAAAAACUAAAAUUUAUGAAGGCUAAGCUGAAGAAGUGGAACAGAAACACAUUUGGUAGGGUUGAAUAUAGAAAGAAUUUGGCUUUGGAGCAGGUGGAGUUUUGGGAUACCAAGGAGAAAAUUAGCAGACUGUUGUUGGAAGAGCUGGAAGCUAGAAAAGAAGCGAGGGAAGAUUAUAAAAAAUGGGUCUUACUUGAAGAAAUCACGUGGAGGCAAAAAUCUAGGGAAGUGUGGCUGAAAGAAGGGGAUAGAAAUACCGGUUUUUUCCACAAGAUGGCCAAUGCUCACAGGAGGAGGAAUAAUGUGGACAGAAUUAAGAUUAAUGGAGCCUAGCUUACAUAGGAGAAUGGAAUUAGGGAAGGGAUUGCCAAUGCUUUUAGGUUGUUGUUGUCCAAUCCGGGGGAAUGGCGCCCUUCUAUUUUCGAGCUGCAGUUUGAGACUUUGGAGCCUUUGGACGCUAGUGCCUUGGAGAUUCAUUUUUCGGAAGAGGAGGUCUUCGAUGCACUAUUGGGCUGUAAUGGGGAUAAAGCCCCGGGGCCAGAUGGAUUCUCUAUGACCUUUUGGCAAUUUGCUUGGGAUUUCGUGAAGGCUGAUGUGAUGUGUUUCUUCAAGGAGUUCAAUGAAAAUGGCAAAUUUGUUAAAAGCCUAAAUGCAACUUUUAUGGUCCUAAUCCCAAAAAAAGCAGGGGUUGAAGCCUUAGGGGAUUUUAGGCCUAUAAGCUUGGUGGGAAGCUUGUACAAGUGGCUGGCCAAGGUCUUAGCUAAUAGGCUAAAAAAGGUGGUUGGAAAGGUGGUCUCCAAGGCUCAAGGGGCGUUUGUGGAAGGUAGACAAAUCCUAGAUGCAGUGUUGAUAGCUAAUGAAGCCAUUGAUUUGGUUCUCAAGAAUAAUGAGAAUGGCAUUCUGUGCAAACUGGAUAUAGAGAAGGCGUAUGAUAACAUGGACUGGACUUUUAUUCUCACAGUUAUGCAGAAAAUGGGUUUUGGGGAAAAAUGGAUCAGGUGGAUUAAGUGGUGUAUAUCCACUGCAGGUUUCUCCGUGUUGGUCAAUGAAACCCCUACGGGUUUCUUCCAAAGCUCCAAGGGUUUGAGACAGGGUGAUCCCCUUUCCCCUUAUCUCUUUGUGAUAGUUAUGGAGGUCUUUAGUGCUUUUCUUAAAAGGGCUGUAGAGGGAGGUUUCUUAUCGGGUUGUAGGGUGAAGGGUAGGAGUGAAGAAGGGGUCCUAAUUUCCCACUUGUUGUUUGCUGAUGAUACACUGGUGUUCUGUAAACCUUCACAAGAUCAAUUGACUUAUCUCAGUUGGUUACUUAUGUGGUUUGAGGCCGUUUCGGGAUUGAGAAUAAAUUUGAAAAAAAGUGAACUCAUUCUAGUAGGGAGGGUAGAGAAUAUGGAUGAUCUUGCUUGGGAAUUUGGUUGUAGACUGGGUAGCCUUCCAACCACCUAUUUGGGGAUGCCCUUGGGUGCUCUUUUUAAGUCAGUUACAGUUUGGGAUGGUGUGGAAGAGCGCUUCUGAAGAAGGUUAGCCAUGUGGAAGAGACAAUAUUUAUCCAAGGGAGGAGGGCGACUCUUAUUCGAAGCAUGUUAUCGAAUUUACCCAUCUAUCUCAUGUCAUUGUUGUGCUUACCAAGCUCAAUUAGACGGAGAUUAGAGAAAAUCCAAAGGGACUUCCUUUGGGGUGCAAUUUGGAGCGAAAGCCUCAUUUAGUAAGAUGGGAGUUGGUGUGUUUAAGUAAGAAGAAAGGAGGUUUGGGGGUCAAAUGCCUUUCCAUUCUCAACAAGGCUCUUCUUGCUAAAUGGAAUUGGCGUUUUGCAAAUGAGAGAGAAGCUUUGUGGAAUCAAGUGAUUAGGGGGAAGUAUGGAGAAGAUAGAGGGGGUUGGUGCUCUCGGGAAGUGAGAGAGGCUCAUGGUAUGGGGUUGUGGAAAGGAAUAAGGAUGGAUUGAGAGUUGGUGAGCGAUAGGAUGGUUUUCAUUGUUAGUAAUGGGAGGAGGGUGAGAUUUUGAAGGGAUAGAUGGUGCGGGGAUUCUCCUUUGUGUAUGUCUUUUUCUUCUCUUUUUGAUUUGACUGUUGAAAAGAAAGCGUGGGUGGCAGAUUUUGGGACCCUUUGGCUAAGGGGGGUUUGGGGGGGGGGGGGGGGGUGGGAACCCCGUUUUUUAAAACUUUUCAAGAUUUGGGGGGAGAGGGAGGGGAAAAAUUUUUUGCGAAGGUUUCUGGUUAAAAAAUUUUUUGGGNNNNNNNNNNNNNNNNNNNNNNNNNNNNNNNNNNNNNNNNNNNNNNNNNNNNNNNNNNNNNNNNNNNNNNNNNNNNNNNNNNNNNNNNNNNNNNNNNNNNAAAAAAAGGGUGGGGGGGCAAUUUUUGGGCCCUUUUGGUUAAGGGGGUUUGGGGGGGGGGGGGGGGGUUGGAACCCCUGUUUUUAAGAGCUUUCAAUGAUUGGGAGGUAGAGGAGGCGGAAAGAUUUUUGCAGAGGCUUCAUGGUAAGAGAGUUAUUGAGGAUGUGGAGGAUAUGGUGUCUUGGACUGAAACUAAGAGUGGUAAAUUCUCGGUCAAGUCUCUUUAUGUUGCCCUUGAAGCGGGUUGUUCAUCUCUGUUUCCUUUAAGCUAUAUUUGGAAUGUGAAUGUGCAGCCCAAGAUUAGUUUCUUUACAUGGGAGGCUACGUGGGGCAAAGCCUUAACCUUGGAUAUGGUCCAGAAAAGAGGACGGGCAUUGGCAAAUAGAUGCUUUAUGUGUCUUGAGAAAGAGGAGACCAUAAACCAUCUGCUCCUUCAUUGUUCAAGAACAAGGGUGUUAUGGGAUCUACUUUUUACUUUAUUUGGGGUGUCUUGGGUAUUGCCUUCUUCAGUUAGAGAGACCCUUCUAAGCUGGAAUGGUUUUUUCGUGGGCAAAAAAUGCAAAAAGGCGUGGAGAGUUGCUCCUCUUUACAUUUUCUGGACGGUUUGGAAGGCGAGGAAUAGAUUGGCUUUCAAGGAUGAUAUGUUGUCAAUUUAGCAACUGAAACACUCUUUUAUCCUUUCUUUUUGGUCCGAGAUUAAGUUGUUUAUAGAUGAUUGCCCUCUAACUAUAGCUAAUUUUAUUGAUUGGUUGGGCUCUAAGUAGGAUUGGGUUGUUGGGCUAUCUUUGUUUUUUAGCCUUGUUGGAGGCGGGUGUAUAGGUAUUGUAUACCUUGAGUCACUUUUUUAGCGUUUCUUUUAUAUAUGAAAUCUUAUUUACUUAUCAAAAAAAAAAAAAAUGUAAUCGAAGACUUUCACAUUAAUGAGGUAAUGAAUAACCACUGAUACUUCUUCACCCCAAAGUUCCUUCACAAAAAUUUGGUAAGUGAAGAACCAUUUCUGAGUUGUGAAGCACCAAUUCCACCUUCAUUAUCUUGAUCUUUAGAAAGAGGGAUCCAACUUGAUUUGGGAUUUUAUACCUGUCAACCCAGUCACUAAUUUUUAGGAGAAUACUUCCAAUUUACCCUUGGGUUGCUUUAGAAAGUUUCUUAAUAGUGCCAUCUCUCUAGCUUAAGGGGCUUUUGUUAAUGGAAGGCAAAUACUAGAUGUGGUUAUCAUUAGUAAUGAAAUCCUAGACAAAUACUAGAUGUGGUUGUCAUUAGUAAUGAAAUCCUAGAUGAAAAAUUCUGUUCUAAGGACGAAGGGAUGGUUUUUAAAAUAGGUUUUGAGGAAGUUUAUGAUCACAUAGAUUGGGGUUUCAUGUAUGAUACAUACUUUGAAUAGGGAAGGCCUUGAACCUGGAUGGCACAAAGGGACUGGAUAUUUUGAGGUUGUUUUUCAAACUGCAGGCUCUUUAAUGGUGUUAUUGAAGCUGAGUGUUUAGCACUCGAGGAAGAUUCGGAUAUGGUUGUUUGCCUGGAUGUAAUGAACCUCCAUAUUGAAGGGGAUUCCUUUGUUAUUGUCUCAAAACCUUCUUUGAAGGCAAAGGUCCUUAGUGGAUUGCUCAUCAGAUGGGGUGGCUUCAUAAUCAUGCUAGAGACAUUGCUUGUUCUUCUCUAUUGAGGCCCAGAUCAGCUAGCCAGGUGCAUGGCUAUAUUUUUCUUAUAGGGAUGCUAAUAUCUGAAAAUUUUUAUUGAGAACACUUACUGCUCUUUGAUUGGUUUGAGGCAUGGAGUGGCUUUUCUGUUCUCUUCUUGCCAUACAUGCAUAUCAUCCCUCUUUUUUAUCUUGUUUAACUCAAUAAAUUCUCAUUUGUUAUAAGGAAAAAAAGAGAUAUUAUGUUACAUGAUGGAAGGACUUUAUUCUGUUAUGGAAUAGGCAAAACCUAGAUCUAUUGGCUAGAGCUAUACAGUAGGUUGUUGGGCUGUUCAGCAUUGUCUUUUUUUUGGAUAGGUUUGGCCAAUGCCCCUUGAUGUUACUUUUUGGUAAUGUAAUUUUCUUUGAUUUUUCUUGAAAAUUCCUCAUUUUUCAAGCUUGCUUGUAUAUCUUUCCUUCUUCCAUUAAUGAUUGUUUGAUUCCUUACUAAAAUAAAUAACAAAUUAUGAUGCAAAAGGAUUACGUUUAUGGAAAAUUUUGAGAUUUUCACCAUAUUAGAGUCUCUGAAGUUGGUACUUGUCUUGACACAGAUAAUAGGAAUCAUUUUCCCCCCAAACUACAUAAGACAUGUCUGCUACUUGGUAAUGUUCCAUUGGCAGUUAUAAACUCUCCUGUCAAAAGUGAAUCUGUUGUAGCAUUCCAAAUGGUGUAGUGUCGUACAUAGAUUGGUAAUUGAGGACUUUAUUAUGGAUUUUGUCCUGUUGUGGUUGUGCCAACAAGUUCUAUCCUGUUCUUUGUCUUGCUGAUUUGGGUGGUUGUGCAUCAUGUUCCUACAGCUGUAUAAUUAUGCUUCAGGAGCAUAGUUAUUCUGGUUUUACCAUCCAGAUGAUGGUAUUAAAGUAUUUGUAUUCUAGAUUGCGCAACUCCUUAUAUGGGAUAUUUUUGCACCAAAUGCUUAGUGAUCAAGAGAACUCUCAUAUUAAACACAGUCAUCUUCUAUUAAACUAAAUUCCUUAAGUAUGCAGUCUCACAACUACAUCAUACCAUUCUUUUCCUUUUUUAUUCCUUUCUUGCUAUUACAGGUUGGUUGCCACUAAUAUAGUAGAAAGCAAAUUACACGACCCUGCUUCCAUAAGACCUUUCUUAUUCCAUAGGUUGAAAUAGAAAAAACACUCGAUGGGACUAAUGUUUCUCUUUGCAACCAAGCAAAUUAAAAUGUUUUGAAACCCAUGCUGCCAUGAUCUUAGCUAAUUUGCAUUUUAUAUCUCUACCCCUUUCUAUUUACCAUAAUGAUGCAUGCAUCUAGUCAAAUUGUGUAUUUCUUAUGCUUAUAUUUAUUUCCUGAUGAGUUUAUUCUGACUCUUUGAUCAGGAUUUCUGCAAUCACAUUGCUUGCUAUUGAAUUUUCAAUGGCUUAAUAUGAAUUAUUAAUAAAGAUGUUGUUUAAUUAUUUCAGCAGCUUAUACUUGGUAAUUUCUUUUAACAACUCUUAUCUCUGAUGUUCAUUUGUAAUAUAUAGCUGGAGAAAGGGCCCAACGUGAACGCCUUCGGGACUUGGCUGUGUUUGAGAGGUUACAUGGAAAUCCUGGGAAAACAUCUCCAAGCCUUGCUGUCAAAAAGGUAAACCCUACAUCUCAUUCCUCUAUACCGCAUCUUAGCUUCUCAUCUUGCAUCGGACAAUGAUACUCUUAUUGAAUCAUCUUUACCAUAUCAGCCAUCAACAUGUGCACUUAUUGAGCGCUAAUUCAGGCACUGAUACUUGUGCUUUUGUUUUGUUUUGUUUUAUCUUGUCUUGUUUUGUUUUGGAGGUGAUUGUGUUGGAUGACCUAUAUCUGUGUUAGACACCAAAGCCUAUCUUAAUGCUACUGUAAAGUAAGACUAUGCUAAUAAGCUAUUGAUCUGUUACAGGGUUUAUGCCAAACUGAUUUUUUAGUUUCUCUAGUAGAAAACUUGUUUUUUCCCCUGUUAUAUCGGUGCUAUUGUUGGAUUUGUGUUUGUUGUUGAUCAAGCAUUUGCUGAAACCUUUUUUUUUUUCCUUUGCUUCUUGAUGUGCAAAGCAUUAUUGUUUGAAUUUUAAUGAUCCCAUUUGAUUCACUAUUCAAUAUUUUUAUUUGAUAUUACAUCUAUCUCAUUUGUUUUCUUUUCUUAGUUUGUUUGUUUGUUUUUUUUUUUUUUUUUUUUUUGAAUUUGUGACAUUUGAAUUUGAUGGAGCCACCAUUAAUUUAUUUUUCCUUAUUAUUGUGGGGUGUGCUUUAUUUUGUUCAAUUGUUGUUGCACUAUUAUUGUCAUGUAACUUUUCUUUUUUGUUUUGUUUCUAUUGUUCCUAUGAGCAUUAAAUGCUUCUAAAAUGUAUGGAACAGGCUAAACCUUUCUAUAGUUUUUUUAAAAAAAAAACUCAUUUAUUAUCUAUUUUCUUGUGCUCAAAAAAUUAUAUUUUUUUAGUAAAAUUGAAAAUUUAGGGAGCGCUUAGGCCUCAGCGGCUCAACCCCUUGAGGGUUUAGGCCUGUCAUAGCAAGAUGUAAACCCCCUUGCCUCUUAUGCUUUUACCUUAUGAAACUAUACCAAGAAACAAACACCACAACUCCCUGCUGCCAUCAAAGGAUACUUCAAAGUUUGCUUCAAAUCAAUCUUAAGGCCAAUUAUCAUAGGCUUGUCAUCAUGUCACUAAAAUUGGUAUUGUAACCAAAGUCCUAUUGCGAAAUCUUCAAGUUGCAGCUCCUCCUUUUCUGUUGGCUCUUGUAUUGUUAGGUGGCCGCAACCUGUUGCUUUUCUUAUGCUUUAUGAACUACUCCAGUUAAAAUAAUGCUUCAAGUAGAUGCUUUCUGGAUCUUGAUUCUAGCAAGAGGCUUAUAUUGCAAAUUUUUUUGUGGAGUCCUAGAUAGGUUAACUAGGAAGACAAUAGCUUGCUUAAGAGGAUUGCCACCUCUCCUUUUGGGUUUGUAAAAAUUUUGGUUCUCCCUUGACCUUGGGAGUCCUAUGGUUUCAAUUUUGGAUGUGCUCUAGGUUGUAGCCUGUGUUAUGCUUUCUAAAUGGUAAUCUUCUUCUUGUUUUAGCUGGGAUGCUUUUGUUUAUUUUGCUCGUUUGUUUUCUUUGUUUCUUUAUUGUGGCUGUAGGAUCACCAAUCAACUUUUUAUUCUCUGCAAAAACUGUUUAUGUUUCAUAACGAAAAAGGAAAAAACAAAGGCAAGUUAGCCUAGAAUAGGUUUUAUCUUGUUUCUUCUUUUACCAUUAGUGUGGAUUCAAACUCAGGAAGAGGCCUUCAAACAAGUGGCAUUUGUGUUUUUUAAACAUAUAUCUUUAUUCAAUCAUUGUUAAGUGUUUGUUGUCUUGUCUGUUCUUUUGGUUGUUUUUGUCUUUGUCAAAGUGUAUAAUUAUAAUAUCCCACAUUGUAUAGAGGAAAAAGUUUCUAACGCUAUAUAUGUAUGAACUUUUUUUAAUCUUGUUGAUUCGUUUUUAAGCCGCGAGGGUCGUUUAGGCUCAAAGCAAAUAAUAUCCACACAACUGGGAGUAGGUUGUUACAAAUGGUAUCAAAGUCAAUCCUCGACCUUGGUAGGAGAGUUUGCUUGGCCUAAAAUGGGUGUCCGUUUAUUUGACCUUACAAUCCUAUGGGACACAAUAAGGACGUUGUGUCUGCAUGAGAGGGUGAUUGUAAUAUCCUACAUUACAUAGGGGAAAAAGUUCCUAACGUUAUAUAUCAUAGUUUUAAAAGGCUCAAGGCGCACCAAGGCGCAAAGUAGUCCUGGAGCCUGAGGCGCAAGGCGCAUCUAAGGCGCGGGCUUUAGUGAAGUGAGGCGCACCCUAAUUUACAUAUAUAUUUUUAUAUAAUAUAAUCAAAUUUAACAAUCAUUUAUUUGUCCUAAACACAUAAAUCAUCAAAUAUCAUCCAAAACUUCAAUUUAAUAAACAAAAAACAUAAAAAUAAAGAACUCCAAGCAUAAAAACAAAUCCAAAUCCAUAUUGCUAAUUGCCUAAUACAUAUCCAAAUCCAAAGUUUCCAAACCUAAAGGUCCAAAACAUGAAAUUUGUCCACAAUUCAAAAACAUCAUUAAAAAACACUUAAAUCACAAAUUUGUCCACAACAAGCAAUCAUCACUCCUCCUCUAAAUCAACAAAAUCAUCAUCAUCAUCAUUUCCAUCACCACAUUUGUAGCCUUCCCCAUCUUCUUCAUCUGCUGAAUUAACCAUGUCUCCAUCUUCAUCUUCAUCUAUUAGUGAAUAAGAAGGCAAAGUUCUAGAACUUGAAGCUAUCCCCCUUGUUGGUGGUAUUAUGCUUGAGCUUGCUCUAGCUCUAGCUCUAGUAUCAAACCUGGCCUCCUCAUCUCCAGCAGCUCUAGCAACAUCACCCCAUGUCAAAUUGUCAUCAUCAAAUACAAAAUCAUCUUGUGCACCUCCAUGAGAAUCCUCAUCUUCCAUUCUCCCUAUCAACCAUUCAUUGCUAUCAUCUAUAUCUUUCAAGGAAAUUGGGUCAAUGGUGUUACGUUCAUUGUAUCUUCUCUUCAAGGCUCGAUUAUACUUGAUGUACACCAAAUCAUUCAAGCGUUGAUGAUCUAACCUAUUUCUCCUCUUGCUAUGAAUCUGCAAAAAUUCAUAAGCUCAUAAAUAUAUUUUAAAAUUUUAACUUUUAAGUUACAUUCAAGACUCUAUUAGACUAUUACUUGUAAUUAUUUUGGAUUUGGUCACUCACAUUCUCAAAGAUGCUCCAAUUCCGUUCACAACCCGAUGCACUGCAUGUUAAGUUGAGGACUUUCAUUGCAAACUUUUGCAAAUUUGGAGCUGAAGCUCCAUAUGCAGCCCACCAUUCAGCUGUAGUAUAGAUAUUAACAAUUUAGUGAAACAAUUCACCUAUUUUAGCAAAAAUACAAUCUAAUCAUUUAAAUAAACAAAACUAAAUAACUAACCUGGUGCUCUAGUCUUUCUUGUCCUAACAGCUAACUCAUUCCCGAAUAGUCCUUGGGCAUUUGUGAACAAACUCACUUCGGCCACAACUUUUUCUUGCUUAGCAGGGUCUCUUGUUAGCCUUAAGAUGCAUUUAUACAAAUCACUCAUAAUCUCGGCAUCAUGCUCUAUUUCUGGCUUAUCAUAGAAGAAUUCCGGGUUCAAAAAGUACCCUGCUGCAUGCAAAGGCCGAUGAAGCUGAAUCUCCCACCUCUUAUCAAUGAUGUUGAAGAUUUCUUUGUACUUCUCUUCAUUUCCAUUAAAACUUCUCACAAUUGCAUCCUUAGCUCUAUUCAUGGCCUCAUAGAUGUAUCCCAUAGGAGCUUUUUUUUCACCAUCAACCAAACGAAGCACACGAACUAGGGGACCCGAAACCUUUAAGCAAAACACAAUAGUGUUCCAAAAUGAAGGCAUUAGAACUAUGUUGGCUAUAGUUUUCCCCUUCUACUCUUUUGCCCAUUUACUAUCUAACCAAUCUGAGCUUGUAAACAUCUUCCUCAAAUUGUUUUUUUGUUCAUGCAAUCGCGAUAAUGUGAUGAAAGCAGUUGCAAACCGAGUCUUAGCAGGCCUAAGCAAUUCCCUUUGUCCAGUAAACCGCCUCAUCAUGUUGAGUAGCCCUGAGCGAUUAUAAAUAUACCGAUUUAGUGAUAUAGCCCUCUCCAAUGUCCUCUUGAUGUUUGGUAGCUUUCCAAUAUCUUCCAACAUCAAGUCAAGGCAAUGUGCAGCACAUGGUGUCCACUACAAAUGUGGACGCUUUAAUUCUAACAACCUCCCUAUAUGAAAUUGUAGAUAAUAAAUUUACAUAAGUUCUCAAGAUAAAUAAUUCAAAUUUUAAAAGUAAAUAAAAAUUCAAGAAAUAGUAUUUAUUACUUGCUAUCACAUAACUUGAGUGAUUAUCUGUUAUAACUUGAAUAACAUUCUCUUCACCAACUUGCUCUACCCAUUUGUCAAGUAAUUCAAACAUCUUUUCUCCCGUCUUAAUCAUUGAAGAAGCAUCAAUGGAUUGCAUGAACAUGGUUCCCUUUGAACAAUUAACCAAAAAGUUCACCAAAGUUCUCUCUUUCCUAUCGGUCCAUCCAUCCGACAUAAUUGAACAUCCAUUUUUCCCCCAUUCCACCAUAUGAUCUUUCAUCAAAUCUUUUGUGAGAGCCAAUUCUUUCUUAAGGUUAGUAACUCUUACCUCAUGAAAAGUUGGUCCCUUCAUACCCACACCAUAUUGGCCAAUAGUCUCAAUCAUUGGUUGGAAACUCGGAUAUGUGACUGCAUUAAAUGGAAUAGCAGCCUCAUACAUCCAUCUUGUGAUAAGCGUGCAAGCUCUUUCUCUUGCUUCCUUUUUGUAGGCAUCAUUGAUGGUAGUUUGAUUCAUCUUUCCACUCCUUUGAUUUUGAACAACCAUCUCUGCAUUAGGAGUGAAAAAAUGAUCCAUAGGACCUUUUUGUCUUGGUUUUUUUGAAGAAAACGUCCUACCACUACUUCCUCCUCGGUUACUACCUCCACUAGAAAUGUUGGUGACAUUCGUUCUACUAUUAAUCUCCUCACCAAUAUCUUCAUCUUCCAAACCAAACAAAUCUUCAUUAACAUAUUCGCUCCCCAUAUUCAUUUGCUCUUUUUGAUUUUUCUUGGAACUCAUAUACUCUUCCAUUUCUUCUCUAACAUGUUCCGGACAUUUUCUAAACUUUUUAGCAUUUCUAUAUCCACCAACAAGAUGUUGUUUGUGUCUAUAGAUGCCUCCUUUGGUUACUUUCUCACAAAAAAUGCAUAUGAUGGUGUUCAAAUCUUUUUCAUUAACCAAACGACCAUAUUUCCACCCCGGAUCUCUUCUUCCACUUGCACUAGAGUCCACUUGAGUUUCACUCUCAUUAUCCAUCUUGCAAACAAAUUAUCUAUACUCCACAAUAAAAUAAUUAUAAUUAAAUUAAGAAAAAAAAUUGAAAAAAAAAUGCAUAUCACAUUAUCAAAUAUCACAUUAACAACAAAUAUGCAUGAGUGCUUUUUAUUUAUUUAUUUUUAUUUUGUAAAAUUUUCAUGUCAAAAACUCAAAAUAUAAUAUUUAUUUUUAAAAAAAAAAAAUUACCAAUGAGAGUUAUGAGGUAAGAAUGGAAAAAAAUGCAGAAAAGUGAAGAAAAAAGAAAAAUACCGAGGUUCGGAAGGUACGUGACUAUUUCCCCUAUUUUUCUUCUUCUUUUUCUUCUUCUUCUUCACUUCUCCAGCACAGAAGAGGCUAAGGCAAAAAAUGGCAGUGGUCUCGGGUUGAGAAAGACCAGAAAAGGGGGCUGGAUGGAAGGAACAAGUCAAAACGGCGUCGUUUUGGUCCCUGUUCACUUAAAUGAACAGGCUCCAAAACGACGUCGUUUUGGGCCCAAAAAAAAAAAAAAAAAAAAAGCUAGGGCUGCGGGGCGUCUCUGCAACCCGACUGGAGGAGGAAGAAGAAGAAGAAGAAGAACAAGGAGAAGGAGAAGGAGGAGUGCGUACCUGGUCGGACCGUCGGAGGCGACUCGGGCGAUCGCCUCGCGCCUUGCUGGAGGCGAGCGCCUUGCGCGCCUAAGCGGCGCCUUCGUGAAGGGGCGUCGCCUCUCUUCAGGCGAGGCGCCGAGGGUGGCGUCGGGCCGCCCCGAGCCUAGGCGCGCCUUUCAGAACUAUGUUAUAUAUAUAUAUAUAUAUAUAUAUAUAUAUAUAUAUAUAUAUAUAUAUAUAUAUAUAUACUCCUCUUAACCUUGUACACGUAUUUUAAAGUCAUGAAGACCACUUGAGCAUAGGAUGGAUAAUAUCUAUACGGUUGGAUGCAGGUUGUUACAAUAAUUACUUUUGAUUUUCCUUUCAUAUGUUUAAUUGCAUAACAUUAUUAUAGCAAAAUAUUAAUCUAUCAUAAUGCAACGUCUUGUAAAGCUUAUGUUGGGUGUCAUGAUUUGAUCUCUUGUCAUUUUUAUUAUUCUGAUUCAACAUCAUCUUAGCUUAUAAUCAUUUAUACACUUGAUGCAUGAGAAAUGAAGAUGCUAUAAAUUGUAGGAUCUUUUUCUCCAAUUUGUUCCUUGAUAUUUUAUAAUGCCAUGAAAUGUCUAUAUUUUGAUGCAGAAAGCCGUUCACACUCCAUCUCUCUCACUAGUUUUGCAGAACCAUUGCCACUAAGCACAUGCAGGCGUCAGAUGUGCGGCCACUUCCAGUGUUGGAAGAGACUUUGAACUACCUAUUAAACCUGUUGGAUGCCACAGAACAUCCUUUUGAAGUGGUUCAUGAUUUCGUCUUUGAUAGGACAAGAUCAAUAAGACAAGAUCUUAGCAUGCAGAAUAUCAUUAAUGAUCAAACAAUUCAUAUGUUUGAAGAAAUGGUAUGAAUUUCUUGAAACAUAAUCUCAAUUACCUUUUUUUCUGAGCAUUCAUCUCCUCAACAUACAAUAAGUUAGCCAACCCAUUGCUAAACACUCUCCUAGUUGGAGAAAAUAAUCAAAGUAUACAAGAGAUAAAAUGUUGAAUAAUUGAGUCAUUAUCCUCUCUUUUUGCUUUAUUGAAUAAGAUAAUUUAUUCGAUGGAGUCCAAAUGAGGUGAAACUGUGAUCACACAACUUGAAGCCUACUUUACAAUGGAUAAAUGAAUGGUCUGAUUUUGAAUCUUUCUUGGCACAUUAGUUAUUAUCCAAUCCAUUCUAAUUAAAUUAUCCACUAUUAAGUGUCUAUUUCCAGUCACCCUCUAAGUUAUGAAAGACCCAUAGAACCAAAGCAACUCACACCACCUGUGAUAGGAAUUGGUGCUCUCUUCCAUAAUGUCAAGUUUUCCAGUACACUUGCUGACUUUGUAGAAUAUGCCUACAAAAAGGGCUGCCACCUCCUAAUUCCCAAUCAUAGAAGUUUCUUAACCAUAUUUCAAAAGUUGUAUUUCCUGUUCCCUCUCUUAAAGUUUUUUAAACCUAUAUAUCUUUAUCCUAGUAAUUCGGAAAAAUGAGGAAAUUAUUUAACAAGAACUCCAUCAAUUUGUUCCUCAAAAUUUUAUAUAGUUUCUCUCUCUCACUUUUGAUUCAAAUUCUUGAAGCAAAGGAACAAAUUCAUGGCCAGUAACAUUUUUAGCCAAGCAAUAGAAUGCACGACAAGCAUGUAUAUGAAUGAAUUGUGUUUUUUAAUGAUAAUAGAUCAGAUAUUUUAAUCUCAUCCUAAAACCUUUGAGUUAACUAAAAGCCGCAUCUUAUGUUCUGACUUGUGGUUUGUUUCAUAAUAUAGGUGAAAUUUCAUAUUAUAUCCCACCACAAGCUUCACAGUUGUAGCAGCAAGCCAAGUUUUUCUUCAGUUCAUUACCUCAAUAUGGAGCAGCUGAAAAAGUGUCUAAUAUCUCUAUAUGCUCUAUACAAAGAAAAUCGAAAUUCAAAUUCUAUUUACAAGAAUGAACCUGAGUUCUACUCAUUUCACGUUCUUCUUCAUCUUGGCUCUAACAACCAACCAUUGGUGGAUACUUGCUUCCGUUGUUUGUUUGAGUUCAUCUUUUUCAGUAUCUCUUGCUGCCUUGUACUGGUUUCUGAAUAUGUUACUAUUUCUGUUUUGAAGGGAGAGUCACUCUCUUUGUGGUUGGGUCGUGUACCUUCUCUCAUUUUAAAGUCAAAGGAAAUGUGUUUUGCUCGGAGACUUUUAAGGUGACCGUAAAGCUAUUAUAGAUUCGACUUGCAUUUAAAUUGUUUAUAUUCAUUUUACAUUUAACUCAAUGUAGAGUGGUUCUGUUUUCCAAUCGAUUUUUUUCUCUUCUUUUAGUACCCAAUGUUAAAAAUUUUGUUUUCAUGAACUGAAAGAUCUGUCUUUUCUUGUAACAGAUUAUUUCGGAUGGGCAAUUAUAAGCGUUUCCUUUGUACUACAGCAACUGAGGCAUCUUAUUUACAGUACUACAUAAUUGAACCUUACAUCAAUGAGGUUGCUUAAAUAUGUUGAUUUUGCUAGAUUUUUCAGUUUGAAAAAUAUAUGCUUCUUUGUUCAUUUAUUGUUUUCCAAUUUCAUUUAUGAGAAUAUAUCUAAAAUCUAGACUCGAGUACUUGUGCUUUUGGGUUUUAUUUUUCUUUCAUUUUUGUUAGUAGUUGUACUUCAUUAUUCUUAAAUUUCUCACAGUUGUUUCUUUAUGUGGUUUAUUGCUCCUCACUUUCUUCAUUCAUCUGAAGUGUUCAAAUUCAAUUUGCUUGUUUCAUAAACCAGGUCUUAUUUAGAAGUUCUUCUCAAUUGCCUUUUUUAGUGCUUUUAAAGGACAUGCCUGAUUUAUAUAUAUUUUUGUUGGUUUUCUUUUGACCGUAAAAGGUUCGAGCAUUGGCAUUGUCAUGUGUAAAUUAUUGUGGCUACAAACUUCAUCCGUAUCCAAUUGCACACUUGUCCAAACUCUUGAUGAUGAAGGUAUGAUUGCAUUUACUAGCAUUAAAUUGCUAAAAUUUGUCAUCCAAAGUUCCAAUAUCUUUUGAACCUUGAAGGCUUCAUUUGCAUUUUUGUAGGAAUUAGAUGUGGAAUCAUUUUGCAAUGCUUGUGGUCUUGAGACCAGCACUGAUGAACGGGGAAAUAAGUUCUUAUCAACCAAGCAAACAAACUUCCAUUAUCCCAAGGAAGUCUUUCCAAGCUAUUGCCUUCUGGGUUUGGAACACUUUUAGAGGUAACAAUCAAUUGGAACUAGUUACUCUUUCAAACUUCUUAUUGUACAAAUAUAACCUGCAUGUGCAACCAUUUCUGAUCCCAUAAUUUCAAGAAUUUAUGACACCUUCUAGUGGUUAGUUUUUCUGGGAAUAGAGUAAAGCAAUCUAUUCACUCCCAGAAACUAUCGUCAAAGGAACAGUAGAUAACCCCGCAAGACCAAAUUUAUGUGUGUGCAUGGAGAUGCAUGUUUUCUGCAUCCCAAUCAUGCAGUGUUGUGCCAAAUGGAAUAAUAGCAGCUGAUGAUAAGUGGUAUUUCUAAAAUCUUCUAAGAGUAUUCCAUCUAUUGUAAUAUUGUUUUCUCAAAAUUGUCUUUGAGUCUUAUAUGUAAAUAUUAGACUUGACCUCUUGUAAGCUAUCAACUGAUGUUGUAACUUAACUUGAAAGGGAAAUUCUAUAAAUUUAGCCUUGGUUUGGCUGUUGGAAAGCAAAGAAAAAUUAGGUUAAUAGUGAGUUGAUUUCUUCCCUUCCCAUGGAUGUAAGCACAUUCUUGAAUCAUGUUAAUUACUUUUUGGUUUAUUUUGUUGUUUUGUUGUUUUGUUGUUUAUUGUUCAAUUGUCUCCGCAUAACAAGUGGUAUCAGAGUUGUUUCCAACACAACAGAUGAUUCCUGUGCUAACACAAAGUUUGAGGCUAAACGUAAGAUGGUAAAAGUUUCUAGAAUAUUUCCCUAUGACAACUGCCAAUAAAGGAUGUACUUAACAGAAAGUUCAUAAGGUGUUACAUGGCAAGUUGAACAAAACCAAUAGCUAGAGAUAUCUGAAAUAUUUGGGGCCACUGAUCCAACAAUAGCAGAGAAUAACACAAGAAGAGACCCUCUAAUCACCAUUUUUUCUUUGAUUCUUCUCUACAAAGCAUCAUCUUCUUUAUACAAAAAGACAACCCAUUGCUGAGCCCACAUUAUUCUCUACAUAUCCCAAAAAAGCCCUCUAAAUUUUAGGGCAUGGUGCUCUUUUUAGGGGUAUUUUGGUACUAAAUUUGUGGUAGUCUCUCAAAUACCUAAACUACCCUCCAGAUUUUAAGGCAUGGCCCACUCUUUGAGGUGGUAUUUUGGGUACUAAUUUUUGUUAGGAGAGGUUUUGGUGUGGAAACUGGAGGGCUUUACACACGUUGCAUGUAUUUUCUUUUGCAUGCAUUACACAUAGAUUGGAGUUUAUGCAGUUACUCACUUUUUGUUCGUCCAACAAUACUAUAGUGCCACGUCACCAUAUGAUGGGCUCUUUAGUCUUUUCAAACCCAAAAAAAAACACUAAAAAAAAAAAAAACUAAUACUAAAAGGAUUGCUAACUAGCUAUGUGAAGAUGAACCUCUAUAGCUAGCUUCUUAGAGGGACCAUAAUCGCUUAGGCCAGGGAAGUUUGAGGUGAUAAUAUGUCUGUGAUGCCCUUAGAUGUUUUAGGCACAUGUGCGUUACAUUAAUGUAUUCAAUGAGUCUAUAACCUUGAUUGACAGGUCCGAGUAAUCUUUGAAAUUUCAUUGUGGUGGGAAGGUUCCAUGUGAACAACACUUGCACAUGGGUUAGUUAAUCUUAAGAGACGGGGGAAGCUCAUCUAACAGCACACAAUGUGCGAGCUUUGAAAGGCAAUCGGGUUAACAUUUCUGAAUUGGGACAUGACAGCGGACAACAACAUUAGGUAGUCCAAAGAUGUCGUCAUAUUAAUUGUUAUCAAUAUUUUUAUUUAUUCAAUAGAGAUUGAGGAUUAAAAAAAUACCACAAAAAUUAGAAAAAACAAAAUUAAUUACAUGGCUUACAUUUCAAAUAUUUAAUAAAAUAUUGUAUGAAAGUUGAAUAUCAUACACUAUUAAAUGGUUGGAUUCUCUUCUUUAAUUUUUUUAAUUGUCUCAUCCUAUUAAAUUACUCAUCUAAUAUUAAUUUAUUUUAAAGGUGAAAUUAAUUAUAUUGUAAAAAACUUUUAACUGACCAGAGUUUGUGCACAACAUCUAAUAUAUACUUAAAUAUAAUCCUCCAACUAAGAAAUGAAAUCAAAACUUAAAAAUCAUUUAUAUAUAUAGAUAUAUGUUAUCAAGUUUAGGUAGUGAAGCAAUUAAUGUGGAUAUAAAAUUAAUGCCAAAACUUUUGAUUGUUCCUUCACAUUCUCCACAACCAAACAAAGGAUAUAAGAAAAAUAAAGAAAGAAAUUUAGGGUAGUUUGAUUUUUGUUCUCAUCUUGUUGUGAAGUUAAUAGAGGAAUGCUUGGGUUGGUGCUCAAUAGUUAAGUGACAGCAGGGUAUAAUGAUUCUUCCAAUCGUGUAAAUAUUAUUUGUUUUAAUUUCAAUGGAUCAUCGUCACUUUAAAUUGCAUCCACAUGGUUAAGAGCAACUCAUAUGUAUAUAAUAUCAUGAAUUUCUUCUUAUUCGAUACGGAAUAUCAAAUUAGGUAUCUUUCAAUUUUAGGUAUUGUGUAAGUGUUUCAACUCAAAUGACUUGGCUUAAUGUAUACUCAAAGCCUUGACAAAGGAGCGUAUAUGUAAUAAAGUGAAAAUUAAACCUUGUCGCCCUUCUAUCUCUAGUACUCCAUUAUCCCUUAAACAUGUGCAAAAAAAGAUAUACACCUUUGAUACAUUAAUUAAAAUAAACGAUAGAAAAAGAGAUUUUAUAUAUCCAUGUACAUAAUUUGAUUAGAUUUGUUAUAUAUGAGAGAGAGAGAAAAAAAAAAAAACUGUUUAGAUUAAGGAUCUCAUUAAUUAAUACCUAGAAAAUAUAAAAGAAUAAAAAAAGAUUAGAAGGUGUGAAUCAGAAGAUAAGACUACAUUUUUUAAUUAGAUUCAUCGAAAGAUGGCAUAUUGUAUGAACAUUUUUACUCUACAUAUAAAAACUUAUAUUAUGGUUGAGAUGUAUUAAUUUGUCAUAUUUUUGGACAUUUAAAGUAAUGAGUAAUUACACUAAAUUAAAUUAUUGACCUUAUUAAUCAAUACCUCAAAAGUAUAAAAUAGUAAUAAAUGAAUAAGACAAACUUCAUCGAAAUAUUUUUAUGGGCACAUUACGUAAAUAUUCUUAUUUAAUAAAAGUUUAUAUGUCAUUAAAUGAAUAGAGAAUUUUAACAUUAAUUGCAGUGCUAAGUAGAGGAGAUCUCAUAUUUAAGCUGUUGAUUAAGGCUUAUUACUUAAUAAUUUAAGUUGACUUUAAGUUAGAUUAUAUUUAAGUUAUUUACGUAAAAUUUAUUAUUUAUUAUUUAAUAUUUACUUUAAGUAUUAAAGUUAUUUGAUAAAGUUAAUUUAAAAAUCAUUUUAAAUUAUCAAAUUGUCAUAUUUACCUUCAUUAAUUUGAUAACUAGAUGCAGAUAAAUGAAACAAAAAAAAAAUUGAGAUUAAGAAUAAGUUAAUUAAUUUGAUUUAACACUUAAAAGUAACUUUAAGAUAUAAUAUUAAGUUAUUUUAUCAAAUAUAUUUAAUCUAUUUAAUAAUUAAAUUAAGUUAUUAAGUUAAUGAAUGAUUACCAAACACCUUAUAAGACCCAAAAAAUCGAAUGAGUUUUAAUAGUUUCCAGGAUGGGCAUGACUAGGUGGUGGUUCAAUGCUGAUUAAUCAUAAUUCAAUCAAGGCAAAAUAUGUAACAAAUACAUGUCAAACUGCACCAUCCAAAUGGGCGCCAAGAACGUUACAUUUGACAAAUGCCAUUAAACCUCGACAGCUACCAAUUACUUGAAGCUCAUUAACUUCAUCUUAAUUUGAUCCAAAUUGCAGAAACAUGUGAAACUCCAUGAAUCUAUGGUGCUAUGGUGGCCUACAUUCAUAUAACUGGGGACACUUUGGUUUACACUACAAUGACCCCAAACAGGGUUUGUAGAGACUUUAUCAAGAUCACUAGCUUCAAAAGACUAAGGAAAGAAAGAUGUUCUCAAAACUUGGAGUCAAAUUGCAGAUAAAGACCUAAAACUCCCACUUAACGUGUUUGAGGAAUUGUUGUUUCAUGGGGAUAAGCUGUUUGGUUUGUACAUGUCUCCUUGGUGAUACUUAGAGUUCGGCGAAGUAUACGUAUCCUUUGUGAUCUGGUUUGUAUAUGGGCAGAUGAAUGUUGAUGCCAGGUUCAUAUAUGUUUCUGAUAUAUAUCACCCUGGAAGGAUCUAGAUCAAGGGGAUGAGUUUCAAAAGCUUGAGUAGGUUUAAGAUGUUCCGAGAAUUGGUGAGCAUGAUAUAUAUCAAUAUGAUAUUGCAGAAGACAACAGAGCUUCUGAAAUUAAUAUGUCAGGUUCAAUAGUGGGAAAUCUUAUCAGCUGUCACUUACUGUAAUCGUAUGCUCUCAAUAUUCAUUUGUUGAAGAAGAAAAAAAAAAUUGCUUUCACACUAUUCAAUUACAAGAGAAUGUUCAAUUAUAGAAGAAAAUAAUAUUCGCUAGUCUCUUUCAACUUAAUCAACAUGCAGAGAAAAGCAGUGAAUAAUAACUUACAUACAUUGUCUCUCUACCCCUACUUGUUACUCAUCAGCCAAGCUUAUGGUAAUAUAAGCUUGGGUUCAUCUCUCUAUGCCACUGAUGAAAACUCCACAUGGGCUUUGCCUUUCUGGUGAUUUUGCAUUUGGAUUCCGACCCUCUCCAAGUGAAGAGGACCUAUUCCUUCUUGCUAUCUGGACUGCAAAUGGAAGUUAACUGGUGCCAAGAGGAUCAAAAGUUUGGGCUUACCACCAAUGGACAGCUUGUUCUCUAGAGGCUAAGAUAUAUGGAAGACAAAGACUGGUAAUGUGAGCAGCGAACCAGUGCAUGGUGCCAUGCUUGGAGAUGGAAAUUGUAUACCAGUAUAUGGGAGAGCUUCAAGCACCCAACUAAUACCAUAUUGCCAAUCCAGGGAUUGGUGUUGGAGCCUACUGUGCAGUUGCUAUUUUUGAGGACCUGAGGUUUGCAAAUGGAACUGGAAGCUGUUGGAGGAAAAGACUACCUCUUUCAAAUGGGAGGUUGGAUCAAACUGCUGUUUCCAGAAGUGCUCUAAUCAAGAUAUUGAAGUCCAGUGAACUAACUUCAGGCAGAUGCAAGCAAAAUAAAGCAAUUCUAAUACUCUCAGUCCUCUUAGGCCCCUCUGCGUUCUUCUUCUUCGUUUCUCUAGCUGCAAUUUCACUAGUUUUCUACUGCUUGAACCUCAAAAAUCUGCAGCUUUAUCACAGAAUCCUGAGUACAAGCGAUGGUAGAAGCCUUUGGCACUGUCUAUAAAGGGAUAUUACCAUCAGGUUCUGGAAAUUCUGUUGCUGAAAAGUUGGAGAAGGUGGUGGGAGAAGAUGAGAAAGAAUUCAAAGCAGAAGUGAAUGUGAUGGGCCAAACUCACCAUAAGAAUCAAGGACACUUGCUGCGUUACUGUUGUGAGGGUGAACACUGACUACUGGUGUUUUUUUUUUAUGCACAAUGGCUCUUUAUCAAGCUUCCUUUCUGGAGGCGCCCGAAAGCCCUCAGAACACAACUCUUGGAUGAUUCUUUUACAGCCAAAGUUGCAAACUUGGACUGGGAAAGCUUCUGAUAAGCAACCAGACUAGAACACUCACAGGCAUCAGAGGGACUAUGGGGUAUAUUCAGACAACUCGGGCAGCCUAUGUCUCUUAUAAUAACACGUUAUGAAGCAUCAGCUCAAUGCUGGGGUUCAAUCUGCAAAGCAAGGGAUUCAUCAAUGUUUCCUUCAAACUAAAUAAUAAGGAACAGAAAUGGAUCAUUCUGCAUUUUCAGUGGUGUUUGUUAUAGCAUUUAUACAAGAACUCUAGGGGUUUCUAUGUAUAACUUCAUUCCCAUUUUGUAUAAUCCAAAUCUCUUCAAUCGAUUAAAUGUAUAAAUGAAUCCUAUUCAUUGUUUGGAGUAACAACAAAAUUCUGGAAGACUGGGAAAGUUUCAACACUGGAGAGAAAACAAAAUGACAAGACCAUAAAUUCUGGAAGAGGGCUUUGCUUUCUAACCAUUACCAUAAUUUUAGAGCUCAACCCGGAUGAGUAAAUUAUAUUUCAGAAUGUUCAGGAGAUAAUUCUAAAGUGAUGAACCUUCUACUCACAGUUUCUUGUUCUUCUUGAACAGAGCAAUGAACAUCAAUAGUUCAGCACCCAGGAAUCUCCCCUCUCCAAUUCCUCCACUGGGAAAAGUCACCUUUCCAGUUAAGAAAAUCUUCAGGAUUAAUUUGAGCAAAACAUCAGAGUAUACAUCAAGAAAGCCUUGAUCAAAAUCAAAAUACAUCAAGAGCUGCCAUUUUCUUCUAUUUCCUCUUCCUUGAAUGGAAUGCCUUUUGGACUGAGGUGAUCAAUGGUAACAGUCUAACACACUCCUUAAGCUUUGAUUGAGGUCAACGGGGAUUGGCACAUUUAAUGACUUUGAAAUCAUAGCUGUGUGAAGGGAGGCAAACAUGAAUCUCAGGAUAAUCAACAAGUCAACAACUAUCAAUCAGUAAGGAAAAGGAAAAGGAAAUACCUUUGGAUAUUUACAAAUAAAAAAUUUGAGAGAGUCCAGCUGCUCUGUACAGAAAGGCUUGAGCUUAUUCCAUGGCCAGGCUUUAGAUGGUUCUGAAUUACGGAUGAGAGGAUUGAGUUUUCUUUCAUUCUGCAAUAAGAUUAAAAACAUCAAUGAAACACUAAAAGUUUAUAUAUAGAAGCCCUUUAAAGAUGAGAAUUGGUAAGAGAGCUCACCCAUGGUCUAGUAAAACAACAUCUGUUAGAUAAGUAACCACCAUUCGAUUGUCCAGCUAAUGCAUUUAGACAGUCCAAAAUAGCUAAAGACAGUCCAAAAACUCAUUUGACUAAUAAUUUUCUAAAAGCAGUAACAUAAAACCUGGAUGAAGAAUCCACCCCUCUACCUGACACCACUUCAAUACCAAAUAAAAUGUUACGAUGACCAUUUAUAGUCUUAAGAGACAGUGGGUGUUGUUUGGGCUCAAGACCAUCAAAAUUGGCACAGAAACAAGUACAACAACUAUCUAAUAAAGAGAUUUAUGCAUGUAACAAAUGCAAAUGAAAUAUGAUACAAGAAGUUCAUAGAUUAAACAAAAAUAGAUGGCAAAAUAGAAGGAUAAGGUCACAGACAGGACAAUAUUAAAAGAAAUUAUUAUUUUUCCGACCUGAAAAUCGAGGCAUUUAGAACAGUACAAGUUUGUAAGUAGUCCAUGGAAACCAGGGAACUUAUGCAGAUGUUGUAUUCUAUUGCAUAAGGCAAACACUCAAUACUUACAAGCAUAAUCAUGCCCAGAAAGCCAUGAAUCCCUUUUUGUUUUGCUUUUUUACCUAUUCUCAUCUCUUAUUGCCAGAAGUGCCCAGGAUGAUACAACCUCACCAAAUAAGUUAGAAACCAGCCCAUUCAGCAGGUUGAGUAGCCAGCUUGCCCUCAAUCUUCUUUGAGUCAACAAACAGUUGGGCAUUAUUGCCUCCAAUGGAGGGUCUGGAAAUAUUAGAGCCGGCAGCAGGGGUGGCUGUAAAACUCUCUGUUCCAAAACCCCAAGUUUCAGGGCCAGA